CGCAACCAGCUAGAAACCAAGGUGAUUCUACAUUUUCAAAGAAGAAAAAAAAGAUUUCUGAUGCAAGUGAUUUUUCUACUUCAUUUAAUGAUGCUGCCGCUUUAUUGGCAGCAAAUAUACGAACCGUUGGCCUUGAAAUCAGUAAGAGUAUUGCAUCCGAAGUGGUAAUUCAACAAAAGUCAGAAAUGACCAUUCAAGAAAGUGCUCUGAAAUUAUAUCCAACAUUAUGUGAAGUGGAAGGUUUAACUGAGGAUGAACGCUAUCGAGCAUUGAGCAAAAUUCCAGAUCAUCCAAUGCAAAUGCUCAUUUUCUUUAGUUUACCUUCUGCUGUGCGAUUGGAAUGGUUCAGAAGAUUUCUUGGUGACCAUUAAAAAUCAUGGUUGUAUUGAUAUUUUGGUAACUUUUUGUGUUUGUAAUAUUUGGAUGGUAUAAUGACAUGAUAGAAUGUCAUUACAAUGAUGUAACUUUUUGAUGUUGUAAAAUUUUAAAACAUACAGAUUAUGACAUAUAAACUAAUGAAAUCAUGUUUUAUUGUAGAAUAAUUAAAUUAUUUGUUUCAGUAAUGAUAUUUUAACACAUUAAAUAUGUAUUGUAGUUUAAAAAUAAUAAGUAGAUUAUAUAUAUUUUUAUAGUAUUAUAUAUUUUGAGUUUUUAAUUCAUAUAAUAAUAAUUUUAUUAAGAAUGUUAUUAAAUUAUAUUUUUUAUUAAAUUAUAUUUAAUAAUAAUUAUGUUAAAAUAUGGUUAAACUAUUUAUUAUUUUUAUUAAAUUGCUUUUUAAUACUAAUCUUAUUAAAAUUUAAUAACAAUAAAAAUAAUCAUUUACCUUAAAAAAAUUCUGCUAAGGGUAUUCUGGUCAUUUUAGUUUUUUUCCUUAUGCUAUUACAACAUCAUUCCAUUCAACCAAACACAAGAAUACUAUUACAGUUCUAUUCCAUUCCAUUCAACCAAACAGUUGAAUUACUUAUUAUAGCUCUAUUCCAUUACAGCUCUAUUCAAUUACAGCCCUAUUCCAUUACAGCCAACCAAACGUACUGUAAGACUUGAACACCUGUGAAUUUCAUUGAAUUGGUAAUACAUAGUAUAAUGAAAGUUGAGAUAGAUGAUAUAUGCAUAUGAUACAUGAUUAAAUAUUGUGAUCAUCCAUGAUAAAAUUGUUUAUGUUAUAUGCUUGUAUGGUUAACAUGUUUGGUGUAAAUGUUGAAGCUUUGGCCAAGUGUGGUUUGAUUAUGCCAUGUUUAACUUACUUAAUUUGUGAUGAAAUGGUAAGUUGAGCUUUACAUUAUACGAACUUACUAACCAUUUAUGCUUACUCUAUGUUAUUUUUCAUGUUUUAUAGUGAAUCGAAAGCUUAUUCGAGUUGGAAGCUUGUAGGAGUUAAUCACACUAUCCAUUGGAUGAAUCGAUAGAUUUUGCUGUUUCUAGUUUUGGUUAUAAUGGCAUGUAUAGGUAUUUUGUUUGAUGAUGUAGCCAUUUGUUUUGGCUUGUGUUUAUGGUAUUUUAGGUGAUGAAAUGGUACUAAUUUAGGCAUGUAUAUAUUUGGUGUUAAAAUGAUUGAUAUCAUGGCUUAUGAUGCUUGAAUGAUUGAAGAUGGAAUGGUAGUUAAAGUGUAUGUUAUAAAUGGUCUUGUGAUAUGUUUCAAUGUGGUGAUUUGGUAUAUUUGUUAUAGAUGACAUAUAUGGCUAUUGGUUCUAGAUGUUAAAUGCAUAUUUCGUACUUUUGGUGUGAAAUUUGAUAGAUAAACAAAGUGGUAAGUUUUGACAUAAACUUAGUUAUAAAUUAGUUAAACUUUUUUUCCAAAUUUUGCAUAUGGUUCUUUUAGGCAUAUUGGUUGUAUGAAUAUGAGACUUUUAGGCAUAUUAGUUGAACUUUUAUGCCGUGUGUCCCUUGUAGCUUUCUAAGGUUGCAAGUCAGGCUGUUACAUGGCCUAGCACAUGGCCUGUCACACGGGCGUGUGGCUUAGCCGUGUGACUCAAGUCCGUCAGUUACAAGGACACGAACAUGGGCUGGGACACGGCCGUGUGUCCCUACUUCGAAUGUCCACAUGACCUGUGACAUAGGCAUGUCUCUCGGCUGUGUGACCCUUACAGUUUGAAAAUUUUCAACUUUUUCUAAAAAAUUCUAUAUGUUUCCUAUUUAGUCCCGACUUGUUCCUAAUGUGUUUUUAGGGCCUUGAGGGCUUGAAUAAGGAACAAUAUGUAUGCCUUUGAUUGGAUUUUCUAUGAUUGAUGAUGUGAAUUAAAUGUUUUAAAAUUUUGAUUAUGUUGAACUAAAAUCUCUAAUAAUGCUCUGUAACCCUAUUUUGGUGACAGAUAUGGGUUAGGGGUGUUAUACCUUCACUUCAAGCAAGUCUGGACAGUGAGGUCAGAAAAUAAAAUGUCUUUGCCGACUCAUUAUUUGAGUGGAUCAUAAGAUCCUACUAGAAUAGCGACUAGCCAAUUGAUGGGAAACUAAAGCGAGAGUUAAUGGGGAUUAACAAAGCGAGCUAACCACCCAUAAUUAGAUUUGGUUAAGUCUAUAUUUUGAUCUCUUGUAUUUUCAUUUGCUUAUGUUAUUUUAUUUUAUUAUCGUACUAUAAAUAAAUCAAAGUACUAAUUAUAUCUUUUGGUGUUUAGGUUAAAAUUGACCUAGUACUAGUCUCCCUUGGGUACGAUCCUUGGAGUACUCACCCACUCCGUUUUAACUAUAUUACAACUGAACUCAUAUACUUGCGAAUACUGCCUCAUUGAUAUAUCUUUCACUGCAGUAUUCACACUCUAGAUGUUAGUACGUCCGGAGGUGGUCAAGUUGUUGGCACCAUUGUUGGGGAGGCAAGGUCACUAGUUUAAUUUUAAUUUUUGCACCCAUAGUAGGGGAAGACCUAUUAUAGCAGUUGCAGAUCUAGAGAGAAUAAUCCAAAGAAAUCAUCAAUAACACCAGCAAUAGCAGUGGAUGCAAGACCCACUUCCACCAAUUGUAGGCAACAUAUCGUGCGAAAAUCCACUGUUUGAGGAUGCUAACAACAACACUUUAGGAAACCCACUAGCACCACCACAGGUACCUGCAAAAGUACACAUGGCUCGCAACGAACGAACACUAAAAGAUUAUGCAUUACCAGGUUUGGACAUGGUUUAGGAAAGUAUAACAAGGCUGGCUAUUACAGCACAUAAAUUUGAGAUUAAACCAGAAAUGAUUCAAAUGAUCCAGAAUAAUUUGCAAUUGUAGGGGUACAAUGACAAAGGAUCCGAUCAACACUUAAAAUGGUUUCUGAAACUUUGUGAUACUUUUAAGUAUAAUGGGGUCACAUAUUAUCCUAUUCGCCUUCGGUUGUCCCCCUUUUCUUUGAUUGAUAAUGCCUUUUCUUGGUUAGAUUCGCAGGCACUAAUGUUUGUCACGACAUGGGAUGAGCUCAUUGGAAAGUUCUUGCAAAAGUUCUUCCCUAUUAGCAAAGCGAUUCAACUAAGAAGAGAGAUUGUUGUCUUUAGAUAGAUGAAAGGAGAAAUUUUUAUGAGGCUUAGGAAUGUUUUAAAACAUUGAUUCAAAAAUGCUCACACCAUAAGUUACCUAAAUGGAUGCAUUUGCAAGUGUUGGAUGCAAAUGCAAGAUUAGAAGUAGAUGAAGCAGUAGCAGGAGCCCUCAUAAACAAAAUGUACGAGGAUGACAUUUGGCUAGAAACCUGCUUUUGUGAAAGUUAUACAAGAGGAUGACAAGUAUCACCAGCUGGAGGAUAAACUUAACCGUAUUGAAUCUACUAAUAAAUCGUCUAUGAGUGGAGAAGGCAAACCGCUCUUCCACUACAUCAACAAUUCUACCAAGAUGUCAACUAUAUUGGAAAUAAGGGUGCAAACCCCUAUUAAAAUACCAAAUGAAGAGAUCACCCAAACCUGAGAUGGGGAGGCAACCAUGGAUGAGGUAAUAAUAUGAACCAAGCUAAAAACACUAACUAUCAACCUCAUUAUUUGUAGAAUCCUCAGGAUAGGGCCAACCCAGGUGACCAUACAUCAUGUGGUCAACGACUGGAUAGAAUCGAGGGAGAGAUGCAAUCAAUGAGAACGGACGUAAAGUAGUUGAAAUAUAAGUUUUUCAAUUCAACUAGAACAUUGAGUAAACUUGGAGAUAAAAUGAGCCAAUUAAUGAGCAUGAUGGGUUGUAACACCCCAUACCCGUAACCCAUAUUGGAGUGGAAUACGAGGCAUUACUUAACUCGAUCUCAUGCACACAAAUGUUUCCCAAGUCACCGAGACUUGAUCCAAAUUAGAACUUUUUCAAUCUCUACAUAAAAUUUCUUAUUAUGGGCCCACGAGCCCCAAAUCGACCAUUGAAAACUAUUCGGGAUCAACCCGGGUCCUUAAACACCCUAUAGAAAAUUUGACUUUGAAAUAGGGCACACGCUCGUAUAGAGGGGCAACAUGCCCGUGUCGCCAUUUCAACAUGGUCGUGUUGAUGGCCCAUGUGGCUUAAACGACCUAGGUAAUAUAGGGACAUGCCCGUGUCCUCCACCUAUGUGGAAUUAAUUCUAAAUGCACACCUACAGGGGUUUUCACAUGGCCUGGCACACACCUGUUUGCCUGGCCCGUGUCUUUCACGCUGCCAUAACAUGCCCGUGUCCUAGCCCGUGUGCAAAAAAAUGGACAUUCUAUUUCUGACGUCAACAUCCCCAAAAUAUCACAUAGCCAAUGCACACGCCUGUGUGCUAGGCCGUGUCCAUCAAACGGCAGAGACACACGACCGUGUCUCUACCCGUGUGUUUACUAUCAUGCAUACUGACUUGAAAUUUUUAUGUACAGGGGACACAUGGCCGAACCACACGCCCAUGGGACAGACCGUAUGACACACACGGUCUAGACACAUGCCCAUGUGUCUAUCCGUGUAGAUAAUAUAAGGCUAUUUACGAAGCCUAUUUGCCACCCUUAGUUACACAACCUGUAUAAUAGCAACCACAAUCAAGAUAAGACUAUCCUAUGCAACCAAAUUAGCCACAAUAAACAAUAGUCCAUUUGUGCAUUUUACUCAUCUAUGAAAAUAACAUUUUUGCAUAUAAAUCAAAAUGAAUAUUAGCCAUCAUUCAAGACUUAAUACAAAAUGAAGGGUUCCCAACCCAAGCCAACAUAUUUGGCUAGUUUUCAAUGACACAAAAAUAACAAAGUCUAAGCCCUAUACAUGCCAUAUUCAUAAAUAUAAAUCAAACUAUACUGAAAGCUUAAAUUGAUAGUGUGAUCGAUAUCUUUGACUUUCGUUGAUCCUAGAGCUAGAUAGGUGGCACUAUAAGAAAAUAGAAAAAGAGAGAGAGUAAGCAUAAAGCUUAGUAAGUUGCACAUAAAUAAAUAUACAACAUAUCUUUACCAUUCAUCAACAAGUAUCAUAAUACACAACUGCAUAAGCAAAACUUACUCAACAAUAUUCAUUACACCUCAUAUAGCAUAUAUUGAGCACACAUUCCAUACAUGCCAUAUAGGUACCUGUACCACUCACAACACGGUUAUACUUUCCUUGUUAACUUUAAAUCAUGCUUUCACCAUUGAACCAUAUGGAACAUUAUUGGAUACUCAUUUAGCCUCAAAUAUGGGGUCAGACAUCGAUGCCAUGUCCUAGACAUGGUCUUACACAAGUUCUAGUAUAUAUGUGCGGUGCCAUGUCCCAGACAUGGUCUUAUACAGACACAUCUCGUAACUGAUGCAUGUCCUAGACAUGUCUUACACUAGCUUACAUCUCGAGGCCGAUGCAUGUCCCAGACAUGUCUUACACUAGAAUUUGUCUCAAUGUCAAUGCCAUGUCCCAGGCAUGGUCUUAAACUGGCUCUCAUAAUGUGGCCGAUGCAUGUCCCAGACAUGGUCUUACAUUGGCUCUCAUAAUGUGGUCGAUGCAUGUCCUAGACAUGUCUUACACUAGCUUGCACAAGUGACCCAAAUGUCAUGGCAUGAAUAUCCGAUUUAUUUCCUGAGGUUCAUUCGGGAAUUCUAUUAUCUCUAUUCUCAUCAUAUUGUCUCAUUUCCAAAAUCAAGCAAUUCAUGCUAUAAUAAUUCAAAUACAAUUCAACACAUACAUAAGCAAUGUAGUUAUAUUAUUUCAUACAACUUACCUCAGAUUACAAAAUGUGGCGACUAGUCGAUUUAGUCGAUUUGCUUAGCUUUCCCCCAGUCUAGGUUUGGAUUCGGUAUUUCUUGAUCUAUAAUAGCAAAAUGCACUUUAUCAAUCUAGGCACUCUACAAUUCAUAAUUGGGCAAGAUGACCAAUUUGCCUCUAGACUUUUGCAAAAUGACCAUUUUACACCUAGGUCCGAAAAUCAAUUUUUAUUGAAUUUCUUUACAUCUUAAGCCUAGAUAAACCCUUUUUACUCUUAUUGAAACUCCAAAUUCUCACUAUUUCACAUAUUUAACAUCUAUUUUACAACCUAUACAAAAUGGUCCUUUUAGGUGUUUUCAUGCUAGCACAUUUCACAAAAAUUGGUUAUAAGACAUCCAAGACUCAUUUUCUUCCACAAAAAAUCAGCAAACAUUACAAAUCCUUUCAUGGUAAAACCCUAAACUCUUAUUCAUUUUGCAAAAUAGUACCCUUAUUUGAAAGCUUAUGCUUCAAGGGUCUCAAAAGUAAAAAAAUAUUCAAAAAAGCCAUAAAAAUCACUUACUUGCAAGAGGAAUGAGUUGCUAAAUUUUUUGAAGCUCAAAUUGCUAAAAAUGGCUAAAAAUCGAUGGUAAAUAAGAAAGAAUGAAAGAAAAAGAUGAUAGCGAGGCUUAGGGCAUUAUUAUAUCAUAAAUUAUGUCACCAACUUACCUAAUGUGGACUUUUCAACAUUUUUACCUCCCAUGGCCGGAAAGCUAUCACAAUAGGGUCUAAUUGCCCUUUAAAGACCUCCUAUUUAUAUUCUCUAGCUAUUUGACACUUUUAGCUAUCAAUUUAGGACUUUAGCAUUUUAUGCUAUUUAGUCCUUUCUCGCAAUUGGACUAGCAAACGUCAAAAUUAACUCACCAAAUUUUCCAUACACUUAUAUAAACAUGCAAUGACUCCAAAAUAAUAAUAAAAUAAUUUAUUCAACUCCAGAUUUCUGGUCCCAAGACCGCUAUUCCUACUAGGCCCUAAAUCGAGCUGCUACAUAGGUGACAUUGGAACGAUGGAAAUUUGCAAGUGUACGCAAUCUUAACAAGUAAUAAAGUGACAAGUAAAUGUCGAGUUAUUGUACCUGCACAGACUAUGUCAAAAAAUUAUUUAUGAAAUGAAAUUCAAACACUUUGGUGAUUACAAAUAUUUUGAUUUUGAGGAAGUAAUUAAAAACUAAAAUUUAACUAAGUAAAAUAAAAAAUAAAUAAAAGUUUCAAUGCACGAUUUCAAAAGAUGAGUUUAAUCAAGAUGACAUAAUUGUGUUAGAUUAAUUACACUUUUUAACUUAAUAUUACUAAAACAAUGUUAAUGUUGUUACGAAUAAAUCCACAACAACUUGGUAAUUUGUUAACUAUAGCACAUACAGACUUACUACAUUAACUCAACUCUUGAACAUAUCACUAUGCCAAUUCAAACAAUUGAUCAAUUUAAAUAAGCAAGUAAAAGAUUAUGUGAGGUAAAAAAUAUAUACCUACAUUGAAACUAUUUAAUCAAAAUAAUAUUGCAUGUUAUUCAAGGCUAAUGUAUCGUUUAAUACCGUCGCUAAUUUAACCCUCAGCUACUAUAGAAGAUUAAACAUGCACUAAUUAAGUAUUGUGCCCAUUAAUUAAAAUUUCAAUAUGAUUAAGAAUUAAUUCAUUAGUUACCUUAUAAUUAUAAUGCAAGAAUAACUUAAUCAUGGUUUUACUUAAUCAAAAAUUUUACCAAGACUUAUAACAACACAAACAUAAUUUUAAUAACUUAAGUGGACGAAACGCAACCAACCUAACAUGAAUUAAAUUUAAGCCAUGUUAAUUAAAUUAAAAAUAUUAGCAUAACAAGUAUUCAUAGGCAUGUUUAUAAAAACAACAAUCAAAGUUAAAGGAUAGAAAACUAGAAUCAAAUCUCGUGUUUCUCCGAAGUUUGACUAGUUUUCUCUGCUCCUCCUUCUCCGCUCAUUCUGAUUAAACUGAGGCUUUACAAGAACUUGAAUGAUGCUACCAAUGGUGGUUGAAGGGCUCUUUUCCAAGACGGGAAAUCGGCAAGGGAAUGGAAGGGAAAAUGGAAAGCAAAGGAAGGUUUGGAAGAGAGAAAAUGAGAGAGAAAUGUAGAAUGAUAGGUGUGCGAGGUGUGUUUGAAAUGAGUAGAAAAUCGGGUAUUUAUAGGGUGGAUAGGCUGCUAAAAAUAGAAAAAAUCAGCAGCCAUUAACUCCCCCCAUGGCCGGCCACACAUGUGGCAAGUAUGAAGCUUUCAAACAAGCUAAAUUUAGCUAGGGGCAAAUUUACAAAAGCUUGAUAAGUGGGGGGUUUAAAUACAAUUUUAAGGAAACCUCAAGGGCUGUUUUGCAAGCUGAGAUGGAAGCUCAGACUUCAAGUAAAAGGUUUACUGGAAAGUCAUAUCAGUUUUCCUCAAAGAAAUCAAAGAAAUAUCAUGACUAUUACACUACCUCUACAGGGUAUUCUAGGAAAGACAAAAGUAUCCAAGAUCUUAGUCUACAUCUGUAGCAAGUGCAGGCAGUGUCAGAAACAUUAAAACCAGGUACAAAUACUAUAAUAAAUUCAAUUUUGGUGAGUUCUACAUGAGAAGCCGAACAUGUUUUAGAUGUGGUUAUUUUGACCACUAUCUAAGAAACUGCCCAAAAAUGCCUAAGAAAGAUACUGUACAGACUUCAAAGCUACGUAACUCUGUUACAAGAGGUAGAUCACCUUGAAACCAUGGCAAUGUGAAUGGAAGCCAAGGUAUGGCAAAAGAUUCAACUGCUAAAUCUGAAGCAAAAGCGCUGGCAAGGACAUAUGCUAUCAUGCACGUGAGGAUGCCUCUGCACCCAAUGUUAUUACCGUUACAUUUUCUCUUCUUGAUACUAAUAUAAUUGCUUUAAUUGAUCCUGGUUCGACAUGUAACACCCCUAUCCCGUAACCGUCGCCAGAAUAGGUAAGGGGCAUUACCGGACUUGUAACUCAUGUCAGAAUAGUAAAAUUUUAAACUUUUUCUUGAAAUAAAGAUCAUUCAUUUAAAUAAGUACUAAGCACAGCCAGAGAUAAAAUUUAAACUUCACUAAGUAAACAUUCAAAAGAUGCCAUUUUCGCAUGGCUUAUAUACAUUAACCAAAAAUAUUCUUCCGCCACUAGUCUAUUCUAUACAUGCCAUAAAAUAGUUCUAAACAUAACAGUAACAAGCAGUGGAUAGUGAUAGUGUGACUAGUUGCUGACGAUCCCCGAGCCUGUAGCUUCGCAAUGAGAUCUAUAAAACACUGGAAACAGAGUAAACGGAGUAAGCAUUACAAUGCUUAGUAAGUUUUAAGCAGUGUCAACAGAUAACAAUCAAAUUAUAACAUAGUUGUUCGUAUUUUUAUUUCACUCUUCCUUCGGGCAUACCAUCCCUUUACCGAAUAUGCACAUCUCAUCAUAUACAAUAGGCAGAUAAACUUUCACAUAAAAGUGAGCUCAUGUGACAUAGAUAUAACGUAUGAUUUCACAUAACCUCUCACACUGAUCCGAUGUCACAUAAUCAUAGGAAUAGUCUCAUAGAUUGCUCUCGUAUGCAUCACAUAACUACCUUAUGAUUUAGUGCAAAUCAAUCUCACAUAUAAACUUGGAGUACAUACCUGUUUAACCUUUCGCAUUGAAUAUAUUUAUAAGCAAUUCUUAUUACGAAGUCUUACCCGGACAUAAUCUCCACACGAAGUUAUCGGGUCUUACCCGGACAAAAUCCCCACACGUAGUCAUCGGGUCUUUAGAGCUCGGAUAUAGUACGAGCACGAAGCUUACGGACAUUAAUCAGUGAUAAUAUUCUCGCAUAAAGCCUACAGGGUUUUAACCCGGAUAUAGUACUGACACAAAUGCCCUUCGGGACUUAUCACAUUUAUACACUUUCACAUCCAUCACGUUGGCCACUCGGCCCUGUCACAUAUAUACACUUUCACAUUCAUCACAUCGGGCAUUAGGCCUUAUCACAUAUAUACACUUUCACAUUCAUCACAUCGGCCAUUAGGCCUUAUCACAUAUAUACACUUUCACAUCCAUCACAUAGAAUCCCAAAUCAAAAUAUAGAUUUUCAUGUAUUCACAUCACAAUUAUCCAAAUAUACUUCACAUACCACAUAUACUUUCACGUAUACACACUGUCUUGGCUGAAUCUACAUCUAUCAUUUCCCAAUAUCACAAUUUAGAAUUCACGUAUGGGUUUAAUCAAUAGCUUAUGAGCAACUAAAACAAGUUUAUCAAGGUUUACAACACAAUCUCAAAUUCAGCACAAGCUGUUUUUCCUGAGCAAUAGUCACUAAAUUAUUUAUAACUGGAGCUACAAAACUCCAAAUCACUUUCCGUUAAUUUUUCCUGAAUAUAGACUCAUAUAUCUUCCAUCCAUAAAAUUUCAAAAAUUUUAUGUUUUUACAAUCAAUACCAUAUUUUUCUUAAAGUUUCCCCUGUUUCACUAUUUGACUAAUCUGACCACUCUUCACUACGAAUCAAAUUUCUCAUUUUAAAGAAUUAAAAAUGUGUUGUAUUUGAUUUAAUUUGAAACUAGACUCAUUAAGGAGUCUAAGCAUAUAAAUUUUAUCUUAUAACCAUUUUUGUACAAUUUAUAAUGAUUUUCUAAAAACAGAACAGAGGAUUACAGUGUCAUUCUGCACUGUCUCACACAACUUUAAGUAUCUCAUUAUCGGAAAUUCUUUUGCUUACACGGUUUCUUUUAUAAGAAACUAGACUCAUUAAGCUUUAAUUUCAUGUCUCAUUCAGCCUCUAAUUCAAAUCCAUAAAUUUAUGGUGAUUUUCUAAAGUCACAUUACUGCUGCUGUCCUAAGCAGACUAUUUCAAAUUACCCUUAAAUUCCCAAGCUCAAACACUUAAGAACUUACCAUUUGAGCUUAGAACAUAUCAUGGCCACAUCAUAUCUUAUUAAAUCAACUCAUCAUGUCCUAUUAUAAUUGAAUUUACUCAACGUUUAAUCACUUAAAACUUACCUCGGAUGUUCUUGAACGAUUUCGGCGGCUAUUCGAUCACUUUUUCCUUUCCUUUAUCCAACUUUGGUCCUCUAAGCUCUUGAGCUAAUUCAAACAAAUUUAACUUAUUAAAGUCUCAUUAUGCUAGCUUAUGGCCGAAUAUGACAAUGAAUUUGAUAGGUCAUAUGGCCACCUUUAGCUCAAAUACAAAAUGGUCAUACGCAUUUUUAAUCACAUUAAGCAAUUUAGUACAAUUAAUCAAACAUUUCCUCAUGUGCACCUUUAGGACCAAAUACACACAUCAUUAACCUAAUAUCAAUUAACUAAGCACUUAACAAAUUCUCCUUGAGCCGAUUGUCUAAGUCAAGAUAGGAUCAUCAUUAUGCUUACCUAUAGCCGAAUGUACAACAUCAAUCUAUGCAUUCAUUCGUGUGGCCGAACAUGCAUGUCUAUGUUGAGGCCGAUUGCAUACUUAAUACAUUCUACAAGUAUGGUCACUUGUAUUGACCAAAUACCAUUUUGUUUCAAAUUCAAAACUUGGCUAAUACACAUAUAUGCACUAUUAAAACAUCCUCUCCAUUCCAUCAAUUCAACACAUGCAUUACUCAUUAAUAUACAAAAUUAUAUUCGGCCUUAGCACACCUCUUGCUGGCCGAAUUUUUUCUCCAUCUAGCAACAUUUUAUGUACUAUGCCGAACCAAAAAGAUCAAACACCUAGCUUAAUCAUUUCCAAAACACUUAACCGGCCUUUGACCAAGACUUUAAACAAAGUCUAUGUUCGGCUAUCACACAUAUGGGCAAUCACAUAAUCAAACACUAAACCUUAACUUCCAAGCCAAAACAACUAGCAAAUUCAACACAUCCAACAUAAAUUUCCAUGCUAAUGACAUCAAAACAACUACUAAGAAUUUCAAGCUCCUUGGCCGAAUUUCAAUCUUCCAAAAUAACAAAAAUUUGAACCAUGAAAUAGGUAGAAUUCAAACUAACCGUUCAAUUUAUGCAUGAAUUUCCAAGAGUAGCAUUCUACAUACCUUAAUCUAGCAAUCUCCUUAGCCGAAAAUUUUAACAACAAAAGGAAAUUUCUUCUCCACCCUUUCCUAGCUACGGCAAUGGAGGAAUAAACCAACUUUGGUUUCUCCUCCCACUAACACAUUAUUUUUAUUACCCAUACUCUUUUAUUCAUCUUUAAUUCAUUUAAUACAUUUUUUUAUUACAUAUUUCUCACCACUAAUAAAUAUAAUAAUAUUAAACCAUGCAUAUAAUGCCCAUACUUAUGAGCUUGGCCGGCCACUAGCAUUAAAAGUGGCAAAUUGGCAUGCAAACCCACUUAUUUGCAUCAUUCAAUAAUUAAUCACUUAAAAUAAGCCACACAUAUAUUCAAAGCUUCUCACAUAAGUCCCUUUUAUUUAGAAACACAUUCAAAUUGACAAAAAUCAAAGCAUUCAAAUUUCACACAUGCAUGAUCACAUAUUUUAGACAUAAAAUAUUAUAUUCAAUUAUUUCUGCAACUCGGUUUAGCGGUCCCGAAACCAUUUCCCGACUAGUGUCAAAUUAAGGGUGUCACAACUCUUCCCCCCUUUAGGGAUUUUCGUCCCCAAAAAUUUCUACCGAUGCAUAGUUAGGAUAACAUCCUCUUAUUGAAUUAUAUUCAUAUAAACAUUAGCUCAUCGAUGGCAAUUGUAAUUCAUUAUUUAUUUUGCAUCGAUCUAUAAAAUCAUUUUCUUAUCUUAAAACAAAUACAUAAACAUUUCUACAAGUAUGCACAUAUAUCUCAUUUUCUUGAUUUCAUAAGUAAUAAUCACUUAAUUUAAUUCACAAUUGCAUCUCAAACACAUAUUAAGCACAUAUUAAUAUGUAUAAUUCACAUCAUCAACCCACAUAUUUGUAACCCACAUUUUCAUUCAUGUAUAAGCUGUAACCUGACCGAAAGUACACAUAUACUCAAACAUCCCAAUAAAUAUCCUUUAUCACUCCAUCAUAUCUCACUAUUCAACUUAACCUAUUUCCAACAGAAAAUCAACUUCCACAUACCUGAACAUUGAGUUCAUUUAGCACAUUCAAUCACCGUUAACGAUACCCGUAUACAAUCGAUUUGGCAUCAAGCCUCAUAUUGUAUACCGGCAUGGGAUUUAUUUUAGCACAUAACCCAUAUAUCCAAAAUUAUCAGCAUUCAUCACAAAUUCUUACAGACUUUCAAAUGUCAAACUUAAUCGAAAUAAUUUCUUGAAUAUGAUUAACAAAAAAAUAGGGGUCAUUUAGCAAUAGCACAUAUGACUUCAUAUACCAAGCAUUCCAUAGACUAAAUUCAUAACACAUUUACAUCAUGAAUUCAUUUCUUAACAACAUAUCCACCAUCUUUUUACUUUCAUCUGAUUUUCUCAUACCUUCCGUACAUACCUGUAUCACUUAUUCUGAUCUUACUUAAUUUAUCAUCUUAAAUAUACCUGUUGAAUCAUUCGAAAUCAUUACGGAUACUCAUUAAGCACAUAUAGCUCUUACAAUGCCAUAUCCUAGAUAUGGUCUUACAUAUUCUCACAUAUCGAGCCGAUGCCAUGUCCCAGACAUGGUCUUACACACUAUCUCAAAUCAAUGCCUUCGUCCUAGACGAGGUCUUACAUGAAUUCCACUUCACACACUUAGUGCCCACUGACCGAUCUCGCACUCAUAGUGCUCGGUUAAAGGAAUUCGCACACACACAGUGCCUCUAAUCAUUCACACACAUAGUGCUCUUAUUCAUUCGUUAUUACACAUUGAAAUGACUUAACCAAGUCUAUAAACAUCAUGUAUGUACACUUGUAAACAUAUCAUCUCAUUUAAAUUUUAAUUCGUAUAGUAAUGAACACUUAAACUUUGCUCAAAUUACCGGCACGAAGCCUACUAGGCACGAAGGCCCGAAUACACGUCACCAGCAUGAUUGCUCUUCGGGACCUAGCCCGGAUAUAACACCAGCACGAAUACUCUUCGGGGUUUAGCACGGAUAUAUCACUAGCACGAAUGCUCUUCGGAACUUAGUCCGGAUACAUCACUAGCACGAAUGCUCUUCGGGAUUUAACCUGGAUAUAUCACUAGCACGAAUGCUCUUCGGAACUUAGUCCGGAUAUAUCACUAGCACGAAUGCUCUUUGGGACUUAGCCCGGAUAUAUCACUAGCACGAAUGCUCUUCGAGACUUAGCCCGAAGAUAUCACUAGCACGAAUGCUCUUCGGGACUUAGCCCGGAUAUAUCACUCUCAAUUCUCAUGUACAUAUACACAUAUAGCAAUACACAUUAGCAUAUCAUUUACAUUACUUGAAUACAAACACAACAUGCUUAUCGACCAUUCAACUUCCAGUUCCAUAGCCACAUACAAAAAUCACAUUUAUAGUCAUAACACUCUUUCAAAAUUGCAUCACUUAUACCCUUAUAAUUCAAUCCAAAUCGAAAUUCAAAUACGAGUACAUGAUACGUACCUGAUCAACUUAAUAAUUUAGGCAUAUCUAAGUGAAGUUAUAUCGCAAAUUCUCAUAGUCAGAAGCUUGCUACAGCUCGAUCGGGAUCAAGAUUCAUUACAAUACAGCAAACACAUUUUAAUAGCCAAAAAUCAUCACACUAUCAUUUUAUCACUUUAUGGCAUGUAUAAAUAGACUCACGCGUGCUACGUUAGUCCUAGAAUAGACUAAACCGUAGCUCUGAUACCAAUAAAAUGUAACACCCCUAUCCCGUAACCGUCGCCAUAAUAGGUAAGGGGCAUUACUGGACUUGUAACUCAUGUCAGAACAGUAAAAUUUUAAACUUUUUCUUGAAAUAAAGAUCAUUCAUUUAAAUAAGUACUAAGCACAGCCAGAGAUAAAAUUUAAACUUCACUAAGUAAACAUUCAAAAGAUGCCAUUUUCGCAUGGCUUAUAUACAUUAACCAAAAAUAUUCUUCCGCCACUAAUCUAUUCUAUACAUGCCAUAAAAUAGUUCUAAACAUAACAGUAACAAGCAGUGGAUAGUGAUAGUGUGACUAGUUGCUGACGAUCCCCGAGCCUGUAGCUUCGCAAUGAGAUCUAUAAAACAGAGGAAACAGAGUAAACGGAGUAAGCAUUACAAUGCUUAGUAAGUUUUAAGCAGUGUCAACAGAUAACAAUCAAAUUAUAACAUAGUUGUUCGUAUUUUUCUUUCACUCUUCCUUCGGGCAUACCAUCCCUUUACCGAAUAUGCACAUCUCAUCAUAUACAAUAGGCAGAUAAACUUUCACAUAAAAGUGAGCUCAUGUGACAUAGAUAUAUCGUAUGAUUUCACAUAACCUCUCACACUGAUCUGAUGUCACAUAAUCAUAGGAAUAGUCUCAUAGAUUGCUCUCGUAUGCAUCACAUAACUACCUUAUGAUUUAGUGCAAAUCAAGCUCACAUAUAAACUUGGAGUACAUACCUGUUUAACCUUUCGCAUUGAAUAUAUUUAUAAGCAAUUCUUAUUACGAAGUAUUACCCGGACAUAAUCUCCACACGAAGUUAUCGGGUCUUACCCGGACAAAAUCCCCACACGUAGUCAUCGGGUCUUUAGAGCUCGGAUAUAGUACGAGCACGAAGCUUACGGACAUUAAUCAGUGAUAAUAUUCUCGCAUAAAGCCUGCGGGGUUUUAACCCGGAUAUAGUACUGACACAAAUGCCCUUCGGGACUUAUCACAUUUAUACACUUUCACAUCCAUCACGUUGGCCACUCGGCCCUGUCACAUAUAUACACUUUCACAUUCAUCACAUCGGGCAUUAGGCCUUAUCACAUAUAUACACUUUCACAUUCAUCACAUCGGCCAUUAGGCCUUAUCACAUAUAUACACUUUCACAUUCAUCACAUCGGCCAUUAGGCCUUAUCACAUAUAUACACUUUCACAUUCAUCACAUCGGCUAUUAGGCCUUAUCACAUAUAUACACUUUCACAUUCAUCACAUCGGCCAUUAGGCCUUAUCACAUAUAUAUACACUUUCACAUUCAUCACAUCGGCCAUUAGGCCUUAUCACAUAUAUACACUUUCACAAUCAUCACAUCGGCCAUUAGGCCUUAUCACAUAUAUACACUUUCACAUCCAUCACAUAGAAUCCCAAAUCAAAAUAUAGAUUUUCAUGUAUUCACAUCACAAUUAUCCAAAUAUACUUCACAUACCACAUUUACUUUCACGUAUACACACUGUCUUGGAUGAAUCUACAUCUAUCAUUUUCCAAUAUCACAAUUUAGAAUUCACGUAUGGGUUUAAUCAAUAGCUUAUGAGCAACUAAAACAAGUUUAUCAAGGUUUACAACACAAUCUCAAAUUCAGCACAAGCUGUUUUUCCUGAGCAAUAGUCACGAAAUUAUUUAUAACUGGAGCUACAAAACUCCAAAUCACUUUCCGUUAAUUUUUCCUGAAUAUAGACUCGUAUAUCUUCCAUCCAUAAAAUUUCCAUAAUUUUAGGUUUGGCCAAUCAAUACCAGAUUUUUCUUAAAUUUUCCCCUAUUUCACUGUUUGACUAAUCUGACCACUCUUCGCUACGAAUCAAAUUUCUCAUUUUACAGAAUUAAAAAUGUGUUUUAUUUGAUUUAAUUUGAAACUAGACUCAUUAAGGAGUCUAAGCAUAUAAAUUUUAUCUUAUAACCAUUUCUGUACAAUUUAUAAUGAUUUUCUAAAAACAGAACAGAGGAUUACAGUGUCAUUCUGUGCUGUCUCACACAACUUUAAGUAUCUCAUUAUUGGAAAUUCUUUUGCUUACACGGUUUCUGUUAUAAGAAACUAGACUCAUUAAGCUUUAAUUUCAUGUCUCAUUCAGCCUCUAAUUCAAAUCCAUAAAUUUAUGGUGAUUUUCUAAAGUCAUGUUACUGCUGCUGUCCUAAGCAGACUAUUUCAAAUUACCCUUAAAUUCCCAAGCUCAAACACUUAAGAACUUACCAUUUGAGCUUAGAACAUAUCAUGGCCACAUCAUAUCUUAUUAAAUCAACUCAUCAUGUCCUAUUAUAAUUGAAUUUACUCAACGUUUAAUCACUUAAAACUUACCUCGGAUGUUGUUGAACGAUUUCGGCGGCUAUUCGAUCACUUUUUCCUUUCCUUUAUCCAACUUUGGUCCUCUAAGCUCUUGAGCUAAUUCAAACAAAUUUAACUUAUUAAAGUCUCAUUAUGCUAGCUUAUGGCCGAAUAUGACAAUGAAUUUGAUAGGUCAUAUGGCCACCUUUAGCUCAAAUACAAAAUGGUCAUACGCAUUUUUAAUCACAUUAAGCAAUUUAGUACAAUUAAUCAAACAUUUCCUCAUGUGCACCUUUAGGACCAAAUACACACAUCAUUAACCUAAUAUCAAUUAACUAAGCAAUUAACAAAUUCUCCUUGAGCCGAUUGUCUAAGUCAAGAUAGGAUCAUCAUUAUGCUUACCUAUAGCCGAAUGUACAACAUCAAUCUAUGCAUUCAUUCGUGUGGCCGAACAUGCAUGUCUAUGUUGAGGCUGAUUGCAUACUUAAUACAUUCUACAAGUAUGGUCACUUGUAUUGACCAAAUACCAUUUUGUUUCAAGUUCAAAACUUGGCUAAUACACAUAUAUGCACUAUUAAAACAUCCUCUCCAUUCCAUCAAUUCAACACAUGCAUUACUCAUUAAUAUACAAAAUUAUAUUCGGCCUUAGCACACCUCUUGCUGGCCGAAUUUUUUCUCCAUCUAGCAACAUUUUAUGUACUAUGCCGAACCAAAAAGAUCAAACACCUAGCUUAAUCAUUUCCAAAACACUUAACCGGCCUUUGACCAAGACUUUAAACAAAGUCUAUGUUCGGCUAUCACACAUAUGGGCAAUCACAUAAUCAAACACUAAACCUUAACUUCCAAGCCAAAACAACUAGCAAAUUCAACACAUCCAACAUAAAUUUCCAUGCUAAUGACAUCAAAAAAACUACUAAGAAUUUCAAGCUCCUUGGCCGAAUUUCAAUCUUCCAAAAUAACAAAAAUUUGAACCAUGAAAUAGGUAGAAUUCAAACUAACCGUUCAAUUUAUGCAUGAAUUUCCAAGAGUAGCAUUCUACAUACCUUAAUCUAGCAAUCUCCUUAGCCGAAAAUUUUAACAACAAAAGGAAAUUUCUUCUCCACCCUUUCCUAGCUACGGCAAUGGAGGAAUAAACCAACUUUGGUUUCUCCUCCCACUAACACAUUAUUUUUAUUACCCAUACUCUUUUAUUCAUCUUUAAUUCAUUUAAUACAUUUUUUUAUUACAUAUUUCUCACCACUAAUAAAUAUAAUAAUAUUAAACCAUGCAUAUAAUGCCCAUACUUAUGAGCUUGGCCGGCCACUAGCAUUAAAAGUGGCAAAUUGGCAUGCAAACCCACUUAUUUGCAUCAUUCAAUAAUUAAUCACUUAAAAUAAGCCACACAUAUAUUCAAAGCUUCUCACAUAAGUCCUUUUUAUUUAGAAACACAUUCAAAUUGACAAAUAUCAAAGCAUUCAAAUUUCACAUAUGCAUGAUCACAUAUUUUAGACAUAAAAUAUUAUAUUCAAUUAUUUCUGCAACUCGGUUUAGCGGUCCCGAAACCACUUCUCGACUAGGGUCAAAUUAGGGGUGUCACACGACACAUUCAUACAUAUGUACAAAUUUAGUGUCAAAUAAAAAUUUUCCUGUCGAGUCCACUAAAUUUGCACUUAAAGGAUCAAACCCCCAGGCCAGUAUUUAAUGGUGGAUAAAAUAUGCAAGAAUUGUCAACUAAUAAUACGAGGUUACUAUUUACCGACUGAUAUUUGAUGAGUUUGAUGUGAUUUUGGGCAUGGAUUGGUUAACUCCACAUGAUGUUGUGGUAAAUUGUAAACGGAAGUAUAUUGUAUUGAAAUGUCAGAAUGGUGAAAUGAUCUGUAUUGAAUCUGAUAAUUUGGAUGGGUUGUCUAAUGCGAUAUCAGCCAUAUCAGUACAAAAAUAUGUCAGAAAGGGUUAUGAUACUUAUCUUGUGUAAUAUCUCGAAUUAGGGCCUAAUCAGAAUAGUGGUUUCGUGACCACAAAUCCGAGAUAGAAAUAAUUAUUUUAUAAUUAUUUUGAUGUUUAUGAUAUGAUUGCAUGAUUGUGUGAAAAUUUUGUGAUGAAAUCCUAUGCCUAAAGUGCUUAAAUUGAAAUUAGGGACUAAAUCGAAUAAUUUAAAAAACUUGCAUUCUAGGAGCUUUUAGUAUGAAAUUGCUUUGGAAUAUUAAUGGGGAGAUCUUAAAUAGAAAUUUGACCAAUUUCUAAGUCUAUGGACAAAAAUUGGACAUGGAUGGACUUUUUGGAAAGUUUAGAAUUAAGGGCAUUUUGGUCAUUUAGUUAUUAAAAUGAAUUAAAAACAAAAUUAAAAGCCAAUUUUUGUCCAUCUUCUUCAUUAGGCCGAAUUUCAAGGGUUCUCCAUAGCUAGGGUUUGUUUCAAGCUUCCAAGCUCCAUAGUAAGUGAUUCCAAGCCCUGUUUUUAAUGUUCUUUACGUUUUUGAAAUCCCGGUAGCUCGAAUUAAGUUAUGCUAGCAAUAAUUCAACCUAGGGUUCAUAUUCGAAAAAAUACCCAUAGGUGAAAUUUGUGUAUUUUGGUGUUUUAUGAUAGAAUAUGAGGUUUUAAAUUAUGUUAGAAAACUUGUGCUACUCGAUUUUAUGCGAAAACGAGUAAAAGGGUUGAAACUCUGUAUAGGGAGAUAUCUGAUUCGUAAUACACAGGGGUCAGAGUAGUUGAACCCUGAAAUAGGGGAGAUUUUAACUAAUAAACUGUACUAAUUGGCUCGACCAAAAUAUCUAGACAAAAUUUAGUAAAUAGAUAUAUGAAUCUAGUUUCAGGGAAAAUUUACGGAUCUUAAUUUCGAGUUUCAGAACUCGAGAUAUGAAUUUUUAAGCGACUGUGAUGCAGUUGGCUAGCUUGUUUGCAAAUUUUAAAAAUACAUUGUUUGAGCUGUUAAAUUAAUGAAUUAAGUUUAGUAACACCUCAAGCUCGACUCUAGCGACGGUCUCGGGCAUGAGGGCGUUACAUUUGGUGGUAUCACAGCAGGUUUAGUCAGUUUUCAGACUAAUGUGUUGUAUGUACGGGUUUUUCUAUACAUGCCAUAUAUAUUGUGAUAGUGUGACGACUUCUGACCUUUUAAAUGAUUUUUUUUCUAGUAAAUGGAUCUCGAUCCAGUUACGGCUAAUGAUGUAGAGAGUAAUGCAUCAGCUCUGGCUGAAGGGGCAGUGCCAAUUGAAAAUCCACCUCUUACUGUUGGUCAAGGAGGAGGAGAAGGGGCUCGGGAAGCCUUUCUCCUGAUGAUGAAUGCCUGGUAUACUGAGUUCGUUCGUACGAACCCGAAUGCACAACCUCCCCCACCUCCCCCGAUUCCUCAACCUGUACCCCCAAUGCCUCAAGGUUUAGAUCUAAUGAAACUUCACAGAACUCCAGUUGACAAAAUCCGUAAGCAAGGGGCCGAAGAAUUCAGGGCAAAUAUUGAUGAUGAUGCUGAGAAAGCAGAGUUUUGGCUUGAGAAAUCUAUUCGAGUAUUUGAUGAAUUGUCUUGUACACCUGAGGAAUGCUUAAAAUGUGCUAUAUCAUUGUUGAGGGAUUCAACUUAUCAUUGGAGGAAGACAUUGACUUCAGUAGUACCUAAAGAGAAAAUAACUUGGGAGUUCUUUCAAGAAGAAUUUCGAAAGAAAUACAUCAGCGAAAGAUUUGUUGAUCAAAAGCGUAAAGAGUUUCUUGAAUUAAAGCAGGGGAACAUGACAGUUACUGAAUAUGAAAGGGAGUUCACUAGGUUGAGUAAGUAUGCUAGAGAAUAUAUUCUUACAGAGGCUAAAAUGUGUAGACGAUUUGAAGACGGACUCAAUGAAGACAUUAAAGUAUUUGUUGGGAUUCUCAAAUUAAAAGAAAUGGUAGUACCUGUUUAUUGAGCUUGCAAGGCUGAAGAACUACUGAAAUAGAAGAAAAAAGUAGAGGCUGAGACUAGAAAUUGGAAGAAAAGACCGACGAGCAGUUCAUUCUCACAGCAAUCCAGAAAAUCUAGAAAUAUGAAUCCUCGUUCACAGGUUUCGGCUGGACAAUCAUAUGGAAAUUUUAAGAAGCAAAAUGUGGGUCUUAAAUCUCAGACUACUUCCAUGGCUAGUGUGGGAAAUUCGAGAUUUGUUAAGCCUGAGUGCCAGCGGUGUGGUAGAAAUCACUUUGGCCCAUGUAGAGCGAAUGAAUGUUUUCGGUGUGGUUCUCCGCAUCAUUUUAUUAGAGACUGCCUAGAGAGAGCUGAAAAAGAAAAAUUUCUUAGUGUAAAAGCUAGUGGUGCAGACUUGAGGGGAAGAUAUUCGAGAAAAACUAGAAAUGAAGCAAGCAGCAAAAAUGUAGCCAAAGAUUCAGCAGCUAAAUCUGAAGCAAGGGCUCCAGCUAGAACUUAUGCUAUAAAGGCACGUGAAGAUGCUUCAUCACCCGAUGUGAUUACUGGUAUAUUUUCUAUUUAUGAUGUUAAUGUUGUUACUUUGAUUGAUCCCGGUUCUACUCAUUCAUAUGUAUGCAUUAAAUUGGUGUCUAGUAUGAAUAUACCUGUUGAGAACACAUAAUUUGUGAUUAGAGUGUCGAAUCCAUUAGGCAAAUGUGUGAUAGUUGAUAAAGUAUGCAAGAAAUGCCCUUUAAUGAUUCGGGGUCAUUACUUUCCGGCUGACUUGAUGUUGUUGCCGUUUGAUGAAUUUGAUGUUAUUCUGGGUAUGGAUUGGUUGACAUUGCAUGAUGCUAUAGUAAAUUGCAAAGAAAAGGUUAUAGAAUUAAAGUAUGAAAGUGGUGAAAUUCUGCGGGUUGAACCAGGCAAAUUAGAGGCAUUAUCUAGUGUGAUUUCUUUGAUGUUGGCUCAGAGAUAUUUGAGAAAGGGUUAUGAAGCUUAUUUGGCGUAUGUAAUUAAUACAAAAGAAAUUGAAAAGAAAGUUGAAUCAGUGUCGGUUGUGUGUGAAUUCGCAGAUGUAUUUCCAGAAGAGUUAUCGGGUUUGCCUCCAGUCAGGGAAGUAGAAUUUGGUAUUGAAUUGAUACCGGGAACAGCUCCGAUCUCGAUUGCUCCGUAUAGAAUGGCACCAGCAGAGUUGAAAGAACUAAAGUCACAUUGCAAGAGUUGACUGACAAAGGCUUUGUGAGACCGAUUUUUUCACCUUGGGGUACUCCCCAGUUAUUUGUGAAAAAGAAGGAUGGUUCUAUGAGAUUGUGUGUUGACUAUCAGCAAUUAAUCAAGGUGACAAUCAAAAACAAGUAUCUGUUUCCAAGAAUUGAUGAUUUGUUUGAUCAGCUAAAAGGAGAGACAUGGUUUUCAAAGAUUGACUUGAGAUCUAGGUACUACCAGCUACGAGUAAAAAAGUCGGAUGUGCCUAAAACUACUUUUAGAACAAGGUAUGGUCAUUAUGAAUUUUUAGUUAUGCCAUUCGGGUUGACAAAUGCUCCUGCUGUGUUUAUGGAUUUAAUGAAUCACAUAUUUAGGGCAUACUUGGGCAAAUUUGUUGUGGUGUUUAUAGAUGACAUCUUAAUUUAUUCAAAAGAUGAGACAGAACAUGCUGAGCACUUGAAGAUAGUUUUGCAAACUUUGAGAGAUAAGCAGUUGUAUGCUAAGUUUCGUAAAAGUGAAUUUUGGCUUCGGGAAGUUGGAUUUUUAGGUCACAUUGUUUCAGGUGAUGGUAUACGGGUUGAUCCUAGUAAAAUUUUAGCCAUUGUUGAUUGGAAACCACCGAAAAAUGUAACCGAGGUUAGAAGUUUCUUGGGGCUAGCUAGGUAUUAUCGACGGUUUGUAAAUGGAUUUUCUAUGAUUUCUGCUCUUAUGACUAGACUUGUGACAGCCCUAAUUUGACCCUAGUCGGGAAGUGGUUUCGGGACCACAAAACUGAGUCAUAAAAAUAAUUAACUGUUAUAUUCUAUGCUUAUUAUAUGUGUACAUGCAUAUGUGAAAGUUUCAUGCUCUAAUUUUGUCAUUUGUAUGUGAAAUUAUUAAAUAGGACUUAUGUGAAAUAAUUGUGGAAGGUGUUAGGUAAUUUUAAAAAGGGGGUCUAUUAAUGCAUGUCACAAAAGGUUUGGACUUGCAUGUCAAAUAUACAUUUUUGUUUAUAGUGGCCGCCAUAAUGAUGCUUUAUAUUAAAUAUAUGUAUUAAUUAUUAGUUAAAUGGCUUUAUACUUUAUAAUAUAGAUGAAUAAAAUAAAAUAAUAAUAGAAAGAAUGGUGAAGAAAACAAAGUCUCAGCUUUGUUCUUCUUAGCCGAAUCUAAAGAAAGAAAAAAAAAUGGAGCAAGACAUUCGGCCAUUUGAAUCAUAAGGAAGGUUAGUAAAUUUUGUUAGGUUUUUUUUUUUAAAAUUCUAGCUUGUUUUAGGUUAAUCAUCAUGUUUCUUACUUAGGCCAUGUUAAAAUUUUGGAUUUGGGUGGUGAAUGGAGCAUUCGGCCAUGGUUGUUAAUGAAGAGAUUGGAUUAUUUUCAUUAUGUUUUGAUGAAUAAAUGUUGAUGAGAGAAGUUUGAACUAGUUAAAAGUUUAAUUUGAUAGUAUUUAUAUGUGUAAUAGCCGAACUUGGACUUGUUUAGUUACUUGAAUAAAUGUUUUGAAGUUAAAUGCUAAAAUAUGAGUAUUGCCGUUUAGAUGAUUUGAAAAGAAAAGGUAGAUGUUUGAAUGUCUAAAGGUUUGGUAUUGUACAUGAAUUCUAAUUGUAUGAUUUUGUAAAUUGCCGAAUGAGUUUUAGGAGUUCGAAAAUGGUUUAAUUUUCAUGUUUAAAUUUGGUUAUAUCCAAUCAUGGUUGGAGUUAUUUUGAUAUGCAUAGUAUAAGGUAUGUAUGAUUUGUGUUUUGGUUGCAUAACUAUACAUGUUUAAAUGAUAUGAAUGCAAAGAGUUGUGAAAUAGUAAAUUCUAGUAAAUCUGCUUGGGACAGCAGCUGUAAUGAGAUUUUGGAAACUUUACGGCAAUUGAUUUGGAGUUUCGUAGCUCCAAUUAUAAAUAAUUUAGUGACUGUUGCUCAGGAAGAGAACUUAUUGUCAAUUUAUGAUUAUGUGGUAAAUAUUGAUAAAAAUUUGUUAACGAGUUGCUUAAUGUUUUCUUAUAAACUUACUAUGAUCUAUAUGUGUGAAAUUCGUAUAUAUAGAUUAUAUUUUGAAAGUAAUACUUGAAUAGUCGAAUAAUAACUACUUUAAAAUUGUUGAAUUUAAGCUCAAGAGCAUAGAGAACCAAGGUUGGAGAAGGGAAAAGAGAAAGUAGUUGAAUAGCCGAUCCGAGUCUGUUCGAAAAUACUCGAGGUAAGUUUUGAGUAGUCACCUUUAGUAUAUAAUUGAUGAUGCCUUGAUAUGUGAUAUUUAUGUAUGGCUUUCGAAUCGAAAUGUAAAUGAUGGUAUUCAUAUGGAGCCUAUAUCUGAACGUAGCAAAUGACUACUAAUGUGAUAUGUUGAAUAAGUUGUGUUAAUAUAUGGUUAAAUAUGCAUGAUAUUUGAUGUGAAUCCGGGCUUAAAGACCCGCAGGCUAUAUUCUGGAAUUAUAUCCGGGCUUAAAGACCCGCAGGCUAUAUGCUGGAAUUAUACUCGGACUUAAGGUCCGCAGGCUAUGUGCUGGAAUUAUAACCGGACUUAAGGUCCACAGGCUACGUGUUGGAAAUAUGUCUGGGAAAAAGUCCCGCAGGCUUCGAGCUGGUAUUAUACCGGGUUUAAAUUCCCGCAGGCUUGUGCUGGUAAUUGGUUUCAAGUUCUAAGACCUGACAGGCUUAAUGCUAGUAAUUAAGUAAUACUACGAUAUUGAAUGUUCGCAGUAAACCAUCGUUGAGUAAGUAAUAUACAUUUAAGAUGUUCAGGUACGUAUUACUUACACAUAGGUGAUUUGAUUUCGAAGUGAAUCAUAGCAUCAAAGAAGAAUAUAUAUACAUUUAUAUAUAUAAGUGUAAUUGAUGGUUAUAUUAGCGAAUAUGAGAAUGAUUUAAUUGGUCAUGGUAUAUUUGUAUAUGAAUUAUAUAUUAAAAUUUCUUUAUGUACUCAUGAACAUUCAGUCAAUGAUUUGUGAAUUAUUAGUAUUAAAGAAUGAUACUUAAGUGUGAAUGAUUGUUAUUUCUACGAGUAAAGCAAUGACCUAUUCGAUCAAAUGUUGUUAAUAUAUGAGAUUAUUUAUUUUAAAUGCAUCGUAUGAACUAUUAGUAAAAGAAAAAUAUGUGCUGAGAAUCUAUGUUUAUGUUUAUGUGUAUUCGGCCAUGAAGCAAUUUAAAUUGAGAAUAAGUCUGUUUAAAUGAAUGUUUUGAUUUUCGAUAAGUUUUAAUUAUUUGUGAUGCUUAAAACUUACUAAGCUUUGAAAGCUUACUUCGUUUGUUACGUUCUCUGUUUUAUAGAUUGCUGAUUCCAGUUACCUGCUCGGAAAGGGAAUCGUCAGCUACUAGUCACAUUAUCUGUCAUUUUGGGGUACUACUAUAUUUUGAAGCUAGUAUGGCAUGUAUGGAAUAGACUUAAGCGAAUGAUAUUUUGAGAUGUACUUAUAUAUAAGCCAUGUGAAUAUGGCUACUUUUGAAUGUCGAUACAAGUUUGAAUUUCGAUCUUUAACUGAGUUUGGCGAUGUAUAUUUUUAUUUUAUUUUUUUAUUGUGUAUGUGUUUAAAAUAUUAAAUUUUGAAUCAGUAACUCUUCAUAACCCACCCCGGCGAUGGACACGGGUUAUAGGGGUGUUACAAGACUACUCCGAAAGGAUGUUAAAUUUGAAUGGACGGAAGAAUGUCAACAGAGUUUUGAAGAAUUGAAAAAGUUAUUAACUGAAGCACCAGUGUUAGUUCAACCCGAAUCAGGUAAAGAUUUGUGGUGUUUAGUGAUGCUUCUCGAAAUGGAUUAGGAUGUGUACUUAUGCAAGAAGGAAAAGUGGUGGCUUAUGCUUCGAGGCAGUUAAAAUCUCACGAAAGGAAUUAUCCGACUCAUGAUUUGGAAUUGGCUGCUAUAGUGUUUGCUUUGAAGAUUUGGCAACAUUAUUUGUAUGGUGAAAAGUGCCGAGUAUAUACCGACCAAAAAAGUCUUAAGUACUUUAUGUCACAAAAAGACUUGAAUUUGAGACAGCGAAGAUGGUUGGAGUUAUUGAAAGAUUACAAGCUUGUUAUUGAUUACCAUCCGGGAAAAGCGAAUGUGGUUGCCAAUGCUUUAAGCAGAAAGUUGCUAUUUGCUUUGAGAGCUAUGAACACUCAGUUAAAGGUAUCAGAUGAUGGUUCGAUUCUGGCAGAGUUAAGAGCAAAACCAAUGUUUUUACAAGAGAUUUGUGAAGCUCAGAAAAAUGAUCAAUAUUUGCAAGACAAGAGAAAGCAGUGUGAAGCUGAUACGGGAUUAGAUUUCAGAAUUAGUUCUAAUGGCUGCUUGAUGUUUAAAAACCGGAUUUGUGUACCGAAAAAUGAUGAAUUGAUUCAAAAGAUUUUGCAUGAAGCAUAUAAUGGUUGUUUGGCAGUUCACUCAGGUAGUACGAAAAUGUAUAAUGAUUUGAAGAAAAUGUAUUAGAGGAGUGGAAUGAAAAGAGAUAUUUAAGAGUUUGUAUCAAAGUGCUUAGUUUGUCAACAAGUGAAAGCUGAACACCAAGUACCUUCGGGACUACUCCAGCCUAUCAUGGUUCCUAAAUGGAAAUGGGAUCGGAUUACUAUGGAUUUUGUAUCAGGGUUACCGUUAACUCUGGGGAAGAAAAAUGCCAUCUGGGUAAUAGUUGACAGACUGACUAAAUCGGCUCAUUUUAUUCCGGUACGUGCAGAUUAUUCUCUUAAUAAGUUGGAUGAAUUGUAUAUCAGUGAGAUUGUUGGACUUUAUGUGAAUACCUUUUUCAAUCAUUUCGGAUAGAGAUCCGAGAUUUAUUUCACGGUUUUGGCAAAAGUUACAAGAGGCAUUAGGUACGAAGUUAAAUUUCAGCACUGCCUUUCAUCCAUAAACUGAUGGACAAUCAUAAAGAGUAAUUCAGAUUCUUGAAGACAUGCUUAGAUGUUGCAUAUUGGAAUUUCAAGGUAGUUAGGAAAGGUACUUACUGUUGGUAGAAUUUGCUUAUAAUAAUAGUUAUCAGACGAGUUUGAAGAUGGUACCUUAUGAAGCAUUGUAUGGUCGUAAAUGUCGGACGCCAUUGUAUUGGACUAAACUCAAGGAAAAUUAGAUUUAUGGAGUUGAUCUAAUAAAAGAAACCGAAGAAAAGGUGAAAGUGAUUCGAGAUUAUUUGAAAGCUGCUUCAGAUAGACAUAAAUCUUAUGCGGAUAUGGAACGAAAGGAAAUCAAGUUUCAAGUUGGUGAUAAGGUAUUUUUGAAAGUGUCUCUAUGGAAGAAAGUCCUUAGAUUUGGACGGAAGGGUAAGUUAAGUCCGCGUUUUAUUGGACCGUAUGAAGUAAUUGAAAGAAUUGGACCAGUAGCUUAUCGACUAGCAUUACCACUUGAAUUACCGAAAGUGCAUGAUGUGUUCCACAUAUCUAUGCUACGUCGGUAUCGUUCGGAUCCUUCACAUAUAAUUUCACCGACAGAAAUUGAACUAUGACCAGAUAUGACUUACGAAGAAGAACCGAUUAAGAUUUUAGCUAGAGAGGUCAAGCAACUAAGAAAUAAAAGUGUCGCUCUCUUGAAAGUAUUGUGGCAAAAGCACGGGGUAGAAGAGACUACAUGGGAACCUAAGGAAACUACGAGAAACCAAUACCCACACCUAUUUACUGGUAAGAUUUUCGAGGACGAAAAUCCUUAAAGGGGGGAGAGUUGUAAUAUCCUGAAUUAGGGCCUAAUCGGAAUAGUGGUUUCUUGACCAAAAAACCGAGAUAGAAAUAAUUAUUUUAUAAUUAUUUUGAUGUUUAUGAUAUGAUUGCAUGAUUGUGUGAAAAUUUUGUGAUGAAAUUCUAUGCCUAAAGUGCUUAAAUUGAAAUUAGGGACUAAAUCGAAUAAUUUGCAAAACUUGCAUUCUAGGCGUUUUUAGUAUGAAAUUGCUUUGGAAUAUUAAUGAGGAGAUCUUAAAUAGCAAUUUGACCAAUUUCUAAGUCUAUGGACAAAAAUUGGACAUGGAUGGAAUUUUUGGAAAGUUUAGAAUUAAGGGCAUUUUGGUCAUUUAGUUAUUAAAAUGAAUUAAAAACAAAAUUAAAAGCCAAUUUUUGUCCAUCUUCUUCAUUAGGCUGAAAUUUCAAGGGUUCUCCAUAGCUAGGGUUUGUUUCAAGCUUUCAAGCUCCAUAGUAAGUGAUUCCAAGCCCCGUUUUUAAUGUUCUUUACAUUUUUUGAAUCUCGGUAGCUCGAAUUAACUUAUGCUAGCAAUAAUUCAACCUAGGGUUCAUAUUUGGAAAAAUACCCAUAGGUGAAAUUUUUGUAUUUUGGUGUUUUAUGAUAGAAUAUGAGGUUUUAAAUUAUGUUAUACAACUUGUGCUACUCAGUUUUAAGCGAAAAUGAGUAAAAGGGCUUAAUCGGUAAAAAUACCUAAUAGUCAUAAGUACAUGUUAGAGUGUGAAUUUGAUGUUGCCAUAUAAGGGAAAAAUGAUCAGCAUGUCAUAAAACAUAAGAAUAAGGGAUGAAGUUUAAUUCCCAAGCCUAGGGGAAAAAGUGUAAUUAUGCAAAAGUUUAGGGGCAAAAAUGUAAUUUUUCCAAAGUUCAUUUUAAAUGUUGUUUUGAUGAAUGUAUGUAUUAAAUAAGAUUAAUUUGGCAUUAUAGAUCAAGAGAAAUUAGAUUCAAGUUGCGAUCGAGGGAAAAACAAAGUUUACGAAGAAUAGGCUCGAUUGCUAAUAUUUUGUAUCGAGGUAGGUUCAUGUGUAAAUGUAGUAACAUAAUUGUCAUUUUGAGAAAUUUAAUGUUGUUUAUAUGAUAUGAUGCUUAUUAUUAUCAUGAAAUGUUAUGUUUUGUGGUUAUUUUUGAAUAAUAUGUAAUUAUGUGAAUUACUUGAUAAGUAUGAACUAUCACCGAAGUAUCGAUUUCGAUAAUCCGUGGAAGACGGCAAAGAUGUGUAAUCGAGGAAAAUCUCGUUUGAACCUUGGGAAUAGAUUAGAAUACAAGUGACAUGUCACUAGGAUACUUGAGUUCCGAACUCGUUGAGUUGAGUCCGAGUUCGUGAGAUGUAACUAGGCAUCCGAACUCGUUGAGUUGAGUCCGAGUUCACUUAUGGAUGCGAACGCUCGAGCUCGUUGAGUUGAGUCCGAGUUCACUUAUGGGCGGGUUACAUGGUAGCUUGGCUACAUAAGUUCCGCAGGUUAUUGAGUUUGUCUAGCUGCAGGUAUGGCACUUACGUUCAUGAAAUCCGUGAAUUCGAAUUAUAUUCCGAUGUGUUUAACGGGUGAAUCUUAAGUGAAUGAGAAGAAUGCCUAAAACAAAGGUGAUAUAUUGGUAAGUGUGGUGAAUGAGAAAAUUUGACAGGUAUGUGCUUAAAUCCUCGGGUUGAGAACUUGGUAUGAUGAAAUCGUAGAAAGAUAUUAAAUGCAAAUGAAACAUGAAUGUCUUGGUGUUGUUUAUGCAAAUGAUGUUUUAUGUGGAAUUUCAUGAUUAUGUUACUUGUUAUUUGCAUGUGAACUUACUAAGCAUUUAUGCUUACCCCCUCCUUUUCAUUCAUUGUAGUUGUUGACAAGCCGGCUUGAGAAUCGGGAUAGGUCGAAGAUUCGUCCACACUAUCCGAAGGCCUAAAUUGGUAAAAUGGCUUGUGUAUUUUGAAUGUGGCAUGUAUGGAAAAAUACUCACUUUGUGUAAAUGAUCUUACGAUAUGGCUAUGGUUUGGAAAGAAAAGGGUUUGUAAAUGGCAAUGGCCAAUCUAAGUCAUAUUUGAUGUUAUGUAUGUUUAAAAUGCUAUUUAGUCCAUGAAAAUCUAUAGUAAAAUAAAAUUUGCCAUAAAACAGAAUCUGACAGCAGCAGUGAUGUAAAAUUGAAAAAAUCACUAAAAAUAGUAGAAAUGGAAUUAAAUAAUUAGUAAGUUAUGAAAUUGAAUCUUGAUGAGUCUAUUGUCAUACGAAUGGAACAAAAUAGGUUUCUAAGUUAUAUUUUGUGAGAUAUUUAAGUUUUGGUGGAACAGGGUCAGAGUGAACUCUGUAUGCCCUUUUCUGACUUUAAAAAUUCACUAUAAAUUUUAAAAAUACAAUUAUGAGUUUUAUCUUACAUUAAUGGAAUCCUUGUUGAGUCUAGUUUUAUAAGAAACAAACGACAUAGUCAUUGAAACUCUGUACAGGGAGAUAUCUGAUUCGUAAUACACAGGGGUCAGAGUAUUCGAACCCUGAAAUAGGGGAGAUUUUAACUAAUAAACUGUACUAAUUGGCUUGACUAAAAAUUCUAGAAAAAAUUUAAUAAAUAGAUAUAUGAGUCUAGUUUCAGGGAAAAUUUUUGGAUAUUAAUUUUGAGUUUUGGAACUCGAUAUAUGAAUUUUUAAGCGAAUAUGAUGCAGUUGGUUAGCUUGUCUGGAAAUUUUAAAAAUAAAUUGUUUGAGCUGUUAAAUUAAUGAAUUAAGUUUAGUAACACCUCAAGCUCGACUCUGGCGACGGUCUAGGGCGUGAGGGCGUUACAUCUUUCUUAUGUAUUGGAUACCAAAGUAUCUAAAUCGAAGAUUAACUCAGUGGUAGUAGUCUGUGAGUAUCCUGAUGUGUUUCCAGAAGAGUUACCCGGAUUACCGCCCAUUAGAGAGGUUGAAUUUUCUAUAGAUCUUAUUCUAGGGACAACACCGAUAUCUAUAGCACCGUAUAGAAUGGUCUCUAUAGAAUUAAAAGAGUUAAAAGCACAGUUGCAAGAACUGACUAACAAGGCCUUUGCUCAACCCAGUCAUUCACCUUAUGUGCACCUGUUCUGUUUGUUAAGAAGAAAGAUGGAUCCUUGAGAAUAUGUAUUGACUAUAGACAGCUCAACAAAGUUACAAUCAAGAAUACAUAUCCACUGCCUCAUAUUGGUGACUUGUUUUACCAGUUAAAAGGUUCCAUAGUAUUUUCAAAGAUUGAUCUCCGUUUUGGUUAUUAUUAGUUACAAGUCAAAGACUCGGAUGUGCCCAAAACAACCUUUAAAACUAGGUACAGGCAUUAUGAAUUUCUUUUGAUGUCGUUUGGUUUGACAAAUGUACUUGCGGUAUUUAUGGAUUUGAUGAACAUAAUUUUCAGACCGUAUCUAGAUAGAUUUGUUGUUGUAUUCAUUGAUGAUAUUCUGAUAUAUUCCCAAGAUGAAAAUAAGCAUGUUGAUCAUUUCAGAAUUGUUUUGCAAACUCUGCGUGAAAAACAGUUGUAUGCUAAAUUCAAUUAAUGUGAAUUUUGGCUUUGAGAAGUUGGUUUUCUUCGGCAUAUAGCAUCUGCUAAAGGCAUCAAGAUAGAUUCGAAUAAAAUUUCAGCAAUUGUUAAUUGGAAACCACCAAAAAAUGUGUCUGAAGAUAAAAGUUUUCUCGGAUUAGCUGGUUAUUAUCAGAGAUUUGUACAAGGAUUCUCGAUGAUAGCUUCGUAGAUGACACGGUUGUUGCAGAAGGAUGUAAAAUUUGAAUGGACUGAUAAAUGUUAGAAAAGCUUUGAUCAGUUGAAAGCCCUGUUGACUAAAGCACCUGUAACAUCCCGAAUUAGGUCGUAGUCUGUGACAGCCCAAAAUUGACCCUAGUCGGGAAGUGGUUUCGGGACCACAAAACCGAGUCAUAAAAAUAAUUGAUUUCCAUAUUCUAUGCUUAUUAUGUGUGUACAUGAGUAUGUGGAAGUUUCAUUCUCCAAUUUUGCCAAUUGCAUGAGAAAUUAUUAAAUAGGGAUUGAUAUGAGACAUGGUGAAAAUAUGAUAGGCUAAUUUAAAAUGGUCUAUUAAUGCAUGUUGUGAAAAUGAUGGGUUUGCAUGUCAAAUUACCCAAAAUUUGAGCUAGUGGUUGGCCAUGCUAUGGGUGGAAACAUGUUGGGAACAUGUUGGCCUAGUGAGGUAUGUAGGAAAAAAAUAAAAUAAGGGGCAUGGGCAUAAAAUAAUGAAAAGGAGUAUGAUGAAUACAAAAAAAAAAUGUGUGUAGUUGUUUGUUCCCCCCCCAUUGCCGUGAGCUAAAGAAAAGAAAGGAGAGAAUUUUUGUUCAUCCUUUUCUCAUCCUUUGGUCCAUCCUUGGCCAAAAAAAUUUUAAGGAGGAAAGAAGAAGAAAGGUGAAGAGAUUCGGCCAUGCAUGUAGCUAGGCUAAGGUAUGUUGAUGAUGUUCCAUGAGAUGCAUGCAUGUUUUAGUUGUUAGCUUGAGUUCUACCUAGCCCAUGGUCUAAAUCUUGCUAUGUGAUGGAAAUGACAUUUGACCAUGGAUGCAUCAUUCUUGGUUGAUGUUUGAUGUGGUGGUGAUGAGGCAAGAGGAUGAGUUAAAAUUCGGCCUAGGUGGAGGUUGUGUUAAUGCCAUUGCAUGCUAAAUAUGAAGUUUGUUAAUGAUGCAUGUGAUGAUGACUUGAUGAUUCUUGAACCUCCUUUUUAGCAUUUUUGUGUGAGCACAUAUGUGCAUUGGUUGCUAAAUGGAGAAGAAUCGGCUAGCAAGUUGUGUGCUAAGGCCGAAUGUAACUUUGCAUGUUAAUGAGCAAUGCAUGUGUUAAAUUGAUGGAAAGGGGGAGGAUGCCUUACUAGUGUGUAUAUGUGUUUAUUAAGUGUUGAAAUCGACCCCAAAAAUAGACAUGCAUAUUCGGCCAAGGGGGAAAAAAAUUAGCUAAUAUGUUGUGUUGAUGCAUGAUUUCACAUGUAUGUGACUUUGAUGUCUAAUGUAUAAAUAUGGGCUAAGUGCUUCGUGUUCAUCUUUUUGAUGCCUAAAUGAUGAAAUCAAUUUAUUUGUUUAAUUAAGCUCAAGAGCAAAGGGGAAAUAGAUCCGAUAAAGGGAAGGAAAAAGUGGUCGAAUAGUUAGCGGAAUCGUUCGACAACACCCGAGGUAAGUUCUUGAGUAAGAGAGCUUAAAUUACGAUGUGAUUAAAUCAUGUUUUAAGCAAAUUAAAAUCAUGCUCUAUGUGUGGCUAUUGAGCCGAAUGUGCAAGGAUGGUAUGUGCCUUGUGUUUGAGUUUUGCUAAUGAAAAAGAAAUACGAAUGUGCCAUGAAUUAUUGUUAGAUGUGCAUGAUUAAUUGAAUGCUGUCCGGGCUAAGUCCCGAAGGCUUUGUGCUAAGUGACUAUAUCCGGACUAAGAUCCGAAGGCCUUUGUGCGAGAUACUAAUUCCGGGUUAAGUCCCGAAGGCAUUCGUGCGAGUUUUAAAAUCCGGGUUAAGUCCCGAAGGCAUUGAAUGAGUUACUAUAACCGGGCUAUGUCCCGAAGGCACUUGAACGAGGAGCUAAAUCCGGUUAAAUUCCGAAGGUACGUGAUUUUGGUAAUGAAUGAGCUUGCUGUAAAAUUCCAGCUAAUACUCGAAAAACAUCCCGAUAUUGGGAUAUGUUACGUAUGUGCUUGAAUUUAGUUGAGCCCUUACAAAUAAGUAUUCGCUCAGUUGAUAAACGAGCUACCGGCCUUUGGCUGAGUUGAUCUUUUGUGUAUGUACAUAAGGGUUGAUAAUGUGAAGCAAGUACGAUAUCGUAAAUUUGUGCAUAUGAAAUUAUCCGUUUAGCUAUAUGAAUGCUAUACUUUUGUUGUGCUGGAAUUCCUUGCUCAAAACUUACUAAGCAUAAAUUGCUUACUCCGUUUCAUUGCUCCUCUGUUUUAUAGAUUUGGUUCUCCAGCUAUCGGACUCGGGAUCUUGAAGUCAAAGUCGCCCACACUAUCAAAGCCCCCCCUUUUGGUACAAUUUUGGUUGAACUUCGAAAUGGCAUGUAUAGGACUACCCGUUGUUGUGGGUCGUGGACCCUUUGGACUUGUAUAAAUUUUGGAUAGCCAUGCGAAAAUGGCUUAUAUGUGUUUGAGUAUAAUGUUAUAAUCAUUUGGUGUGGAUAUGCUUGACAAGGAUUGGCCACGGGGAUGGUUAAUCACUUUCCUAAAUUGUGCUAUGUAUGCAAAAAGGGCUAGUUGAACCAUGAAAUAGGUAAAGCCUACCAUAAAGGUAGAUGCUGACAGCAUCAGUGACGUAGAUUUGGAAAAUCACUAAAAAUAGUAGGAUUGGAAUUAAAUAGUGAAUAAAUUUUUUAAACAAACCUUGAUGAAUCUACUUUCAUAGGAAAGUAACGAAACAAUCAUACGGACAGUAUGUUAAGAGAUAUUCAGGUUCUCGUGAGACAGGGCCAGAACAGUUUCUGGAUUCCCUGUUCCGACUUUGGAAAUUCAUUAUAAAUUAACCAGAGAUAAUUAGGAGUCAUACCAUAUAUGUAUAGAUUCUUCUCUGAGUCUAGUUUCUAUAGAAACAAACGGCAUCAGUAUUGGAUCCCUGUACAAGGAGAUAUCCAAGUCGUAAUGCGCAAAGGUCAGGGUAGUCGAUCCCUGUAAAAUGGGAGAUUUUGACUAAUAAACUGUACUAAUUGGCCCAACCAAAAAUUCUAGAAAAAAAUAUGUGGAUGGGAAUAUGAGUCUAGUUUCAGGGAAAAAUCACGAAACUGAUUUUCGAGUUGUGAAACUCAAGAUAUGAUUUUUAAAGCGACUAGUACGCAGAUUGGCAGUGUCUGGGAAAUAUUUUUUAUAAGGGGUUUAAAGUCUGUUAACACCUCGUGUUCGACUCCGGUGUCGGUCUCGGGUUCGGGGUGUUACAUAGUCGGAACAGUGGUUUCGACACCAUAAAUCUGAGAUAGAAAUAAUUACUUUAUGGAUGUUACGAGGUCCAUGAUAUAUAUGCAUGCUUGUGUGGAAAUAUUAAUGAGAAAUUUAACCGAUAAGGUGUCCAAUUGAGUUAUUAGGACUAAAUUGCAAUAAGUGAAAAACAUGAGUUCUAGUUGAUUUAAGGGUUUUAUUGUGUUGCGAUUUGAAAUUUGAAGUCCUUAUUUGGUAAUUAGACCAUUAUAUGUCAUUAUGGACAAAAAUGGACGUAGGAGGAAUAAAAUAUUAAAGUUAUAAUGGAAGGGCAUUUUGGUCCAUUGGUUAAUAAAAGAAUUAAAAGGGAAAAAUAGUCAAAUUUGUGUCCAUCUUCAUCCUCCUUGGUCGAAUUUCACAAGAAGCCAUAGCUAGGGUUUCAUUCAUCUUUCGAGCUCAAAAUAAGUGCAUUCUAGCCCCGUUUUUAAUGUUCUUUAUAUUUUUGAAAUCCUCGUAGCUCGAUUUAGCUAUUUCUACCCUUAAUUUGAGCUAGGGUUCAUGUUCAAAAACAUACCCAUGAAUGACAUGCUUGUGCUUUGAUGUCUAAUGGAAGAAUAUGGAUGUUUGAUGUGUGAUAAACAACUUUUACUAGUGGUUUUUGGUAAAAUUGAUAAAAAGUAAAAGUUGUAGAAACUAUGUGUAAAUGUGUGAAUAAAUGAAAAAUGUGGGUUGGUAUAUGAGGGAAAAUGAUUCGGCUAGGCUUGAAUAAUGAGAAUAAGGGUACUUUUCAUUUUACGAACCUAGGUGCAAUUCUGUAAUUUUGUAAAAUUUUAGGGGAAAAAUUGUAAUUUUGCAAUAUCAUGAUUUUUGGAAUGAAAUGAAUAAUGCAUGUAUUAAAUAAGCUAAAUGUGCUACUAUAGAUCAAGAGGGAUGAGGGAUAGACCUUGACCGAGGAAAAGGCAAGGUUGUGGACUAAAUCGCAAAUUUGUAAUAUUUUGCACAAAGGUAAGUUGUGUGUAAGUAAUUCAACAACUCCAAUAUUACAUAUCUAAUAUUUGACAUUAUAUGAUAAACGUAUGUAUGCCUUAAUGAAAUUGACUUGUGAUGAUCCAAUGGAAGUUUAGCGAUAGCCUCAUGCCUCAGAAGCCUGGGUGACCCAAAGGAAUACUUAGGACUUGGAUGUCGUGACACUGUGCUAAAUGAGAUUCUGUGUAAGACCAUGUCUGGGAUAUGGCAUCGACGAUGAUAUAUGUGCCUGUGUAAGACCAUGUCUAGGACAUGGCAUCGGCGAUGAUAUAUGUGCCUGUGUAAGACCAUGUCUGGGACAUGGCAUCGGCGACGAUAUAUGUGCCUAUGUAAGACCAUGUCUGGGAAAUGGCAUCAGCGAUGAUAUGUGUGCCAGUGUAAGACCAUGUCUAGGACAUGGCAUCGGGGAUGAUAUGUGGAUUCAUGUAAGACCAUGUUAGGGACAUGGCAUUGGUAUUUGAUUUGGUGUAUGACCAUUCAAGAUGUUGGGUUAAGAAGUGGAGUGAUAUGAGUAAGAAUGUGCGGUACAGGUAUGUACAUAAAUCUCAUGAGUAUUGAACUCAAUUCAUGAUGGGAAAUUUAGCAUAAGUAGAAAGGAGUAAGAUAAGCUUGAUGUUUAAUGACAUUUAAUGUCAAUUUUGACUACGUUCAUAUGUGUAGUAUGAUAUUGUGGUGAUAAUUGAUAAUAUGUUUAAUCCAUGAAUAUCUUGACUUAUGUUGUUUAUUAUUCACAUGCAACUUACUAAGUCUUGUGCUUACCCUUCUCUCGUUUCCCUUUUCUUUUAGCAUCGUCAAGCUAGCUCGGGGAUCGUGGACAUCAGAGCUUGAGUCACACUAUUAACAAAUCUUUUGGGGUAUAAUUAGUUUACUACAUUUAAGUAUGGCAUGUAUAGGGGACUUAAUAUUUUGUUAUUUGUGUCAUAUUUGUUAGCCAAAGUGAUGGCUCUUUUUGGUUUAUUGUUCCUUUUUGUAUAUGGCCAUGAAAUAUGGCUUAUAUUGAUUAUUGAGUUGAAAUCCCUAAAUAUUGUUACAUGCAUGACAUAUGUUAUUACUUUUGUGGUGUGUGCUAAAUGGUUGAUAAAAUGUGGAAUUUUUUCUUGAUGGAUAAAUGAUGCCAAUUGGUAUGGUCACUAUAUUAAUAAAGGUAAAGAAAUGUAUUGAAUGAACUUAAUAAGUCAAGGAGUCCCAAUUAGGUAAACUUGAUAUGAAUUCAUCAUGCAUGAGUGAAACCUAUAGAUGUCUACCUAACCCUUUUAUGCCAUGCCAACCACCAUUGGCAUGUGAGUGUGUGUUGGGGUUGUUAAGGGUGUCAAGAGGGCUUGGAAUAUAGCCUCAAAGUUGUCCACACGGGUAGACUCACAGGCAUGUGUCUAGGUCGUGUGUGACACACGGUCUGCCCCAUGGACAUGUAGUCCAGUCGUGUGUCCCAUGCACCCUAGUUUUAGAAGUCAGUAUGCAUGGUAGUAAACACACAGGUAGAGAUACGGCCAUCUGUCUCAAUCGUCUGGAGGACACGGCCUUAAGACAUGGGCGUGUGUCCAGGCUGUGUGACGUCUGCACCUUAAAUGCGAAAAUUAAAUUUGCCACAUGGCCUAGCACACAGGCGUGUGACUUGGCCAUGUGAAAUUAAAUUUAUACUGACGUCAUAAACAGAGUGUUACACGGCCUGGAGACACGGGCUUGUCAAGGGCGCAUGGGCAUGUCCUUGUGUCCACACGAGCGUAUGACCCUGUUUUAAGAAAAUUUUUCUAAAGUUCACGGUUUAGUCUGAAACUACCUCGAUGUACAUUUUGGGCCUCGUAGGACCCUAUAAGGGACGAUAUUUAUUCUUGAAUAAAUUUUAAAUUUGAACAAAAUUUUAUGUCUCGGUUUUACAUAGAAGUGUAUGUUCAAGUCGGGUAAUGCCUUGUAUCCUAUCCUGGCGUUGGACACAGGUAACAGAUGUUACAGCACUAGUUCUAGUUUAGCCUGAAUCGUGUAAGGGAUUUGUAAUAUAUAAUAAUGCAUCGUUGAAUGGUUUAGGCUAUGUGUUGAUGCAAGAAGGUAAAGUAAUAGCCUAUGCUUCUUGUAACAUCUUGAUUUUGGGUCUAGUCAGAACAGUGGUUUUGAAACCACAAAUCCGAGGAUGUAAAAUUAUUUUAAUAUUAUUUUUAGUGUUUAUAGCAUGUGAAUGUGUAUGUGUAAAAAAAUUUGUGAGCUAAUUUUACCGUUUAGUAGCUUCAUUUGAGAAAAAGGACUUAAUCGCGUAAAAUGUGAAAGUUGUGUUCUAUUAGCUAAAGGUGUUAAAUAGCUAUAGAACUUAAAAUUUGAGGUCCUAAAUGAGUAAUUAGGCCAUUAUAUAUGCAUAUGGCUUUACAUGAAGAGUAAUAAAUGAAAAGUCAAAAAGCCAAAAAUUGGGUAGGGUUGGUAUUUGAUGACAUUAGCUAAAUGAAUAAAAAAAUAAAAUCAAAUAGUCAUCUUUCUUCUCCAUCUUUUCCACCAAAAAUUGAAGUGAAAAACCCCAUGGGAGCUUGAAAAUUUUCAGCACAAUAAACCCCUACAUGUAAGUAAUUUUGAUGGUUAUUUUUGUUGAUUUUUGUGUUUUUGGAACCCUUAUAGCUUAAUUUAGCUAAUGAGGGGACUAUUUUGCACUAUGGUUGGAAGUCUAGGGUUUUUCCAUUAGAGCAUUAAUGUUUUUUACUGAAUUUUUUUGGAAUAAAAUGAAUUUUGGUUGUUAAAUAAACAACUUUUGUUAAGUGAUUUUCAUGAAAACACUUAAAGAGGACCUUUUUGUAAAAGUUGUAAAAUGAGUGGUAAAUGAGUAGAAUAACUAAAAUUGUGAGCUGUUAUAAGUUUAAUAAAGAUCUUGCUAGGCUUGAGUAGUAAGGAAAUUUGAUGAAAAUCAUUUUACGAGCCUAGGGGCUAAACUAUAAUUAUGUGAAAAUUUAAGGACAAAACUAUAAUUUUUUCAAAAUAUGAUUUAUGGGUUGUUUUGAAUAAUUUAAUAAUUAAAUAACUAAAAUUCUCUAUUAUAGAUCAAGAUAAACGGAGUCCGGGCCUAGACCGAGGAAAGAGCACGAUCUUGGACUAAAUCGAAAUAGUUGUCCAUAUUUUGUACCGACGUAAGUUUGUGUGUGAUUGAAACAAGUUUUUAUUAUCCAUUUAGCAUUUAAUGUUAUAUCAAUUGUAUAAUUGUCUUCACGAAUAUUAUCGAUGUUGUUCAAUAAAGAUUCGAGGUGAUAAAAGCCAGUUGAACCUUAGGGAUACUUAGGGUACAAGUAGGAUGACAUUUGGGUUGGUGAGAUCCCGUAUAAGACCAUAUCUGGGAUAUGACAUUGGCAUCAGCAUGAGUUAUCAUGUAAGGCCAUAUCUGGGAUAUGGCAUUGGUACGAGAUUUCGUGUAAGACUAUGUAAUAGACCAAUUUAGGGCCUAGUCAGAACAGUGGUUUUGGAACCACUAACCCGAGGUUGAAAAAAUUAUUUUUAAUAUUAUUUUAUGUGUUAUAGCAUGUUUAUAUGAGUGCAUGAAAAUUUUGGUGAAAUAAUUUUAGCGAUUUCAUGCUCAAUUGCGAAAAAGGACCAAAUCGCAUAGGAGACAAAAGUUUUAUUUCAUUAGCUAAAGGUGUCAAAUAGCUAUAGAACCAAAAUUAAGGGUAUUUAAAGGGAAAAUAGGCUUUUAUUAAUGGCAUGACUGGCCAUAGGGACAAGAAAAUCAAAAAUGUCAAAAAUUAGGUGAAAUUUGGUGACCAAUUUGACUAGAAUAAAAUAAAAUAAGGAAAAAUUAUCAUCUUUUUUUCUCUUCUUCUCUUCUCCACUGAAAUUUUCAGGAAGGAAGAGGGUCUUGAAAGCUUGAAAUUUUUAUCCAUUAAGUUCUCUCAUAAGUAAGUGAUUUUGAUGACUUUUCUUGAUAAUUUUUGUACUUUUGUGACCCUUGUAGCAUAAGCUAACUAAUGAAGGGACUAUUUUGCAAAAUGGUUGAGGGUCUAGGGUUUUUCCAUGAGAUUAUUCAUGUUGUUUGUCGAAUUUUUAUGGAAGAAAAUAAAUCUUGGUUGUUAAACAAACAAUUUUUGUGAAGUAGUCUAAGGACCAUUUUGUAUAAGUUAUAAAUUAUGUGGUAAAUGUGUGAAAUAAUGAGAAUUGUGGGCUGCUUCUAGUAUAAAAAGAAUUUGGCUAGGCUUGGGUAGUGAGAAAAUAUGAUGAAAAAUCGAUUUACGAGCCUAAGUGUAAAAUAGUAAUUUUGUGAAAGUUUAGGGGCGAAAUGGUCAUUUUUCCCAAAUAUGAAUUAUGGAAUGCAUUGAUUAAUAUGAUGAUUAAAUUAGUGAAUGUUUAUCAUUUUAGAUCAAGAAGUAUGAAAUCUAAACCUAGAUUGAGGGAAGGCCAAACAAGGAGAUUAAAUCCAACUAGUCGCCCACUUUUUGUAUACAGUGGUAAGUUGUACGUAAGUAAGGAAACUUUAUCAUUAUUAUGUGUUGAAUGAUUAAUUUUGCGUAAUAUGGUUGAACAUGCUUAUGAAUAAUGCAUGGUGAAAUUCAAUGUAGUAGAGUCCGGAUUGAACCUAGGAGUAGAUUGGAUAUCCAUGCCAUGAUGUUUGGGGGGUGUGUGUGCCAGUGUAAGAUCAUGUCUGGGAUGUAACACCCUAAACCCUGCCUAGAUGCUAUGGCCAAAAUCUGGCAUGUCACAUUGAAGUGUUUUUCGAAAACCAUAUUCUCAUUGAAAACCCUUCUUGCUAUUUAGAACCUCUAGCCAUUAUAAAACUUUGUGAAAACCUUAGUUUCUGUUGGUUUAUUAAAAGUCAUUCUCUUGUAAAACAUUAUUACCUUUAAAACUUUAUUUGCUGCGGAAGCUUAGUUUAAAGUUUUGCAGAAAUGUGAUAUUUUGAAAAACAAUUAUUAUUUUGGAAAAGAAAAUCGUGCUCUACUCCAGCAGUUAUAAAAUAGUAUAUAAAAUUCCAAUUUUAGAACCAGGAAUUAAAAGAGGCCUUGUUACAACCCAGAUCAAAUAUAAGUACUUCUAAAUAGAUAACUUAAAAGAAAGUCGGAAACAAUAGCAGUUGUGUUGCCACCUCCGAGUCCCUCGCAGCACUGAUCCUCCUAAUGCUAGGGAUUACCUGCACAGUCUAGUCCAUUAACAGUUGGGCCAAGUCCAUUCUCAAAAUCAGUAACAGUUGGGCCUAGCAAUAGAAUCAGGUGGGCCUCAGCCCAGUACAGAAUCAAUAUCAGAUGUAGAUAUGCAGAUAGAUUCCCAGCCCAGUCCAACCAACACACCACCCAUACCAACCAACACACCAUGUAGGGAUAAAAUUGACCCACCUAGCCAAGACACCAAGCUUAGUACUGGUUACGACACUAAGUCAACAGGAUGGCUCAAUACCGUAGACAGGACGGCUCAACGCCGUAGACAGGACGACUAAAGGCCAUAAGUAUCAUAUAAAGGCUGAAAGCCUUGUACAGAACGGCUACAGGCGACACACUUCCUCCGUCCAUAAUAACCUAACCCCAUGCAAUAUGUCAUGUAACACCCCAAACCCGACCCAAACGUUAUGGCCAGAUCUAACGUGUCACAUGGACUUACGACUUAGUAUGCAUUCGCUGGUUUAAGUAAUUGGGGUGGUCUUUGUAAAAACAGCGGUUGAAUGAAAAGUCGGUUUAUCAAUCUUUAGGCUAUCCAUUUGUUCUGCUUGUUGAGUCUUGAAAACGUUCAUUAAUUUUGAAAACUUGCGCAGCCUAACACUAGCAGUUUCGCCAUAGUAUAAAUAUAAUCAGAAAAUAAAACCAUAGCGGAAAAAAGAAAUUUAAAUAACAACCUUAUUACAACUUAAAACCCAAAAUUAAAUCAGAAUAUAAAAUAAUAAAAAUAAACUAACUUAGAAAAACCAACUUUGCAGAUGAUGUGGCCACUCCGAAUCCCUCACAGCUCCAAGGCCACUAUGGUUGGGGAUUUCCUGCAUAGAUGAAAAUAAAGGGUGAGUUCGGUAAACUUAGUGUGUAACAUAACUCAACCAUAGCCCAAAACAGAUCAAACCUCAGAGUCAGGGCCUUGGCCCAGUACAAAAAUCAGAAUGAAACCCAUAGGCCCAUAGCAGAUAGAGAACAAAUAUAUCAUGAAUGCAGAAAUCCCAACCUAGAGCCAUCCAUAACACCCCUGUACCAGCCUUACACCAUGUGGGGAGACUACUCGACCCACCCAACCGCUACACACCACAGAAAUUGCAGCGAGGCUACCAGAUAUUGUGACGAAGUCACCAGAUACAGAUAUUGUGGCUAGGCCACCAGAACAAAUAUAUAUAUGUGGUGAAGCCACCAGAUUGCAGCGAGGCUGCUAGAUAUUGUGACGAAGUCACCAGAACAGAUAUAUGUGGCGAGGCCACCAGAUUGCAGCGAGUCUUCCAGAAUGCUUCCACCAUCAAUAUAAACCCAUGUCCCAUGCAACAGAAAUAAUAUGUCAUGGCAUACGUAUAUAGAAACAGAACAUCAUGCUUUUCAGAAAAAAAUAACCCUAGGGGUAAAAUCGUAAAUUUGCAUGCAUAAGGGUAUUUCAGUAAUUAUUACCAAUUGCUAAGGUUUCAUGCUCAUUCUAACGUUUACCAAGUAAUCAGAAGUACUUACCUCGUCCUUUUACCAAAGUGGGCCCGUUGGCCCAUUGGCCCGUUUUCAGCCCAUUAAGCCCAAAAAUACAGUUGUGCACGAAAAUGCACACUCUGCACUUUAAUCAUCCAAAUGCACCAUAUUCAUUAACAACUGUCUCACUAGCGCUCGCACUCUCGUAAGUUCACAAAAUACCAGCGUUUCUGUAUUUCAGCUUUUACCAAUUCAGUCUAAGGGAGGGUGUCGUUUACACACCUGGUUGAUGACUAUUGAUGACGAUAUCUCCCACGCGAUAAUCCUACAAUCGAUCACUAACGCAUUAGACUUACGAAUUAAGGAUAACUAACAUAAAUCCACGUCAACUAACCCACUAAUCACACAAGUUAGUCAUUUACGCACAACGGGUAAAAUAGUCAUUUUACCCUCCAGGGGUAAAUCGGUAGUCCUACCUUACAGUGGUAUUUUAGUAAUUCUAUCCUACAGGGGUAUUUCAAUAAUUGUACAACUUAUCCACUUGGGCCUACGGACCCAUUGGGACCACAUGGCCCAUUUUAGCCCAUUACGGCCCGGAAUAGCCGUCCUACUGCUAGAGUAAUGAGAAAUACACACCUGUUAGGAGACUGCAGUUAAUCCGCACUCCAAACACUCUUAGCUGACGCCCAACCUAAACGAGCACGUCACAAAGCGAAUGGGAUCAGCCAAGAAGAGUAUGCCUACUCUCCUCAUGGUUUGCUCUAUUUAAAGCCAGUUCUCCAUCUACUCUUAUGUUAGCUUCCUGAUGUGGGAUCCCUCCAUCACCAGAGUUUAAAACCAACACCAACCCUUGCCGUCCCAACAUAGCAAAAUAAUCAACCUUUACGUGCCAAGGGAUUCGAACCAAAGUCCUCUCACAUGCCAACUCACGUCACCACCACUAGGCCAUCAACUCAUUUGUGUCAUAAAUCCAACAUAUUAAACUUUAAAGUGCACCUACUUGCUUCCAGAUUUAUUGAAAAGAAAAACCAAAAUAUAUUGCAAGAGCCAAGACCUGAACCUUGGACCCCUUGCUUCCUCUAUGGUGUCACUUCCUUGUCCCCUAAGUGGCGCCACCUUGCCACUACACCACACUUCUUUUUGUGUUAUCUUUUACCCCUUUACUCUUAAAAGCCCAAACGCCAAUUGCAUCACCUGUUCAUAAAAUUAAAAUUUCGAAGACUACCACGGAUUUAACUUAAGUUUGGGCCUUCUAAAGGCCCACUAACUUACUAAAAUAUAUAUUUUAACCAACCAUAUCACACAAAAAUUUUAAAAAUCAUAGAAACACAGAAAACUCAAAAAUUGGGGCAUUACAACUCUACCCUCCUUAAAGAAAUUUUGUCCUCGAAAUUUUACCUCUCCCACUCACAAAAUCCAUGGUUACCCUCUCUCACUUCCAAAGUGGUACUUUCACUGGCUGCAAAAGUCUGGAAGGUAAUUGAUGUUUAGCUUUCACUUGCUGACAAGUCAGACAUUUUCCUACAACUUUUGUUACCUCUCGCUUCAAUCCAGGCCACCAAUACAACUCUUUUAAGUCGCGAUACAUUUUACUCCCUCCAGGAUGCAUAGCACACAGACCUCCAUGGGCUUCUUUCAGAAUUGCUUGCCUCAAGUCAGAGUCCUUAGGAAUACAAACUCUACCUCGGUAACACAGAACUCCCUCACUGUUCAGUCUGAACUCAGAAGUAUCCCCAUUCUUAACCUGCCAGAAUCGAGAAACCAGGGACUCAUCCCUCGACUGUUUUUCCUUAAUCUCAUCUACCCAGGUCGGCCUAACUUGUAGUUCUGCUAACAGACUACCGUCGUCAUACAGACUCAAAUGAGAAAACAUGGCUCUCAGAUCAGAUAUAGUUCUAUGACUUAGGGCAUCAUCCACUACAUUAGCUUUGCCUGGGUGAUACUCAAUCGCGCAGUCAUAAUCCUUAAGAAACUCUAUCCAUCUCCGCUGCCCAAGGUUUAUCUCCUUCUGAGUCAGCAAGUACUUAAGACUCUUAUGAUCUGUGUAUAUAAUACACCUUUCUCUGUACAGGUAAUGUCUCCAAAUCUUAAGCGCAAAGAUUACUGCUACCAACUCCAGAUCAUGAGUAGGAUAGUUAACUUCAUGUGGUUUAAGUUGUCGCGAUGCAUAAGGAACCACUUUAUCCUCUUGCAUCAGCACACAGCCCAACCCUACAUGUGAUGCAUCACUGCAUACGGUAAAAUCUUUUCCAGACUCCGGCUGAAUCAGUACAGGUGCCUCGCUCAGAACUUUCUUCAACUUCUCAAAAGAUUCUUAUUGUUUCUCAGUCCAAACAAACGGUACUCCCUUCCUUAUAAGCUUUGUCAAAGGCGCUGCCAUCACAGAAAAUCCUUCCACAAACCUUUUAUAGUAUCCAGCGAAACCCAAAAAACUUUAAAUUUCCGACACUGACCUCGGUGGCUUCCAUUCCAGAAUCACUUCAAUCUUUCGAGGGUCCACCUUGAUCCCUUCAGCAGAGACAACAUGCCCCAAGAAAGUUACCUCUCUCAACCAGAACUCACACUUUCUAAAUUUCGGAUAAAGCUCCUUCUCCCUCAGCACUUGCAGCACAAUACGAAGAUGCUCAUAAUGCUUCUCCUCAGUUUCAGAAUAAACCAGAAUAUCAUCGAUAAAGAAAACCACGAAUCGAUCCAAGUAUGGCUGGAACACUCGAUUCAUCAGAUCCAUAAAUGCCGCAAGUGUGUUCGUCAACCCAAAUGGCAUAACCAAGAACUUAUAGUGACCAUACCGAGUUCUGAAUGUCGUCUUGUGAAUAUCCACCUCCUUAACCCUCAACUGAUGAUACCCAGAUUGAAGGUCAAUCUUUGAAAAUACUGAAGCUCCUCUAAGUUGGUCGAAUUAAUCAUCGAUUCUCGGCAGUGGGUACUUGUUCUUAAUCGUCAGUUUGUUCAACUGUCGAUAAUUGAUGCACAUCUGCAUUGACCCAUCUUUCUUCUUUAUGAACAACACUGGUGCUCCCCAUGGAGACACACUUGGUCUAAUGAAGCCUCUAUCCUAUAACUCUUGAAUUUGGGCCUUCAGCUCCACCAACUCCUUCGGUGCCAUCCUAUAAGGUUUAAUGGACACCGGUGCCGUUCCAGGCAACAAGUCGAUUCCAAACUCAACCUCUCGAUUUGGGGGCAAACUCGGAAGCUCCUCUGGAAAAACAUCUUGAAAAUCCUUGACGGUUCUAACUUUAUCCACUGCCAGAUGCUCAGUUUCCGAUUGGCUUACAAAUGCCAAAUAAGCCUCACAUCCCUUUCGAAUCCACUUCUUGGCUCUCAAUACUGACACCACAUUAGACAGAUAAUCCCUACGCUCGUCUAUCACCAAAACCUCCUCAUCCUUUGUGGUCUUUAACAUUAUUCGCUUAGCAGCACAAUCUAGAGUAGCCCUAUGCUUAACAAGCCAAUCCAUUCCCAAAAUAAGAUCGAAUUCUCCGAAAGGUAGCUCCAUCAGAUCUCUAGAGAAAACUUUUCCUUGAGUUUCUAUAGGCACAUCUCUAUACAAUUUAUCUACUCUAACUGAGUGACCCAAAGGACUUAGUACAGAUACCCCACUUACGGUCUCCUCAGAGCACACACCCAGCGACCCAGAUAUAGCACAUGCAACAUAUGAAUGGGUAGAUCCAGCAUCUAUCAACGCAGUGUAUGGCAUACUGGAAAUCAGAAACGUACCAUUUAUGAUGUCAAGUGCAUCACCCUCCUCUCGGCGACGAGCUGCAUACACCAACUCCAGCUGAUGAGCCUCAGCAAAUCAGCACCCCUGCCAGGCGCUCAUUUUCCUCGACCGUUUCCAUUACCACCUUUUCCUUGCCGCUUCCUCUCGGAAUCUAUGGUCCACCCCUUACUGGUUGAGCGACCCACUGCUCUAAAACUUGAACCUGAUCUGGUUCUUGGGGACAAUCCUUAACCCUAUGCUCCACAGAUCUGCAUUGGAAACAAGCACCAGAAUGUUUCCGACACUCAUCCAUAUGCAUCUUCCCACAAUUCCUACAACCCUCCGGUCUAAUAGCAUUCAUCGGUACUGCUCGAACUAGCUCCAUUACCCUUGCUCUCUUAACAUUCCUGUUCAUACCACCUGAAAGUCCUGAAUCUCUCCUAAAACAGUUCUGAUCUUUCUUACGAUUCUAUCUUUCUCUAUGCUUCACUUCCUCAGCUAUCUUAGCUUUUUCCACUAAAGCAGUGAAGUUACACUCCCUCUGUGGAGCAAUCAGCACCCUAAGUUCAUCUCUUAGACCAUCCUCGAAGCGUACGCUAUGCUCAUACUCUGUAGCGACAAUCGCAGAAGCAUACCGGCUAGUCUCAGAAACUCAGACUCAUACUCAGCCAUUGACUUACUCCCUUGGACCAGGUUCAGAAAUUCUUUUCGGUGAGCGUCCACGUAACUAGCCCCAACAUACCUUCCUUUGAAGGCUGUCUUAAACAACUCCCAAGUCACACUGUCAGCAGGAGUUCCAUCUCUCAUCGUGAGCCACCACUGAUAAGCCUCAUCCCUGAGUAACGAUAUGGCUCCCUUCAGCUUCUGCUCCACAGAGCAAUCCAGAUCAUCCAUAAUUCGCUCUGUGGCUUCUAACCAAUACUUAGCCACAUUCGGAGCUACACCAAAUACGCCCCUAAAUAUCUCUGCUCCAUUGGCCCGGAGACGCUCAGAAUUGGACCCCCUAAUUUUGUUUCCCGUACUUGCCCCAACAAUCCUUUCCAAAACUCGAAACAUUUCCUAGGAUAGAGCAUCGUCCCCGAUACCUCGAUCACGACACUCUACCUCUGUUGCUGGUGGUACCAGUGCAUCUACUGCCGGCACAUGUCCUGAAGACAAAGAUUCAGCCUCAGCAUUACCUCGGCCACGUCCACGGCCUCUUCCACGAGCUGCUCGUGUACUCAUUUUGUAUUAUCUGAUUAAGAAUUUUAUGAAUCAGUUAAAUAUUUUAGUCUUUAUUACAGAUGUCUUAUGAAUAAUAGUAAUUCAGAGUUUGAGUUUGUUUCCUUUUACGGUAGCCUAGCUACAGUCUUAGUCUACUUAUCAGAGUUUCUACGGUUCCAGUGUUACCCUAACUAAAGUACCAUGAUAAGGUUUUGUACAAGCAUAUAAUAGAUAUUUUAGAAACAAUUAGAAAGGCUCAGAAAACUUACAGACUUGGGCCAGAGAUUCGGUGUGCCACCUUCUAAAAAACCUAAUUUUAGAAAACCGAUUUUAAUCUUUAAAAUCAUCUAUUUGUAAAGAGAAAAUAUUGGAAACAUUCUUGAAAACAAUUUAUAAUCAAGUUCCAAAAAAAUGAUUUUCGAAAACCUUUAUUCAGUGUUUCUUUACAAACUCCCGUUUUUAGACCCGUUCCACAAUCGUGUUGUUGCAACUUGUCUUUAAUACCACUAAAUGUAACUCCCUAAACUCGACUCAGACGUUAUGGCUAGAUCUGACGUGUCACAUGGACUUACGACUUAGUAUGCAUUCGCUGGUUUAAGUGAUUGGGGUGGUCUUUGUAAAAAUAGCGGUUGAAUGAAAAGCCGGUUUAUCAAUCUUUAGGCUAUCCAUUUGUUCUGCUUGUUGAGUCUUGAAAACGUUCAUUAAUUUUGAAAAACCCGCGCAGCCUAACACUAGCAGUUUCGUCAUAGUAUAAAUAUAAUCAGAAAAUAAAACCAUAGCAGAAAAAAGAAAUUUAAAUAACGGCCUUGUUACAACUUAAAACCCAAAAUUAAAUCAGAAUAUAAAAUAAUAAAAAUAAACUAACUUAGAAAAACCAACUUUGCAGAUGAUGUGGCCACUCCUAAUCCCUCACAGCUCCAAGCCCACUAUGGUUGGCGAUUUCCUACAGAGAUGAAAGUAAAGGGUGAGUUCGGUAAACUCAGUGUGUAACAUAACCCAACCAUAGCCCAAAACAGAUCAAACCUUAGAGUUAGACUUAUCUAGCCCUUGGCCCAGUACAGAAAUCAGAAUGAAACCCAUAGGCCUAUAGCAGAUACAAAACAAAUAUAACAUGAAUGCAGAAAUCCCAACCCAAAGCCAUCCAUAACACCCCCGUACCAGCCUUACACCAUGUGGGGAGACUACUCGACCCACCCAACUGCUACGUACCAUAGAAAUUGCAACGAGGCUACCAGAUAUUGUGACGAAGUCACCAGAUACAGAUAAUGUGGUUAGGCCACCAGAACAUAUAUAUAUGUGUUUGUGUGUGGCGAAGCCAUCAGAUUGUAGCGAGGCUGCUAGAUAUUGUGACGAAGUCACUAGAACAGAUAUAUGUGGCGAGGCCACCAGAUUGCAGCAAGACUGCUAGAACGCUUCCUCCAUCAAUAUAAACCCAUGUCCCAUGCAACAGAAAUACUAUGUCAUGGCAUACGUACACAGAAACAGAACAUCAUGCUUUUCAGAAAUAAAAUAACCCUAGGGGUAAAAUCAUAAUUUUGCAUGCAUAAGGGUAUUUCAGUAAUUAUUACCUAUUGCUAAGGUUUCAUGCUCAUUCUAAUGUUUACCAAGUAAUCAGAAGUACUUACCUCGUCUUUUUACCAAAGUGGGCCCGUUGGCCCAUUGGCCUGUUUUCGACCCAUUAAGCCCAAAAAUACCAUUGUGCACGAAAAUGCACACUCUACACUCUAAUCAUCCAAAUGCACCACACUCUACCAUUGCUCGCACGCUCGCGAGUUCACAAAAUACCAACGUUUCAGUAUUUCAGCUUUUAUCGAUUCAGUCUAAAGGAGGGUGUCGUUUACACACCUGGUUGACGACGAUUGAUGACGAUAUCUCCCACGUGAUAAUCCUAGAAUUGAUCACUAACACAUUAGACUUCUGAAUUAAUGAUAACUAACAAAAAUCCACGUCAACUAACCCAAUCAUCAGACAAGUUAGUCAUUUAUGCAAGACGGGCAAAAUAGUCAUUUUACCCUCCAGGGGUAAAUCGGUAGUCCUACCCUACAGGGGUAUUUCAAUAAUUCUAAAACUUAUCCACUUGGGCCUACGGACCCAUUGGGACCACAUGGCCUAUUUUAGCCCAUCGAGGCCCGAAAUAGCCGUCCUACUGCUAGAGAAUGAGAAAUACAUACCUACUAGGAGACUGCAGUUAAUCAGAUCUCCAAACACUCUUAGCUGACGCCCAACCCAAACGAGCACGUCACAAAGUGAAAGGGAUCAGCCAAGAAGGGUAUGCCUACUCUCCUCAUGGUUUGCUCUAUUUAAAGCCAGCUCUCCAUCUACUCUUAUGUUAGCUUCCCGAUGUGGGAUCCCUCCAUCACCAGAGUUUAAAACCAACACCAACUCUUGCCGGCCCAACAUUGCAAAAUAAUCAACAUUUACGUUCCAAGGGAUUCGAACCAAAGUCCUCUCACAUGCCAACUCACGCCACCACCACCAGGCCAUCAACUCAUUUGUGUCAUAAAUCCAACACAUUAAACUUUAAAGCGCACCUACUUGCUUCCAGAUUUAUUGAAAAGAAAAACCAAAAUAUAUUGCAAGAGCCAAGACUUGAACCUUGGACCCCUUGCUUCCUCUAUGGCGUCACUUCCUUGUCCCCUAAGUGGCGCCACCUUGCCACUACACCACACUCCUUUUUGUGUCAUCUUUUACCCCGUUACUCUUAAAAGCCCAAACGACAAUUGCAUCACCUGUUCAUAAAAUUAAAAUUUUGAAGACUACCACGAAUUUAACUUAAGUUUGGGCCUUUCAAAGGCCCACUAACCUACUAAAAUAUAUAUUUUAACCAACCAGAAUACACACAAAUUUUUAAAAUCACAGAAACACAGAAAACCCAAAAAUUGGGGCGUUACAUGUCAUGCCAUAAAUAUUACGUUCAUGCAAAGUCAAACUUAGCACAAUCAUAUAUGUAAAUCAUAGGCACAUCAGUCAUAUGUAACAUAAGGGCAUAAUCGUCAUUUUACCAUACAGGGGUAUUACUGUUAUUUUACACUAUAAAGGUAUUUUGGUGAUUUUACAAAUCGGGGUCUUAACAACCCAACAGAAGGUCCACCUCGCCUUGGUCGACUUAAGUAACCUAAAUAGACAUAACGGUGCAAAUAGCCCUAAGGCCCAUUACUCGGCCCAAAUGGGCCCACACCCUUGUAUGGCCCAUUUAGCCCAAAUUUAGAUACUGCUAUGUGACCUACAUAGCCCAGUCCGAUAAUUAUCACAAAUUAUACUUUUAAUCCAUGUGGGGCCCAUAAGCUAUUAGGCACACAUAGUCCAUUUAGGCCCAACGUGACCCAGAACUACCUAAGUCGUGUGCGCGACAUUACAAGUCUAUCUACAUCUCACUUAACAUUGAAGUUUACACAAGCGAGCCCACGGACCCAACGGGCCCAUCGAGGCCCAGACAGCCCUAGCACACGAGAACGCUCGUGGCGGCCUCUACAGUGUAUCGCCUAUGAUUUGUGGGCUUGAUUCGCCCCUCGUGUGUUCACAUGCUUGUAAGCCCGCAAAUGCCAAGGUUUUAGCUAUUCGGCUUUUGUCGACUUCCAACAAAGAAGGGUGUGAAUACACACCAGUUAAUGAGAAUGCGUCAAAGUCCACGAGCACCAACCUUGGUUAAGCAGGUAUGAAAUAAUCCCCCUUAAAACCAGUGAUCACCAACUCAUCUUAUUCACUCUAUUUAAAGCCAGUUUCUCACCAAUUCUCAUGUUAUCUUCCCGAUGUGGGAUUACUUUCAACCAUUAGGAAAAUUUCUUAUUUUUAUAUGACCAGUUCAACCACAGAGUUCCAGUCCAACUCCACUUCCUACACAGCUCAAAUAGCAAAAUAAAUACCCCAUUAUGCAUCCCAAGACUUGAGCCUUAGAUCUCAUAGUUACACAACACAGCACCUUGCGACUAGACCACAAGGCUCUUUGUGUCACCAUUUUAGCCUCAAUUAAUUAUAAGGUCUGUAGGCCAAAGUCUAGGUUCCUUUAAAAGAAAAGCCAAAAUAAAUUGCAAGAGCCAAGACUUGAACCCAAGCUCCCUUGUAACCUUAAUGAUGCGACAACCACUAGACCACUUGCACCCUUGUGACAUUUAUUUACCACAAUAAUUUAAAAGGCCUUCAUCCAAGCACCCAGGGUUUUAUUCACUUAAAACCAAAAUUUUUGCUAAAAACCCAAGUUUGAACCCAAGAUUUCUCCAACACUUCUCAGAGCCAUUAACCACCAAAGCAGAAAUUUAAUUGUGUCAUUUCCUUGCAGAAUUAAAUGCUUAUAUACAACCUCCUUACAGACUCAUACUCAAGGCCCAAUACUUCUAGGCCCAAAUCUGGGAUGUUACAAUUAUACCCCUUUAAAGAAAUUCCGUCCUCGAAAUUUCCAACUAUCAGAACAAUCGCUUAGCUCAAUCUACACCAUUACGCUCCCGCUGCGCACUCUAGUUCCAAACUACACUAACACACUUUUAAUUAACUUAAUCUCAAAACCUCUCACACCCAACCAAACAUCGAACCACAUAAGCAAACAAAUAUUUACCACACAUGCAUACAAUUUCUAUAUUCAAACAUCACAUCCAAAGAAAACACACUUGACUUAAAAGAAAUUGUGCAAUCCCAAACUCGAUGCUCUUUAGACCCGCAUCUAUGACACGCUCCUAACUUCCUCCAGCAUUCGUCCGAAUGGCAACUUUUGCAACGCUCGCAAGCCAGAAAGUUUAGAUGCGUCUUAACGCGUUUCACAGAAUAAGGCUCCUACUUCAUAGGACUGUGAUCCCUCUUCCUGCUACACUCUAAGCACCUGGCCUGAAGUGUUUCACCAUAUGCCUUAACUCUUGCCUCGAACACUUCUUCCAGCACUUUCCUCACCAACCAGGUCAGUGCCUCCGUACCAAGCUUCAGGUUAUUGUGACCUGAAGAUGGCUGACUUACCUUGACUACAUUCUCUUGAACCAUCUCAUGUUCCGGGGAGACGGGCAACUCCUCGUGACUUUGCUUACCUUUGGAAUCUAUCACAGUACUGUUGCUAAAUUAAAAAAAUCUACUUCUAGAACAUACACUGAAUAAAUACAAAAUCUAACUUUAAGUACAGUCUAACAGAAAACAUACAAAUUCGAUGCCGGAGACUCCAUAACCACACUUUCAAGAAAAUAUUCAGAAAAACAUUUCAAAUACUUCAAAUCUUUUCAAACCUUUUUGAAACAAUUCUUUCAAAAAUCCAAUUUUAAAACCCAUUCCACAGUCAAGUUUUGCAACUUGGCUCUGAUACCAUUAAAUGUAACACCCCAAACCUAGCCUAGACACUGUGGCCGAAAUUUGGCCUGUCACACUGAAGUGUUUUUCGAAAACCAUGUUUUCAUUGAAAACCCUUCUUGCUAUUUAGAACCUCUGGCCAUUUUAAAACUUUGUGAAAACCUUAGUUUCCGUUGGUUUAUUAAAAUUCAUUUUCUUGUAAAACAUUAUUACCUUCAAAACUUUAUUUACUGUGAAAGCUUAGUUUAAAGUUUUGCGGAAACAUGAUAUUUUGAAAAAUAGCUAUUGUUUUGGAAAAGAAAAUCGUGUUCUACUCCAGCAGUUAUAAAACAUUAUACAAAAUUCCAAAUUUAGACCCAGAAAUUAAAAGAGGCCUUGUUACAACCUAGAUCAAAUAUAAGUACUUGUAAAUAUAUAACCUAAAAGAAAGUCGGAAACAAUAGUAGUUGUGUGGCCACCUCCGAGUCCCUCACAGCACUAAUCCUCCUAAUGCUGGAGAUUACUUGCACAGUUAAUAAACGGGGUGAGUUUAUGAAAACUCAAUGUGUAAUCCCCUCCUAAACUAAAAUAGUUAGUAAACAGACAAAAUUUAGAAUUAGUCUAGGCUAGUGUCCAUUACAGUAACAGAACAAUGUGUGUGGCCCAAAGCCCAGUAUAAUUUCACUUGGGUCUCAGCCCUCAUCAAAAUCAAUUAGGCCUCGCCUAUUCUCAAAAUCAGUAACAGUUAGGCUGAGCCCAUUAUCAAAAUUAGGUGGGCCUAAGCCCAGUAUAGAAUCAGCAUCAGAUGCAGACGUGACAGCCCAAAAUUGACCCUAGUCGGGAAGUGGUUUCGGGACCACAAAACCGAGUCAUAAAAAUAAUUGAUUUCCAUAUUCUAUGCUUAUUAUGUGUGUACAUGAGUAUGUGGAAGUUUCAUUCUCCAAUUUUGCCAGUUGCAUGGGAAAUUAUUAAAUAGGGAUUGAUAUGAGACAUGGUGAAAAUAUGAUAGGCUAAUUUAAAAUGGUCUAUUAAUGCAUGUUGUGAAAAUGAUGGGUUUGCAUGUCAAAUUACCCAAAAUUUGAGCUAGUGGUUGGCCAUGCUAUGGGUGGAAACAUGUUGGGAACAUGUUGGCCUAGUGAGGUAUGUAGGAAAAAAAUAAAAUAAUAAGCAUGAUAAUUAAAUAAUGAAAGGAAGGGUGAUGAAAAAAAAAACAAUAAUGGUCUCAUGCAUACACCCCAUUGCCGUGAGCUAAAGGAAGGAAAAGAAAGGUUUUGUUCAUCCUUUUUCAACCUCUUUUGACCGAAAAUCCUAAGGAAGAGGAUUAGGAGGAAGUUGGCCAUGCAUGUAACUAGAUUGAGGUAUGUUUAAUGUUAUUCUUUGAGAUUCAUGUAUAUUUUAAGUUGUAAGUUCAAAAUCUACCUAGCCAUGGUUCAAACUUUGUUAAAUGAUGGAGAUGACAUUCGACCAUGAAUGUUACGUUCUUGGUUGGUAUUUUGAUGUCUUUGGUGAUGAGGUAAGGAGAUGGUUGACUUUGGGUGUUUAAUAAAAGGGUUUGGAUGUGAGAGUGUGUGAGAAGUAGAAAUGAGGAGUCUUAGCAACUCCAUGAAGGUUCGACCAUGGUAGUUUGAGGAUUUGAGAUUUUAUCUCUUGUUAAAAAUUUGAUGAAUCCUAGUGUGUGAAGUGUUUGAACCAACUAAGGAUUAAUAGAUGCAUGGGUACAAAGUAGGAAGAAUCGGCUACUAUGGUGGACACCAAUGCCGAAUGUAAAGAUGUUAUAGUAAAUAAUGUAUGUGAUUUGAGUUGAUAAUGUGAAAAAGGAUAAUUAGAUGUAUUAUAAAUGAUAUAAAGAUUUUAGAAAUUAUUUUGGUUAGGUGUGUGUAUGAUUAAGUAUAUUCGGCAAUAUACUUAAAGUGAGUAUUUGAUAUUAUAUGGGAGUAUGUAUAUUCGGCCACAUGAGUAAAUAUAUAUAUGAUGUUAAAUUUGAUUAUGUAUAAUGGGCAUUAAGAUGUGGAACUUAAGAAAUGUAGUCAUAUGUGGAAUUACAUGAUGUUAUAGUUGACAUUGUACACACAUACAUCCAUUCGGCCAUCAACAUGAGUAGUUAGUGAGGAUGGUUGCCGAAUAUACAAACAUACAUAAGCAUGUGUAAUUGAAUUAUGAAUGUUUAACAAGAUGGUUAAACUAGUGAAUUAUUGAUUAAGCUCAAGGAGCUAAAGGAGGAGAAUCAAGCAAAGGCAAAGAAAAGAUCACUGAGUAGCCGAGUUGGAACCGUCUUACCCAACACAAGGUAAGUCAUUAAGCAUGUAGUUGGUAUUGUUUCAAAUGGUCAUAAUGUUUAUGUAUUGAUGCUGAAUGGAAUGAAUAAAUAUACAUAUAUAUAUAUGCAUGUACGUAUGUGAUGAUGAAAUUGUUAAACGAAAAGAAAAGAGGUAAGAUGUACUGAGUUGUUGAUCUCGGCACUAAACGUGCGGGUAUAACCAUUUAUGACCAUGAGAUUGGCGCUAAGUGCGCGGGAUUAAAUUGUACAGCACUAAGUGUGUGAUUUGACUAUGUUGCACUAAGUGUGCGAAAUGAAUAUGAUGCACUAAGUGUGCGAAUUGACCAUGCGGCACUAAGUGUGCGAGUUUGACUAUGUAGCACUAAGUGUGCGAUUUGAUUACGUAGCACUAAGUGUGCGAGUUGAUUAUAUAGCACUGAGUGUGCGGACUCAAUAUGCAUUCGUGAAUCAUUAUGGACACUAUGUGUGCGACACUAUUGAGUCGAUCGCGGACAGCGGAUCGGGUAAGUGUCUUGAGUACAUGGCUAAUAGGUGCUAUGCUUAUACUUGGUGUUGAGCUCGGUAAGUUUGAACCUAUGUGACAACCAUACUUGAAGUCACGUACAUAAAAUUUAUCGUAGGAUAGGUGAAAGGCCGUUUAGUCGUUUGAUUGUAACGAAAAUAAAUUGAUUUAUGAAAAUGCUUCAAUGUCCUAUUGAUGAGUAUAUGGAAUGUGAAUGCAUGAAUUGAUAUGAAAUUGAAUCGAUAGGUUGGAGGAACUAUGGUAUGGUUCGGAAUGGAUGGAGUAAUUAGCCUCGUUCCAUUUUGUUUUCUCUUGUGAUAAUGUUAUUGAUGGAUGGUAGUGCAUAGCUUAUGACUUACUGAGUUAUAAACUCACUCGGUGUUUCCUUGUCACCUAUUCUAGGUUUCUUGGACACAUCUCUUUUUGCGUGAUCGGGCCGUCAUCGAAGUCAUCACACCGGAUAGCAAGUUUUGGUACUUUCUUCUUAGUUGGCUUAGAAGAACAUUUUGGCAUGUAUAAGCUAUUACGUUGUGUUUGAACUUUGGCAUGUAAACUUUAAGCCAUGCGAAAAUGGCACGAAUGUUCGAUUGAGUUGGAUCAAGGGUAGGCAUGAAAUGGACCUAGUUACUUUCGUAACAGAUGCUGGCAGCAGCAGUGUCAUGAGAUUGAAAAAUCACUAAAAAUAGUAGGAGUGGAAUUAAUUGAUGAAUAAAUUAUGUAAUCGAAGCUCGAUGAGUCUGUUUUCAUGAGGAAGUAACGAAAAGAUCAUAUGGGCAGUAUAUUAAGAGAUAAUCAGAUUUUUGUGGGACAGGGCCAGAACGGUUUCUGGAUUCCCUACUCCGACUUUGGAAAUUCAUUAUAAAUUAACCAGAGAUAAUUAGGGGUCGUACCAUAUAUGUAUAGAUUCCUCUCUGAGUCUAGUUUUCAUAGAAACAAACGUCAUCAGUAUUGAAGACCCGUGCAGGGAGAUAUCCAAGUCUAAUGGGAAAAGGUCAGUGUAGUCGACCCCUGCAACAUGGGAGACUUUGACUAAUAAACUGUACUAAUUGGCCCGACCAAAAAUUCUAGAAAAAAAUACAUAGAUGGGCACAUGAGUCUAGUUUCUGGGAAAAAUUACGAAACUGAUUUUCGAGUUACGAAACUCAAGAUAUGAUUUUUAAAACGACUAGUACACAGAUUGGGCAGUGUCUGGAAAAUAAAUUUUAUAAGGGGUUAAAGUCAGUUAACACCUCGUGUUCGACUCCGGUGUCGGUUUCGGGUUCGGGGUGUUACAUUUGAUUGGUAUCAGAGCUAUGGUUUAGUCGGUUCUAGGACUACCAUAGCACGUAUGAGUCUAGCUAUACAUGCCUUAAUGUUAAUGUUUAAAAGGGUGAUGACUUCUGACGGUUGAAAUGUUUUUGUUUUGAUUAGUAAAUGGAUCCCGGUGUAGAAAGAACCCUAGCGGAUGACGUUGAGAGCGUAGCGGCUGCUCCUGCACAAGGGACGCCGCCUAUUGAACCUCAGUCAUCUGCGAAUAAUCAAGGUGAGGGGGCUAAACAAGUCUUCUUUACCAUGAUGAAUGAGUGGGUCGCGCAAUAUGCCCGAACCAACCCGGCUAUCCAACAAUUCCCAAAUUUGAAUAAUCCACCCCAAGAGCCUGUAAUGCCAUCAGUCGCUGAUCCUGUGAGGCUGAGUAAGCCACCUGUAGACUUGAUUAGGAAGCGUGGGGCCGAGGAGUUCAAGGCCAUAGUAACUGAUGAUGCCGAAAGGGCCGAGUUCUGGCUUGAUAACACCAUUCGGGUGUUCGAUGAAUUGUCAUGCACACCCGACGAAUGUCUAAAAUGUGCUGUAUCUUUGUUGCGAGACUCAGCCUACUAUUGGUGGAGGACCUUGAUUUCCAUAGUCCCGAACGAGCGAGUAACUUGGGACUUCUUUCAAACGGAAUUCUGAAAGAAAUUUAUUAGCCAACGGUUCAUUGAUCAGAAGCGUAAGGAGUUCUUGGAACUCAAGCAAGGCCGUAUGACUGUAUCUGAAUACGAACAUGAAUUCGUAAGACUCAGUAGGUAUGCCCGGGAGUGUGUAGCUGAUGAGGUUGCUAUGUGCAAAAGAUUCGAGGAAGGAUUGAAUGAAGAUUUAAAGCUACUAAUGGGUAUUUUGGAAAUAAAUGAAUUCGUAACACUAGUCGAACGAGCCUGCAAGGCGGAAGAACUUGGAAAGGAGAAGAGGAAGGCUGAAUUUGAAGCUAGAGAUUAUCGUAAAAGAUCAACGGGUAAAGCUCCGUUCUCAGCUGUAAAGAAGUUCAAGGAGGACAUUAAUAAGUCGAGGGCGACUGCGGGAAUUUCUAUCAGGGCAAGACCAUCGAUGGGCUCCCGAGCUACUUCGGUAGCUAGUGUGGGCAAUAAUCGUCACGAGAAACCUGAAUGUCCCCAAUGUGGAAGAUGACACCUAGGUGAAUGUUGGGGCAAGUCUACUAGCAGGGCCUGUUACGGAUGCGGUUCGAAGGACCACUUCAUUAGAGAUUGCACGGAGCUGGAUGAGAAGAAUAAGAUUCAAGGUGCAAGACCUAGUGGAGUGACAUCUAGAGGUAGACCACCGAGAAUUUUAGGAGGCAGGGGUGGUAGUCAGAGGGGGGCCUCUGAUACGGCCGAUCGAGCCGAGAACCGUACUCCUGCUAGAGCAUAUGCCAUUCGCACACGAGAGGAGGCAUCCUCCCCCGACGUCAUCACUGGUACCUUCACUCUCUUUGAUACUAAUGUGAUUGCAUUGAUUGACCCUGGUUCUACUCAUUCAUAUGUAUGCGAAACCUUAGCAACCAGUAAGACUCUACCUGUUGAGUCUACUGAGCUCGUAAUUCGAGUAUCAAACCCGUUGGGUCAAUGCGUGCUUGUUGAUAAAGUGUGUAAGAGAUGCCCUCUAAUAAUCCGAGAAUCCUGUUUUCCGGCCGAUUUGAUGCUUUUGCCGUUCGACGAGUUUGAUGUUAUUCUUGGUUUGGAUUGGUUAACCGCGCAUGAUGCGGUUGUGAAUUGCAAAAGCAAGACUAUCGAUUUGAGGUGCGCAAAUAACGAAAUAAUCCGAGUUGAGUCUGCGGACUUAAGGGGGUUGCCAGCUGUAAUAUCAGCAAUGUUGGCCCAGAAAUAUAUAAGGAAAGGGUGCGAAGCGUACCUCGCGUAUGUACUUGAUGACAAGGAGUUAGAAAAGAAACCCGAAUCGGUGCCGGUGGUUUGUGAAUACCCGGAUGUUUUUCCUGAAGAGUUACCGGGUUUGCCACCUGUUCGGGAGGUAGAGUUUGGUAUUGAGCUUGUACCUGGAACUACGCCAAUUUCGAUCGCUCCGUAUCGUAUGGCACUAACCGAGUUAAAAGAGUUGAAAGCUCAGUUGCAAGAAUUGACGGAUAGAGGUUUCGCUCGACCGAGUUUCUCACCCUGGGGUGCACCAGUAUUGUUCGUGAAAAAGAAGGACGGAACCAUGAGGUUGUGCAUUGACUAUCGUCAACUGAAUAAAGUGACGAUAAAGAAUAAGUAUCCGUUACCGCGUAUUGAUGAUCUGUUCGAUCAAUUAAAGGGAGUAUCGGUGUUUUCAAAGAUAGAUUUGAGAUCGGGUUAUUAUCAGUUGCGGAUUCGAGAUUCGGACAUACCUAAAACUGCUUUCAGAACGAGGUACGGUCACUACGAGUUCUUAGUGAUGCCGUUCGGGCUCACUAAUGCCCCUGCGGUGUUUAUGGAUUUGAUGAAUCGGAUCUUCAGGCCGUAUUUGGAUCGGUUCGUAGUUGUGUUUAUUGAUGACAUCUUGGUCUAUUCAAGAGAUGAGACCGAACAUGCUGAGCAUCUGAGGCAAGUGUUGCAAAUUUUGCGGGAUAAGCAGUUAUAUGCUAAGUUCAUUAAGUGUGAGUUCUGGUUAAGAGAGGUUAGCUUCUUGGGUCAUGUGGUAUCCGCAUCGGGUAUUCGAGUUGACCCGAGCAAAAUUUCAGCCAUACUUAACUGGAAGCCUCCGAGAAAUGUUACCGAAGUCCGGAGCUUUCUAGGGCUCGCCGGUUAUUACAGACGAUUUGUCAAAGGUUUCUCGAUGAUAGCCACACCAAUGACGAAGCUACUUCAAAAGGAUGUUAAGUUCGAAUGGACGGAGAAAUGUCAGAAAAGCUUCGAUCAACUGAAAACUCAUUUGACUGAAGCUCCAAUUUUGGUGCAACCCGAAUCGGGUAAAGAGUUUGUCAUUUAUAGUGACGCAUCCCUACUUGGGUUGGGUUGCGUAUUGAUGCAAGAAGGUCGAGUUGUGGCCUAUGCGUCAAGACAAUUAAAGCCACGCGAGAGAAAUUAUCCGACCCAUGAUCUCGAACUAGCCGCCAUUGUGUUUGCAUUGAAAAUAUGGCGACAUUAUUUGUUUGGUGAGAAGUGCCAUGUGUUUUCGGAUCACAAAAGUCUCAAAUAUUUGAUGACUCAACGAGACUUGAAUCUGGGACAAAGACGUUGGCUUGAGUUGUUGAAAGAUUACGAGCUUGUCAUUGAUUACCACCCGGGAAAGGCUAAUGUGGUUGCGGACGCCUUAAGCCAGAAAUCACUGUUUGCUUUGCGAGCGAUGAAUGUACACUUGUCUGUUCUAUCUGACAAUGUGUUAGUAGCUGAAUUAAAAGCCAAACCAUUAUUGACUCAUCAAAUUCUUGAAGCUCAGGAAGUCGAUGAUGAAUUGGUUGCAAAACGAGCUGAGUGUGUUCCGAAUAAGGAAUCGGAGUUUCAGAUUGAUGAUGAUGGUUGUUUGAGGUUUAGAAGUCGUUUGUGUAUUCCAAGGAAUUCGGAACUCAUUCCGAUGAUUCUGAACGAAGCCCAUUGUAGCCGAAUGUCAAUUCACCCGGGGAGCACGAAAAUGUACAACGACUUGAAACGUCGGUUUUGGUGGCAUGGUAUGAAACGAGACAUCUCCGACUUUGUUUCGAGAUGUUUAAUAUGUCAACAAGUGAAAGCGGAACAUCAAGUGCCUUCAGGGUUACUUCAGCCGAUCAUGAUACCCGAGUGGAAAUGGGACCGAGUCACAAUGGACUUUGUGUCCGGACUGCCAUUGUCCGCAAGUAAGAAGGAUGCGAUUUGGAUUGUUGUUGAUAGGCUGACUAAGUCGGCUCACUUUAUCCCCGUGCGUACGGAUUUUUCAUUGGAUAAACUAGCCGAAUUGUAUGUUUCUCAGAUUGUGAGGUUACAUGGAGUACCUAUUUCUAUCGUGUCGGAUAGAGAUCCGAGAUUCACCUCGCGAUUUUGGAAGAAAUUGCAAGAAGCUUUGGGUACCAAGCUGCAUUUUAGCACCGCUUUUCAUCCCCAAACCGAUGGUCAAUCCGGGCGGAUAAUUCAGAUACUCGAGGAUAUGCUGAGAUGCUGCAUCCUUGAGUUUAGUGGUUCAUGGGAACGGUAUGUACCUUUGAUUGAAUUCGCUUACAACAAUAGUUUUCAAUCAAGUAUUAAGAUGGCACCUUACGAGGCUUUGUACGGUCGUAAAUGCCGUACACCAUUGUUUUGGACCGAGCUCGGUGAAAGUAAAAUUUUCGGAGUUGAUUUGAUUAAAGAUGCCGAACAGAAAGUAAAGGUAAUCCGUGAAAGUCUGAAAGCAGCCACAGAUCGUCAGAAAUCGUAUGCGGAUUUGAAACGAAAAGACAUUGAAUAUCAGGUGGGAGAUAAAGUGUUUCUUAAAGUUUCGCCCUGGAAAAAGGUACUUAGGUUUGGCCGUAAAGGCAAGUUGAGCCCGAGAUUCAUUGGGCCGUACGAAAUCUCCGAACGAGUGGGGCCAGUUGCGUAUAGAUUGAUUUUGCCCCCUGAGCUUGAAAAGAUCCAUGACGUCUUUCAUGUUUCGAUGCUUCGACGCUAUAGAUCUGAUCCAUCGCACAUAAUUAGCCCAUCAGAGGUUGAAAUUCAAGACGAUAUGAGUUAUGAAGAAGAACCGAUGCGUAUCCUAGCUCGUGAAGUGAAGGAGUUACGAAACAAAAGAGUUCCGCUAGUAAAGGUGUUAUGGCUCAAACACGGGAUCGAGGAAGCUACUUGGGAAACCGAGAGCUCGAUGAAAGAACGAUAUCCAAACCUAUUUACCGGUAAGAUUUUCGGGGACGAAAAUUUCUUAAGUGGGGGAGAGUUGUGACAGCCCAAAAUUGACCCUAGUCGGGAAGUGGUUUCGGGACCACAAAACCAAGUCAUAAAAAUAAUUGAUUUCCAUAUUCUAUGCUUAUUAUGUGUGUACAUGAGUAUGUGGAAGUUUCAUUCUCCAAUUUUGCCAAUUGCAUGGGAAAUUAUUAAAUAGGGAUUGAUAUGAGACAUGGUGAAAAUAUGAUAGGCUAAUUUAAAAUGGUCUAUUAAUGCAUGUUGUGAAAAUGAUGGGUUUGCAUGUCAAAUUACCCAAAAUUUGAGCUAGUGGUUGGCCAUGCUAUGGGUGGAAACAUGUUGGGAACAUGUUGGCCUAGUGAGGUAUGUAGGAAAAAAAUAAAAUAAUAAGCAUGAUAAUUAAAUAAUGAAAGGAAGGGUGAUGAAAAAAAAAACAAUAAUGGUCUCAUGCAUACACCCCAUUGCCGUGAGCUAAAGGAAGGAAAAGAAAGGUUUUGUUCAUCCUUUUUCAACCUCUUUUGACCGAAAAUCCUAAGGAAGAGGAUUAGGAGGAAGUUGGCCAUGCAUGUAACUAGAUUGAGGUAUGUUUAAUGUUAUUCUUUGAGAUUCAUGUAUAUUUUAAGUUGUAAGUUCAAAAUCUACCUAGCCAUGGUUCAAACUUUGUUAAAUGAUGGAGAUGACAUUCGACCAUGAAUGUUACGUUCUUGGUUGGUAUUUUGAUGUCUUUGGUGAUGAGGUAAGGAGAUGGUUGACUUUGGGUGUUUAAUAAAAGGGUUUGGAUGUGAGAGUGUGUGAGAAGUAGAAAUGAGGAGUCUUAGCAACUCCAUGAAGGUUCGACCAUGAUAGUUUGAGGAUUUGAGAUUUUAUCUCUUGUUAAAAAUUUGAUGAAUCCUAGUGUGUGAAGUGUUUGAACCAACUAAGGAUUAAUAGAUGCAUGGGUACAAAGUAGGAAGAAUCGGCUACUAUGGUGGACACCAAUGCCGAAUGUAAAGAUGUUAUAGUAAAUAAUGUAUGUGAUUUGAGUUGAUAAUGUGAAAAAGGAUAAUUAGAUGUAUUAUAAAUGAUAUAAAGAUUUUAGAAAUUAUUUUGGUUAGGUGUGUGUAUGAUUAAGUAUAUUCGGCAAUAUACUUAAAGUGAGUAUUUGAUAUUAUAUGGGAGUAUGUAUAUUCGGCCACAUGAGUAAAUAUAUAUAUGAUGUUAAAUUUGAUUAUGUAUAAUGGGGAUUAAGAUGUGGAACUUAAGAAAUGUAGUCAUAUGUGGAAUUACAUGAUGUUAUAGUUGACAUUGUACACACAUACAUCCAUUCGGCCAUCAACAUGAGUAGUUAGUGAGGAUGGUUGCCGAAUAUACAAACAUACAUAAGCAUGUGUAAUUGAAUUAUGAAUGUUUAACAAGAUGGUUAAACUAGUGAAUUAUUGAUUAAGCUCAAGGAGCUAAAGGAGGAGAAUCAAGCAAAGGCAAAGAAAAGAUCACUGAGUAGCCGAGUUGGAACCGUCUUACCCAACACAAGGUAAGUCAUUAAGCAUGUAGUUGGUAUUGUUUCAAAUGGUCAUAAUGUUUAUGUAUUGAUGCUGAAUGGAAUGAAUAAAUAUACAUAUAUAUAUAUGCAUGUGCGUAUGUGAUGAUGAAAUUGUUAAACGAAAAGAAAAGAGGUAAGAUGUACUGAGUUGUUGAUCUCGGCACUAAACGUGCGGGUAUAACCAUUUAUGACCAUGAGAUUGGCGCUAAGUGCGCGGGAUUAAAUUGUACAGCACUAAGUGUGUGAUUUGACUAUGUUGCACUAAGUGUGCGAAAUGAAUAUGAUGCACUAAGUGUGCGAAUUGACCAUGCGGCACUAAGUGUGCGAGUUUGACUAUGUAGCACUAAGUGUGCGAUUUGAUUACGUAGCACUAAGUGUGCGAGUUGAUUAUAUAGCACUGAGUGUGCGGACUCAAUAUGCAUUCGUGAAUCAUUAUGGACACUAUGUGUGCGACACUAUUGAGUCGAUCGCGGACAGCGGAUCGGGUAAGUGUCUUGAGUACAUGGCUAAUAGGUGCUAUGCUUAUACUUGGUGUUGAGCUCGGUAAGUUUGAACCUAUGUGACAACCAUACUUGAAGUCACGUACAUAAAAUUUAUCGUAGGAUGGGUGAAAGGCCGUUUAGUCGUUUGAUUGUAACGAAAAUAAAUUGAUUUAUGAAAAUGCUUCAAUGUCCUAUUGAUGAGUAUAUGGAAUGUGAAUGCAUGAAUUGAUAUGAAAUUGAAUCGAUAGGUUGGAGGAACUAUGGUAUGGUUCGGAAUGGAUGGAGUAAUUAGCCUCGUUCCAUUUUGUUUUCUCUUGUGAUAAUGUUAUUGAUGGAUGGUAGUGCAUAGCUUAUGACUUACUGAGUUAUAAACUCACUCGGUGUUUCCUUGUCACCUAUUCUAGGUUUCUUGGACACAUCUCUUUUUGCGUGAUCGGGCCGUCAUCGAAGUCAUCACACCGGAUAGCAAGUUUUGGUACUUUCUUCUUAGUUGGCUUAGAAGAACAUUUUGGCAUGUAUAAGCUAUUACGUUGUGUUUGAACUUUGGCAUGUAAACUUUAAGCCAUGCGAAAAUGGCACGAAUGUUCGAUUGAGUUGGAUCAAGGGUAGGCAUGAAAUGGACCUAGUUACUUUCGUAACAGAUGCUGGCAGCAGCAGUGUCAUGAGAUUGAAAAAUCACUAAAAAUAGUAGGAGUGGAAUUAAUUGAUGAAUAAAUUAUGUAAUAGAAGCUCGAUGAGUCUGUUUUCAUGAGGAAGUAACGAAAAGAUCAUAUGGGCAGUAUAUUAAGAGAUAAUCAGAUUUUUGUGAGACAGGGCCAGAACGGUUUCUGGAUUCCCUACUCCGACUUUGGAAAUUCAUUAUAAAUUAACCAGAGAUAAUUAGGGGUCGUACCAUAUAUGUAUAGAUUCCUCUCUGAGUCUAGUUUUCAUAGAAACAAACGUCAUCAGUAUUGAAGACCCGUGCAGGGAGAUAUCCAAGUCUAAUGGGAAAAGGUCAGUGUAGUCGACCCCUGCAACAUGGGAGACUUUGACUAAUAAACUGUACUAAUUGGCCCGACCAAAAAUUCUAGAAAAAAAUACAUAGAUGGACACAUGAGUCUAGUUUCUGGGAAAAAUUACGAAACUGAUUUUCGAGUUACGAAACUCAAGAUAUGAUUUUUAAAACGACUAGUACACAGAUUGGGCAGUGUCUGGAAAAUAAAUUUUAUAAGGGGUUAAAGUCAGUUAACACCUCGUGUUCGACUCCGGUGUCGGUUUCGGGUUCGGGGUGUUACAGCAGAUAUGCAGAUAGAUUCCCAGCCCAAUCCAACCAACACACUACCCGUACCAACCAACACACCAUAUGGGGAAAAAAUCGACCCACCCAGCUAACACACCAAGCUUAGCACCGGUUGCGGCACUAAGUCAACAGGACGGCCCAAUGCCGUAGAUAGGAUGCCUCAAUGUUGCAGACAGGACAACUAAAGGCCAUAAAUAUCGAAGCAAUGCUGCCAGUUAACAGAAUGACUAUAAGCCAUAAGUAUCGCAAAAAGGCUAAAAGCCCUGUAGAGAACGGCUACAGGCUGUACACAUCCUCCGUCCAUAAUAACCCAAUCCCAUGCAAUAUGUCAUGCCAUAAAUAUUACGUGCUUGCAAAGUCAUACUCAGCACAAUCAUAUAUGUAAAUCAUAGGCACAUCAGUCAUACAGAACAUAAGGGCAUAAUCGCCAUUCUACCAUAUAGAGGUAUUACGGUCAUUUUAUACUACAAGGGUAUUUUGGUGAUUUUAAAAAUUAGGGUUUUAACGACCCAACAGAAGGUCCACAAUCGCCUCGAGUGACUUAAGUAACCUAAACAGACAUAAUGGUGCAAAUGGGCCUGAGGCCCAUUACUCGGCCCAAGUGCGCCCACACCCUUGUGUGGCCUAUUUAGCCCAAAUUUUGAUAUGGCUAUGUGACCUACAUAGCCUAGUCCAAUAAUUAUCACAAAUUGUAGAUUUAAUUCGUAUCCACCUAGGCCCAACGUGGCCCAGAACUACCUAAGUCAUGUGUGCGACAUGACAAGUCUAUCUACAUCCCACUUAAUAGUGAAGUUUACACAAGUGAGACCACUGACCCAUCGGGCCCAUCGAGGCCCAGAAUAGCCCCUCGUGCAUUCACACACUCGUGAGGCCCCGAAUGCCGAGGUUUUGGCUUUUCAGCUUUUGCCGACUUCUAACAAAUAAGGGCGUAAAUACACACAUGUUAAUGAGAACGCGUAGAAGUCCACGAUCAGCAACCUUAGUUAAGCAGGUAUGAAAUAAUCCCUCCUAAAACCAAUGAUCACCAACUCAUCUUGUUCGCUCUAUUUAACAUCAGCUUCUUGCCAAUUCUCAUGUUAGCUUCCCGAUGUGGGAUUACUUUCAACCAUUAGGAAAAUUUCUUAUUUUUAUAUGACCACUUCAAGCACAGAGUUCCAAUCCAACUCUACCUCCUACAUAACUCAAAUAUCAAAAUAAAUACCCCAUUGCGCAUCCCAAGACUUGAACCUUAGACCUCAUAGUUACACAACACACUACCUUUCCACUAGACCACAAGGCUCUUUGUGUCACCAUUUUAGCCUCAAUUAAUUAUAAGGUCUACAUGCCAAAGUCCAGGUUCCUUUAAAAGAAAAACCAAAAUAAAUUGCAACAACCAAGACUUGAACCCAGGUUCCCUUGCAACCUUAAUGACGCCACAACAACUAGACCACUUGAUUCCUUGUGACAUUUAUUUACCACAAUAAUUUAAAGGGCCUUCAUCCAAGUACCCAAGGUUUUAUUCACUUAAAACCAAAAUUUUUGCUAAAGCCUAGGUUUGAACCCAAGAUUUCUCCAACACUUCUCAGAGCCAUUAACUACCAAAGCAGACAUUUAAUUGUGUCAUUUCCUUGCACAAUUAAAUGCUUAUAUACAACCUCCUCACGAACCCAACUCAAGGAUCAAUACUUUUAGUCUUAAAUCUGGGGCGUUACAUGAGACAUCACAUCGGCAUCGAUAUGUAUGUGCUAGUGUAAGACAUGGCAUCGACAUCGAUAUGUGUGUGCUAGUAUAAGUCCAUGUUUGGAACAUCGCAUCACCCAUAGUAUCAGAGCCAGUGUAAGACCAUGUUUGGUACAUGGGCAUUGGCCACAUUAUAAGAGCCAACAUAAAACCAUGUUUGGAACAUGGUAUUGGCGAUGUUGUGAGAGCUAGUGUAGGAUCAUGUUUGGGACAUGGCAUCAGAAUCGAUAUCUAUUCUAGUGUAGGACCAUGUCAGGGACAUGGCACCGGGCACAAUGAGAGCCAGUGUAAGACCAUGUCUGGGACAUACCAUCGGCAUUGAGACGAGAGCUAGUGUAAGACCAUGUCUAGGACAUGGCAUCGACCUCGACAUGUGAGCCAGUGUAAAACCAUGUUUGGAACAUGGCAUCGGCAAUUCACCAUUUUGUAUAAAGUUUGUUAGAUAUCCUUUAGUAUUCCAAAUGGUUUUACUGGUUAUUUUAAAGCUUGUGACAAUGAUAUGGAAUGAUAUAAUCAUGUUGUGAGUGGUAUAAGUUCUUAUUCGAAACUCAUGAGAUAUGAGUCUAGCUAUGAUGUCUUAAUGGUAAGAAUAACAUGAGUAAGUUCUACCUAUGAAAAUGAUUUUGAAAACCUUCGGCUUAUAUUUGUGAUGUAUAAGUAUGUGGUGAUAUCUACCUUUGUGCACUCAAGAAUGUUGUGUGGAUUUACAAUAUGCUACAUGUUUUAAAUAUGCGUGGUUGAUGUUGUUAUUUAUUUACAUGCAACUUACUAAGCUUUAUGCUUACUUCCUCUCCUUUCCAUUUUCUUAUAGUGCCACCUAAUUAGCUUGUGGAUCAACGGACGUUGGAGGCAUCAUUCACACUAUCAAUUGAAGCACUUGGUAUAGUUAGUUUUUCUAUUUUGAGUAUGGCAUGCAUAGGGACUUAGUCUUUUGUUAGUGUCAUUUUGUUUUGGAGCCAAGGUGUUGGCUUGUCAUGAAAUUUCUCAUUUUGUAUAAGGCAAAGGACAAUGUCUAAUAUUCAUUAUUAAUAUAUGUGAAUGACAAUAUUUUCAUGGAUGAGCAAAUUGCAUGAAUGAAUAAGUGCACAUUUGGAUUGUUAAAGUAUGGUGAGGGUCAUUUUUAAAUGUCCUGUUGUGGUUGAUUUGAACUUGUAUUGAUGUAUGGAUUGGUUUUUUUUGGUGUUGUUUAAUUGGUGCAAGUAAGGGUGGCAAAAGGGCUUGGUAGAUAGCCUUGUUUUGGUCCACACGGGCAUGUAUCUAGGCCGUACGUGACACACGGUUUGUCCCACGAGCGUGUAGUCUGGCCGUGUGUCCCCUGCACCUUAAUUUUACAAGUUAGUAUGCAUGGUAGUAAACACACGGACAGAGACAUGGCCAUGUGUCUCAGCUAUGUGGAGGACAUGGCCUAACACACGGGCGUGUGCCUAAGCCGUGUGCCCUUAAUGGAUUGAUGACGUCAGAAAUAGAAUAUCGUGGUAUUUGUACACGGGCUGAGACAUGGGCAUGUCAUGGUCGUGUGAGGGACACGGGUAAUGGACACUGGCGUGUGUCGGGCCGUGUGAAAGACCCUGUAGGUUCGAAUGAAAAAAUAAACCCACACGAGUGAGGGGCGUAGGCGUGUCCAGAUAUGCUCAGGCCGUGUGAGCUACAUGGGCCUUCAGCACGACCAUGUUCAGACAACACAUGGGUGUGUGCCCUGUUUACCUUGAAACUUUACAAAGUUUUCUAAAGUACUCAAUUAAGUCUUGAAUCUUUUUCAAAGCCUGUUUUGGGUCUGGUGAGCUCGUAUUAGAGGCUUUAUGUUCUGUUUUCAAAAAUUUUUGACUUGGACGAAAAUUUAGGGCAUAAAAAUGUUUGUAAGCAUGUGUUUUAAGUAUGGUAACACCUCAUAUCUUGUUCUAACGUUGAAUCCAGGUAAAAGGUGUUACAGACCACGUCUGAGACAUGGCAUCGAAAUGAGAUAUGGCUCCGAUGUGAAAUCCCAUGUAAUACCAUGUUUGGGACAUGGCAUUGGCAUCUUAUUAUGUAUGGUAAUUCCGAGAAUGCUUAGAAUUCUAAGUGGUUCAAUGGGUAGCCGAGGAUGUGUCAAAGAAAUAAUGAUGUAUAAUCAUGUUGAAAGGGUACAAGUAUGCACGCCAAGCUUGUAGUUAUUGAGAUUCUGAAAUGAUAAGGCUUCGGUAAGAUGAGAAUGAAGGCAUUACGAUCUUGAUGCUCUAUUAAACCUUAUGUAACUUGAAUAAGAUAGGAUAUGACUAUCAUUAUUGUUGAAAACGAGAUGAUUUAAGUUUGUUAUGUAUGUGUAUGAAAAUGCAUAUUUUUCUUGCUUAUUAAUUACAUGCAAGCUUAUUAAGCUUUAUGCUUACCCUCUCUCUUUUUCCAUUUCCUUUUAGUAUAGCCAAGCUAGCUCGGGGAAUAAAGGACAUCGGAGGCUCUUUCACACUAUCGACUAGAUCUUUUGGGUAUAGUUAGUCUUAAUAUUUUUGAGUAUGGCAUGCAUAGGGACUUGGUCUUUUUGUUAUAUUUCAUAUUCAUCUAGCCAAAUGUAUUGGCUUAUAAUAAUAGUUGAAUCAUUCUGUGUAUGGCCAUGAGAUAUGGCUCAUGAUGAUUGUUGAGCUGUAAACCUAUUCAUCUAUGUAUGUAUAUGCUGAUUUCAAUCGAAUAUGGCCUUUGCUUAUGGAUGAUUGAAUGUUGAUAAAUGAUAUGUGAGUGUAUGAUAUUUUAUAGCAAUGCAUGCAUGCAAGUCUAAAAGAUAUUGUUUCUUUGUACAUAUGUGUUUGUUUAAAUAAGGGUGGCAAUUGGCUUGGAAAAUAGCCUUAAAGAUGUCCACACGGCUUGCCCUAAGGGCGUGUGAUUUUGUCGUGUGUCUCUUGCAAUCUAAUUAAUGCCAAACAAAAUUCCCAGUAGUAAACACAUGGGUAGAGAGGCAGCCAUGUGUCUCGACUGUGUGAGAGGCACGGUCUUAGUACAUGGGAGUGUGCUAGGCUGUGUGAAGUCUGCGGCUGAUUUUGGAAUUUAAUUUGCCACACGGCCUAAGGACACGAGCAUGUGCCUUGGCCGUACGACUUUAUUUGGUUGAUGACGUAAUAGUCAGAGAGUUAUACAGGCUGAGGACAUGGGCGUGUCCCAAGUCACAAAAGCAUGUCUGACUACACGGUAUUGGGCCUGAAUCCUUUCCAAUGCAUGUCUUGGGCCUUUUAGGCCCGUAUAACUGAUGUUGUGUAUAUGUUUGAAUAACCUCAAUUGAAUGAAAUUUUAUGGUCUAGUUUUAUGUGUUUGAUUGCAUUUACAUUCGGUAACGCCUUGCACCCUUUUCUAGUGUCGAAUACGGGCAAUGGGUGUUACAUUUAGUGGUAUCAAAGUCAUAGUUUAGUCGAUUCUCGGACUAACGUAGUGAGUGUAUAAGUCUAGCUAUACUGCCAUAAAUACAUUGUGAUAGUGUGAGACUACUAACAUUUUAAUUGUGUUUUUAUAUAGUAAUGGAUGCCAAUCGAGCUGAAGCUAACAACGUAGAAAGUAAUGUGCCUGCUCCCGCUGAAGGGAUAGUGCCGCAAGAGAGUAGACCUCCAGCAGUUAGUUAGGAAGGAGGAUAAGAGGCUCAGGAAGCCUUUCAUCACAUGAUGGAGGCUUGGUAAAUGGAGUUUGUUUAGACCAACCAAAACGCUAAACCCCCUUCACCCCACCUAUUCCCUAACCUAUCCCAGUGGUACACUGUGGUUUGGAUUUUAUAAGACAAAAUAGACCUCCAGUGGAUAAAUUUCUAAAGCAAGGAGCUGAAGAGUUCCGAGCUACUAUUGAUGAUGAUCCGGAAUGAGCAGAGUUUUGGCUAGAAAACACCAUCCGGGUUUUUGAGGAAUUGUCAUGCACACCAGGAGAGUGCAUGAAAUGUGUUGUGUCAUUGCUUAGAGAUUCGGCUUACUAUUGGUAGAACACACUUGUAUCGGUUGUACCGAGGGAGAGAGUGACAUGGGAAUUUUUCCAAGAGGAGUUUCAGAAAAAUUAUAUCAGUCAAAGGUUUAUAGAACAAAAAAGGAAAGAGUUUCUUGAGUUGGAGCAAGGUAGAAUGACCGUAACUGAAUACGAGAGUGAGUUUGCAAGACUUAGAAAAUACGCUUGGGAAUAUGUGUUGACCGGAUACAUUAUGUGUAAGAGGUCUGAGGACUGAUUAAAUGAAGGUAUUCAAAUGUUUGUCGGUAUACUUGAGCUGAAGGAGUUCGUUAUACUCAUUGAAAGAACUUGUAAGGCCGAGCAAUUGGCCAAAGAGAGGAGAAAUGUCGAGUUUGAGGCUAGGGAUUCAAAGAAAAGAUCUAUGGGCAAGUCAUUUCAAUCCACAUCGAAGAAGUCAAGGGACUUCCACCCUCAUUCCAAUGCUCCUGUUGAGCUUUCAAAUAGAAAUAGAGGUAAACAGUGUUCGGGUACUAAGGCCCAGAUCACCUCGAUUGCUAGUGUCAGUAAUGGUUGACCGAGUAGACCAGAAUGAGCACAAUGCAGUUGACGUCACUCCGGUGAGUGUUAAGGGGGUGACAGGACCUGUUUCAAGUGUGGUUCCCCAGACCACUUUAUUAUAGAGUGCCCCGAGAUGGCAGGAAAGGGGAGGUACCCAAAUGCAAGAUCGGGUAACACCGCUAGUCGAGGUAGACCGCAGAAAAAUCUGGGUAGUGGAGCGAGUAGUAAGAAUACCCUUAAAGAGUCUACUGUGAGACCCGAGGGCAGAUCUCUUGCAAGGACGUAUGCCAUUUGCGCUCGCGAAGAGGCUUCAUCCCCAAAUCUGAUUAUGGGUACAUUUUCUAUCUAUGAUGCUACUGUUAUUGCUUUGAUUGAUCCGGGAUCUACCCAUUCCUAUAUUUGUAUGAAAUUGGUGUCUAGUAUAAUCAUGCUAGUUGAAUCUACGGAAUUUGUAAUAAAAGUGUCAAACCCUUUAGCCAAAUACGUGUUAGUUGAUAAAGUAUGUAAAAAUUGUCCCUUGAUGAGUAGAGGUCACUGUUUUCUAGCAAACCUUAUGUUUUUGCCAUUUGAUGAGUUUGACAUAAUUCUUGGUAUGGAUUAGUUAAUAGCUCAUGAUGUAGUAGUAAAUUGUGGGAGAAAAUUUAUUGAACUGAAAUUUGAAAAUGGUGAUAUUCUCUGGGUUGAAUCAGAUGAGUCGAAUAGCUCGCUUGUAGUGAUUUCUCCUAUGACCACUCAAAAGUAUGUAAGGAAGGGUUACGAAGCUUAUCUUACUCUGUGUUGAACACAAAAGAGUUUGAGUUAAAGAUUGAGUCAGUACCGAUAGUUUGUGGGUAUCCGGAGGUGUUUCCGGAAGAGUUGUCUGGAUUACCUCCAAUUAGAGAAGUAGAAUUUGGUAUUGAUCUAAUUCCGGGUAUGACACCCAUUUCUACUUCUCCGUAUAGGAUGGCUCUAAUUGAGAUAAAAGAGUUGAAAAUUCAAUUGCAAGAAUUGACGGAUAAAGGUUUCAAGAGACCUAUUAUUCACUGUGGGGUGCAUCGAUUUUAUUUGUGAAGAAGAAAGAUGGUUUGAUGAGACUAUGCAUUGAAGACCGACAACUCAACAAGGUGACGAUAAAGAAGAAGUACCAUUUGCCGAGGAUAGAUGAUUUAUUUGACCAAUUGAAGGGAGCCAUAAUAUUCUCCAAAAUAGACCUUAGGUCUGCAUACUAUCAGUUAAGAGUUAAAGACUCGAAUAUGACAAAAACUGAUGAGGCACUUAGGAAGGGAGACACGGAGUAGGAGGAAAGGAAUAACUCAAGGGAAACCGAUUAGUCUAUCUCAGAAGCCAGAUUAAUCACCAAGACAGAAGAUCUCCCUUCAAUUUCCAUUCAGGGGUUUUGGGUUUUCUUUAUGUUUUGUAUUCAUUAUUCUUUCUAUAAUUAUGAACUAAACCCCUUAAAUACCUAAGGGGAAUGAAACUUAAGACAAAUCUUGUUAUUAUUAUCUGAAUUGUAUGAUAAAUAUUUAACUUGUUCUUAAUUAUGUGUUCUUAAUUCUGGUUUUAAUAUUCCAGGAUAUUGAUUCGAGUUCAUGCUCUUAUUCAGAGGAGGAAUAGACCCUGUCUAAGAGUAAAUUUUUCAUAAUUAAGCGGAGUUGAUUACAUGCCUAGAGAUAGGGUGAAACCUAAUAAGGGGAUGCAUAGAUCGAGUUAAUGCAACACUAGGUGUUAAUUAGAAAGAGAUUUCAAUUAAUCAACCUAGGGUUAGACGUUAUUAGUCUUGAGAGAGAUAAUAAUAUAACUUAGGGAUUUCUACGGAUCAAAUCAAAUGAAUAAAUCGUCUGAUUCAGAGUAAAAUAACAAGUGAAGUCUAAGUGGAUUUUUCCUUUGGUAUUGUCUUAAUCAAUCGAAUUUUCUAAAAAGCUUUUUCCCAAUCUUCUCUCUAUGCACUCUUAGUUUAGUAAUUAAUUUAGAUAACCAAAUCCCUUGAUUUUUAGGCUAUAUAAUAAAAAAUAAGGUAAUUACUAGUAUUAUUGGUUCCUUUGGGUUCGACAAUCCGGUCUUGCUAAAGCUAUACUACUGUUCGAUAGGUACACUUGCCUUCAUCGUGAUAAUAGUUAGUUUCAAGAACGAUUAAUUAUAAAUAUUUAAAACCUUCUGAAAAUAUCACGUAUCAAGUUUUUUGCGCCGUUGGUGGGGAACUAGGAUAUUAGGAACACUCAAUUUUUAUUACUUUAGUCAUUCUACUUUAUUUGCAAUUUAAAUUUUUAUUUUUUUUCUAAUUUUUCUUUUCUUCGUUCCUGCCAGGUUUUUAUAGUGUAUGACUAGAAGAAAUCAGUUGGGACCAUUACUGUUUGAUAGUGAGAUCGAUCGCAUAGUUCAUAGAAACCAAAGAGAAAUAAGGCAAAGCGUACGAUACGUAGAGGAAGAGCAAGAGGACGAUACUUGAACCACAACCAAUGAGAUGGCUGAAAACCAAGAAAAUCCGCUACCUCCUGCGAUUGCUACUAAUCAGAAUCCUGCUCUACGCACCAUGUAUGAUUAUGCUAAACCUUCUUUAACAGGAACUGAAUCGAGAAUAGUUAGACCUACUGUAGCUGCAAAUACUUUUGAACUAAAACCUAACACAAUUCAAAUGAGACAGCAAUUUGUUCAGUGUGACGGUUUGCAGGAUAAAGAUCCCAACGCUCACUUGGCAAACUUUUUGGAACUAUGUGAUACAUUUAAAAUUAAUGGCAUUUCUGAUGACGCCAUUUGCCUUCGAUUAUUCCUUUUUUUCAUUGAGAAACAAAGUUAAACAGUGGUUGAAUUCUUUACCAUGAGGGUCAAUCACUACAUGGGAACAAAUGACCGAAAUGUUUUUAUUAAAAUAUUUUUCGCCGGCUAAAACGGGUAAAUUACGUAAUGAUAUGUCUUCUUUUGUGCAGAUAUAUUUAGAAACACUCUACAAUGCAUGGGAGAGAUACAAGGACCUCUUGAGAAGAUGCCCUCACCAUGUAUUACCAUUCUGGCUACAGGUUCAAACGUUUUAUAAUGGCCUGAAUCCUUUGACUCGACAAAUGGUUGACGCAGCCGCUGGUGGAACUAUCAAUAAUAAAACAGCUGAAGAUGCUUAUGAAUUUAUAGAAGAGAUGUCACUGAAUAAUUAUCAGUGGCAAGUCAUGAGGACAAAGCUAACAAAAGCAGCCGACAUUUAUAACAUCGAUACGAUCACCAUGCUCUCUAAUCAGGUAGAACUCUUGAAUAAGAAAAUUGACAAUUUUCUUAGUUCUUCACAAGUUCACCUAGUAAUGCAGUGUGAAGCAAGUGGAGAUUGAUCGAGCAAUCCAGAUUACCCACCCUAUGGCCACAAUAUAGAGAACGAGCAGUUAAAUCACAUGGGUAAUAAUCCUCGAUCACAAAAUAUUCCUUAUAGUAAUAAUUACAAUACAGGUUGGAGGAACCACCCAAAUUUCUCAUGGGGAGGCCAAGGAAAUUAGCGACCACCACCACCUCUAGGCUUCCAACAACCACCCUACCAACAAGAGAAAAAAUUGAACCUUGAGAAGAUGCUAACUAAAUUCAUCUCGGUGUUAGAAACUCAUUUUCAGAAUACAUAGACAGCACUUAAAAAUCAACAAGCGUCGAUCCAACGCUCAAAACUCAGAUAGGUCAGCUCGCUAUAUUGAUAUCUGAACAGCCAAAAGGUAGCCUACCGAGUAACACUGAAUGUAACCCAAGGGAGUAAAUCAAUGGAAUUACCAUUCAAAAUGAGGAAGGGUUAGUUACACCUGAACCAGAACAGAGGCAAGAAACUAUAGUAAGUAAAGCUAUGGGUGAGGUGGACCACAAUGACCAGAAAUUGAUAAGUAUAGAGUAUAAACCUCGUGUUCCAUACCCAAACGUGACAAGGGAAGACCGCACAGAAGAACAAUUCGGUAAAUUUCUUAAAUUAUUAAAGAAGUUACAUAUUAACUUACCGUUUAUUGAAGCUCUUUUGCAGAUGCCAAACGCAGUCAAAUUCUUAAAGGAGCUUUUAACAAACAAGUAGAAGUUGGAUGAGGCAUCGCAUGUUUUACUAAAUGUGGUUUGCUCAGCCAUACUACAGAAUAAGCUGGCCAACAAGUUAAAAGAUCCAGGGAGUUUUACGAUUCCCUGUUUAAUUGGUAGCCUAGACGUAAAUAAUGCCUUGGCUGAUUUAGGGGCUAGAAUCAAUGUCAUGCCUUACAAAAUGUUUAAACAACUAGGUCUUGGGAAACCCAAAUAAACUAGGAUGAGUAUUCAAUUAGUCGAUAAAGCAAUUAGAUUUCUUAGGGGGAUUAUUGAAGAUGUACUCGUUAAAAUUGACAAAUUUAUAUUCCCAGUUGAUUUCGUUGUUCUAGACAUAGAAGAAGAUAGUAAUGUUUCUUUAAUUUUAGGGAAACCCUUUUUAGCAGCCGCUAGAACAAUAAUUGAUGUUGGCACAGGUGAACUCACACUUCGUGUGGGAGAUGAAACAAUCACCCUUCAAGCUCGUAAUUCGAGUAACACAUUAAAAAUUGAAGGUGGUUGUAUAAAUCAUUCUACUAAAACUGACCAUAUGGUGCAACCUACUUUGUAGGAAAUAAGUUCAAAAAAACUACAUGAGCCAUGUUCAAGCGAAAACAACAGACCUAUCUAUGAAGAAAAAAGGCUACAAAUCAAGGAACUAGAUGAAUGGCGGACACAGAAACUGAGAACACCCGAUAAACUGAAACCAAGCCAGGAUGAGCUCAAUACAUCACCAAAUCAACUUAAGGUUGGAGAGAAAGUACUACUAGAUGUAGCAGAUCCUCACAUUACCACUUCUGAACCUAAUGAAGAAAUUCCUCUCACGGUACUCAGUAUUUUCCCAUAUGGUACAGUCGAGGUAAUUCACCCUAAAUUCGGCACUUUUAAGGUAAAUGUACAUCAUCUCAAAAUGUAUAACGAUGAGAAUUUCAAAGACGAUAAAAAGGAACUACGGCUCCACGAAGUUACCUAUAUACCCUCAAGGUAGAGUCGAGGUUAGACUAUAAACAAGAGCUUCUCGGGAGGCACCCCAAGCACUAACAAUGUUAAUGCGAAGAUUUAAUUCACUAACUACGUCACUAAACACAAGAUUUUCAGAACCACACGACCGGGCACACGAGCGUGCCGUAGGCCGUGCACAUACCACGGGAUGCAACACGGCCGUGCGAUAUGGCCAUGUAAAAAAUAGAGCACAAAAAUUUUCCCCAACACGGGACCCGAUAAAGUUGCCAUGGCCGUGGGCAAGCCUGCCAAAUUAGCACGGGCGAGUGACACGACCGUGCCUACUGACCAUGGCCGAAUCUAUCAAAAUAACACGGGCGUGUGCCUGCAUACAUGGGCGUGGGAGAAGUGAACGAAGAUUGACACGGCCAUGCAACAUGGCCGUGUACACCAAUGCGCCCAAUUUCGAAAACCAUGAAACGCACAGGUUGAAAUGAAGGCACACAGGCGUGCCCCACGGCUGUGUGCCUCAAUUUCUUUAUAUACACCUAUUAUUUAUUUAAUUUUUCUCUUUAUAUUUUUAAAUUACUUUUUAUUUCCUUUUAAUACUAUUUUAUCUUGAGUUUUUAUAAUUUUUAUUUUCGACUAUUCCAUUACAAGUAAUUAUGCUCCAUUAUAUUUCUAAAGAGUUCCUAAUUUUAUCACAAUCAUAAAGUGCUCCAAAGCUCAUCAUCAAAUAGGAACUAAAAACUCCAAUGGCAGGACUUAUGGACUAAUGAACCUCUUCUACCACCAGAGUAUCCUCCUCCACUCUCAUCAUUGCCUUGGCCGAUUGUUCUCCAUAAACCAAUUCAAUGAAUUCAUUCAUCAUUCAGGAAGUUUCACCCCUCUCCCUAUCGUAUGAUUAUUUAUCUAUAUUUUUCACUAUAUAUAUCUUUGUACAUUGAGGGAAAUGUACAUCUUAAGUGUGUGGGGGGUCUCUAAUAUCAUCAUUAGAAAUCCCUGAAUUUUGUCUUAUUCUCACGUGAAUUACUCAUAUCACUAUUAGAAUGAGUUUUAUUUAAUUUAUGAUUUUUAUUGAUAUGUCUUGAAUUAAAACAUAGGCAUUUAUGCAUUGAUCACUUAAACUUUAAGACAUUAGGGAAUCAAGCAUAAUAAGUUGAUUUUUGAAGAAUUAUAAACUUUUACGUUGUUUCCCUAUGUUUAGGUAUUAUCGUGAGUUGAAAUUCACAAGUUUAAACAUCAAAAAGCCAUAAUUUUUGUGAGAUCUUGAGCAUUUAGAGCAUCUAUUGUUUAUUUCAUGCUCACUUUUAUUGUUGCUUUGAGUGUGUUAAUAUUGAAUUGUUAUUCUAGAACUUUCUUGAUUAUGCAUGUCAAGACCACACCAUUUGAUUUGAUAUGUCAAGAUGAUAAAGGAACUCAGGUUUAACCUAGUCACUCCACAAAAGCUUACCUUCAUAAUUAACCCUUAGUGAACCCUUUUGAGCCUAACAAACCAUUACUUGAUUUACCCUCAAUAUUAACCCAUAACCCAUUAUUGUUGAAAUCCCCUAAUUUGAUCCCUAUUUUUGUCGAGAUUUGAUUUGAACUAAUUGCUUACCUACGUUUUACUCUUCUAUGUAUUUGAAUUGUAUGGUAAAAUAUAUAUAUACUUUAACACAUAUUAGUAGUAAUUCAUUGUUUUUGAUCUUGAGUGUUAAUUCUAUAUUCUGACAAGAAGCUCACUUGUAUUCAACUGAUGACUACACAUUUUCCUAGCUAGGUAAUUUUUCAAUUCAAUCUCGAUUCUAACCUUUUCUUUCAGCUUGUGACCACACCCCCUAACCAAAGCCACGUUACAACCCUAUAAAAGACCUUUUUGAUUGAUGUAUCAGCUCAACAUAUAGUGGUGAAGAUUUGAUUUUCAAGCACCUUGAGUGCUUUAAUUGAUGUCCUUAAACACCUUGAUUGAUUUGAGUGAAUCUUUAGUGAGGAUGUUAAACUCUGUGAUAUUUUGAUCAAAGGUAAUCACUUAAAUAAGGGGAGACACCUAUGUUUUCGUGAUAAAAUACUCAACUUAAAAUGUUUGAAACUUUGAUGUACUUUUAGUUGAAUUUUCAAUGUGUGAAUACUUAUGGAUUAUUUUGAGAUAUUAUUGAUAGGGAUUAUAAAUUGGGAAGAAUUUAUUUUGAUUGUGAGUUGAGGAUUUUGCUUGAGGACAAGCAAACGCUUAAGUGUGGGGCUAUUUGAUAAACCGUAAUUUAUACAUGUUUUUAUCCCAUGCUUAGCAUAUUUAUGGAUGGUUUCUCCUUAGAUUUGGUGAAUUCGAUGCUCCUAAUUCUUUAAUUUCAUGUUUUAUACUUAAGUGAGUAUAGGAGAGAAAAAAGAGUGAGAAACUGGCCAAAAACAGAGAAAAUGAACCCACAUGGGAAAUUAAAACGGCCUAUACUUCCUCACACGGGCGUGUCCCAUGGCCGCGUCCCUUUGGCAGGAUCGAAGCACAACUUACACGGAGAGACUACACGCCCUUGCCUAUUAAACAGCCUUGACCACCGGCUAGAGUAAUCACACACGGACGUGUCACAAGGGCAUGUCCCUGCCAUGCCCAAGUAUAACCCUAUUCAAAAAAGGCCAAAUUUGAGGGCUCUUAGGCAUUCUAAAGCUUAUUUAAACACCUGGUGAGGCACUUAGGAAAGGAGACGUAGACUAGGAGGUAAGGAAUUACUCAAGGGAAGCUGAUUGGUCCAUCUCAGAAGUAGGAUUAAUCAUCAAGACUGAAGAUCUCCCUUCAAUUUCCAUUCAAGGGUUUUGGGUUUUCUUUAUGUUUUGUAUUCAUUAUUCUUCUGAGAUGUUUUCUUCUAUAAUUAUGAACUAAACCCCCUAAAUACCUAAGGGGAAUGAAACCUAAGACGAAUCUUGUUAUUAUUAUCUGAACUGUAUGAUAAAUAUUUGACUUUUUCUUAAUUAUGUGUUCUUAAUUCUUGUUUUAAUAUUCCAGGAUAUUGAUUCGAGUUAAUGCUCUUAUUCAAAGGAGGAAUAGACCCUGUCUAAGAGUAAAUUUGUCAUAAUUAAGCGGAGUUGAUUGCACGCCUAGAGAUAAGGUGAUAAGAUUUUGCCGGAUUAGGGGGAAACCUAAUAAGGGGAUCCAUAGAUCGAGUUAAUGCAAUACUAGGUGUUAAUUAGAAAGAGAUUUCAAUUAAUCAACCUACGGUUAGACAUUAUUAGUCUCGAGAGAGAUAAUAAUAUAACUUAGGGAUUUCUACGUAUCACGUCAAAUGAAUAAAUCAUCUGAUUUAGAGUUAAAUACAAGUGAAGUCUAGGUGGAUUUUUCCUUAGGUAUUGUCUUAAUCAAUCAAAUUUUCUAAAAAGCUUUUUCCCAAUCUUCUCUUUGUGCACUCUUAGAUUAGUAAUUAAUUUAGAUAACCAAAUCCCUUAAUUUUUAGGCUAGAUAAUAAAAAGAAAGUAAUUACUAGUAUUCUUGGUUCCUUUGGGUUCGACAAUCCAAUCUUGCUAAAGCUAUACUACUGUUCGAUAGGUACACUUGCCUUCAUUGUGAUAAUAGUUAGUUUCAAGAAUGAUUAAUUAUAAAUAUUUAAAACUUAUCGCGAUAUACUACUCUUCGAUAGGUACACUUGCCUUCGUCAUGAUAAUAGUUAGUUUCAAGAACGAUUAAUUAUAAAUAUUUAAAACCUAUUGCGAAUAUCAUGUAUCAAAGGCAUUACAAUCCUUAUGCUCUAUUGAACCUUAUGUAACUUGAAUAAGAUAAGAUAUGACUACCAUCAUUGUUGAAAAUGAGAUGAUUUAAUUUUGUUAUGUAUGUGUAUGCAAAUGCAUAUUUUUAUUGCUUAUUAAUUACAAGCAAGCUUACUAAGCUUUAUGCUUACCCUCUCUCUUUUUCCAUUUCCUUUUAGUAUCUCCAAGCUAGUUCGGGGAUCAAAGGAUAUCGGAGGCUCGUUCACACUAUCAAUUGGAUCUUUUGGGUAUAGUUAGUCUCAAUAUUUUGAGUAUGGCAUGCAUAAGGACUUGGUCUUUUUGUUAUAUGUCAUAUUGGUCUAGCCAAGUGUGUUGGCUUAUAAUGUUAGUUGAAUUAUUUUGUGUAUGGCAAUGAGAUAAGACUCAUGAUGAUUGUUGAGUUGUAAACCUAUUCAUCUAUGUAUGUAUGUGUCGAUUUCAUUAGGAUAUGGCCUAUGGUUAUGGAUGAUUGAAUGUUCAUAAAUGAUAUGUGAGUGUAUGAUAUGUUAUGGGAAUUCAUGCAUGCAAGUCUAAGACUUACUGUUUAUUUGUACAUAUGUGUUUGUUUAAAUAAGGGUGGCAAUUGGCUUGGAAAAUAGCCUUAAAGUUGUCCACACGGGCGUGUGUUUAGACCGUGUGUGACACACGGCUUGCCCCAUAGGUGUGUGAUCCGGCUAUGUCUCCCCUGUAGUCUAAUUAAUACCAAACAGAAUGUGCAGUAGUAAACACAUUGGUAGAGACACGGCCGUGUGUCUCAGCUGUUUGAGAGGCAUGACCUUAGUACAUGGGUGUGUGCUCAGGCCGUGUGAAGUCUGCACCUGAUUUUGGGAUUUAAUCAGCCACAUGGCCUAAGGACACGGACGUGUGCCUUGGCCGUGUGACUUUAUUUGGUCGAUUACGUCAUAGUCAGAGAGUAACACGGGCUAAGGACACAUGUGUGUCCUAAGCAACACGGGAGUGUGUGACCACACGAUCUACCCACACGAUUGUGUGACUCUCCAACACAUGAAAAUUUUCUAAGUGUUGUAAAAGUUUCGGAAGUUUUCAGUUUAGUCCUGAAUACUUUCCAGUGCAUGUCUUGGGCCUUGUAGGCCCGCAUAAGAGAUGUUGUGUAUAUGUUUGAAUGACUUUAACUGGAACGAAAUUUUAUGGUCUAGUUUUGUGUGUUUGAUGGCAUUUACAUCCAGUAACGCCUUGUACCCUAUUCUGGCGUCGAAUACAAGUAAGGAGUGUUACACUUCUAAACAGCUAAAACCAUAUGAAAAGAAUUACCCGAUACAUGAUUUAGAAUUGACAGCUAUUGUUUUUGCUAUAAAAAUCUGGCAACAUUAUUUCUUCGGUGAAAAGUGUCACAUAUUCACCGAUCAUAAAAGCUUAUAGUAUUUGAUGUCGCAGAAAGAUUUAAAUCUGAGACGGUGCAUGUGGCUUGAAUUGUUGAAAGAUUAUGAUUUGGUUAUUUAUUUUCAUCUGGGAAAAGCCAAUAUGGUUGCAAAUGAUCUGAGUAGAAAGUUUUUGUUUACGUGCGAGCAAUGAAUACCCAAUUGCCGUUGGAAAAUGAUGGCUCAAUUUUACCUGAGCUAAAAGCUAAACCGAUGUUUCUAUAAUAGAUCUGUAAAGCUCAGAAAGGUGAUAAUGAAUUGCAAGCUAAACGGGUACAGUGAGAAUCGACUUUUGAUUCAGAAUUUUAGAUUGGACCUUUUUACAGGUAAGAUUUUUGGGGUCAGAAAUCCCUAAGGGAGGAGAGUUGUAACAUCCAGUUUUGGGCCUAGUCGGAAUAAUGGUUUCGAGAAUACAAAUUUGAAGUAGAAAUAAUUAUUUUAUGAAUGUGUUGAAGUCAAUGAUAUGUUUGCAUAUGAAAGUUUCGUUAAGAAAUUUUGUUGAGAUAGUGUCCAAUUUGAUUUUUAUGACUAAAUUGCCAAAGUUGCAAAAUAUGUGAUUUUAGGAGCUUUAAGCAUGAAAUAGCUAUGGAUUAUUAAUUAUAGGUCCUUAAAUAGCAAUUUGACCAGUUUCUAUUUUUAUGGACAAAAAUGGACAUGAAUAGGUAAAAUUUCAAAGUUUAGUAAAAAUGGCAUUUUGGUCAUUUGGUAAAUAAAAGAAUAAAAAGGGAAAACAAAGCCAAAAAUGGUCCAUCUUCUUCAACCCUUGGUCGAAUUUCAUAAGGGACUCCAUAGCUAGGGUUUUGUCACUUUCAAGCUUGAUAGUAAUUGUAUCCUGGCCCCGUUUUUAAUAUUCUUUACAUUUUUGAAGUUGUUAUCAACCGAUCUAGCCAUUUCUACCAUUUAUUUGAGCUAGGGUUGAUGUUUAGGGUUUGACCCAUGUGUGGCAUGCAUAUAUUUUGAUGUUUCAAGUUAGAUUAUGAAUGUUUGAUGUGUGAUAAACAACUUUUACUAAGUGAUUUUUCAUGAAAACAACUAAAAAGGACCUAUUUGUAAAAGUUGUAAAAUGUGUAGUAAAAAUUUAAUUUGAUGAAAAAUAUAGGCUGAUAUGAGCAUGUGUGUGGGUCGGCUAGGCUUGAGUAAUAAAUAAAUUCAAUAAUUCAUUUUACGAGCCUAAGGACUAAUUUGUAAAUACGCAAAAGUUUAAGGGUAAAAUUAUAAUUUUGCCAAAGUAUGGUUUCUAGAUGGAUUUGAGCAAUGUGGUAAUUAAAUGAGCUAAAUUUUCUAUUAUAGAUCAAGAAAAACAGAGUCCGGACUUAGACCAAGGAAAGAACAAGGUUGUGGACUAAAUCGAAUUAGAAAGCCAUAUUUUGUACCGAGGUAAGUUCAUGUGUAAAUAAUGCAAUAUUAUGAUCAUAUUUUUAAUGCAUUAAUAUUGUAUGAAUUGUAUAAUUGAUUCAAUGAAAGCAUUCGACAAGUUCUGAUAAGAGAGAGUGUAAUGCCCCAAAAAUCCCGAAAUCUCAAACUUUCUUUGUUUUCGGUUUUGAUAAAAAUAGUGUUUUGUGUUCCUAGCCAUGUGAUAAUUAUAGUAGGUCUUAAUUAAGGUUUGAGUUCAAACCUAGGAAUAAAUGAAAUUAUAGUAUAAUUAUUAAAAGAAUCAGGGUUGGCAAGUAGGUGGGCUUCUAAAUAAAAAUAGGGAAAAAAUAACAUCAAAAAGCCUUGUGGAAUAGUGGCUAAGUGACGCCACUUAGAGUGUGGGGAGGUGGCAUUAGUAGCUAGCAAGUAGGUCUAAGGUUCGAAUCCUAGUUUUGUAUUUUAGAAGUUUAAUUUUGGCCUUCUAGAAGGAUGGAAGUGGCAUGAAGAUGGACUAUAAGGGGAGUGUUCAGAAGAGAAAAUUAAGGAAAGGAUCAAGGGGUUAUCAGGGAGAAAAACGAGGAAAUGAGAAGGGAGAAGUGAUGGAGUAAAAUUGGGAAUUGGGCAUGGAAAAUUCAGCUAUAAGGGCUAUAAAUAGGGGCCGAAUACAGGGUUGCCAGGCUACUGUCAAAAUUCUUCUUCACAUUGUUGCCAAAAACCCCUUUCUCCAAAAGUCGAAAAGCCUUUUCUUUUUAAGAUCCAAAAAGCUGAAAACCCUUUUUUUUUCUUUCUUUUCUUCCUGUCGAUUUCUAUUCUUCUCUACACAAUUUUCUUUGUUUCAAUUAGCUGAUUUCUUCUUCUACUCUUUUUCUUUAAUCUAUACCAAAUAAACCCUAUUCACCAUACUAAGUUUGCAAAGCUGAAAAAUUGAAUCUCCCAAAGGUUGAAUACUCUUUGACCAAAUCUAGUGGAAUUAAUAUCGGAUCUCAGAUCUUAGCUCUCUACCGAAUUACUCUUUAGGUGUUUUCAGUUUUGAUCUAGGAGUUGAUCAUGGUUAGUGAUUUAAGAAAGGGCUGAUCGCGCAAGGUAAGGUUAAUGCGAGGUUUCAGUUUUAGUAAGGAUAUGUUUUAAGCAUGCGAUUAAUGGAAGGGUGAUAUCAUUAGUAGGUUUGGACUAAGGGAAUCGCAGCACGCUUGCUUACCAGGUAUGUACAUUCACUGUACACACAAGUAGAUCGGUAAAAGUUGAAAUGCUGAAAAGCCAAAAUGUCGAAAAACUGAAAGUUUGGCUACAGUAGUCUUACGAGUGCGCGAACACUCGUAAGGGGGAAACUGAUAGGUUGCCUGAGGCCCAUGAGCGAUUCCAUGGACUUGGGUUGUGAAUAGGCCAAAUUGGCCGGAAUAGGCUAAAUGGGCCUAAUGGGCUGUUGGGCCUAUAAUAGGCCAAAAUUUGAUAAGUGAUGCUAUGCGAUAGACAAUUUUUGUGUGAGCAUGAAUAUAAUGUGAUUUGGGCCGGAUGGGCCAUAUAAAUGAGAUUGGGCCUAAUAGGACAUAUAAAGGUGAUUUGGGCCUGAUGGGCCAUAAAAUAUGAACUGGGCCUGAUGGGCCAUAUAAAUGAGAUUGGACCAAAUGGGCCAUAUGCAUGUAUGUAGGGGUAUUGGGCCUAGUAUAUGAUGACUACAUAAAACUUAAUUAAUUAAUUGAGACCGUGGACAAGUCAUAGGGUUAAGGUGUGGCAACGGGUAUGUGCAUGUCUAGGAUUGGAUCUAGAGAGAGCUUGGUACUUAAGCAGUCUUAAUGACCCACUCCUCUUUUCUGGAAUCCUACCUGGUACGUAGUAUUUGUUCACCUUAGCUCGCGGGGCUUGUUCAUGGGCCAAGGUAAGUGAAAAUCGUAAUUAAUGGAAAAUUACCGAAAUGCCUCUAAGGGUAAGAAUGACCAAAAUACCCCUAGGUGUUGAAUGUAAGUUUUGUGGAUGUGACAUGCAUACAUAUGAUGUUCUGCUUAGGUUGCAGAUGGGGUGGGAAUUAUGGCACAGAGGAAGUAUAUGAGGAUCGCAUGGUUGCCUGACAAUCGUGAUCCACUAACAGCUUUUAAAGCCCAAUAUGUAAAUGAAGGUAGUUCCGCAACCGGGCUACCAUUGGUGUGUGGGCUCAGUGGGUUGAUAUUUAUAUCCCCACAUGGUGUGAUGGGGGACGGAGCUGGUGCGUAGCGGAUGGAUAAUUUGAAUGGAAUUGCAUUGCAUGUUUGAUGUAUGAUGAUUUUUUAAUGCUUGUUUUUCGUCGAGGGUUGUACAGACUGAGUUUGCGAAAACUCACCCCCUCUUUUAUUUUACUUUCAGGUGAUACUCAGUAGACGAUUCGAUGUUUGGAAGGACUCUGGGUGGCCAGCUAGCAAGACAAAUUUGGGUUUUUUUUUAAGCUUAUAAGUUUUAUUUUAUUCAGUAUGUUUCAAACCAGAUUGUAAUAAGGUUUCCAUUAUGCUAUUAUUACUUGAAGUAUUAUUAUUUCCACUGUAAUUACGAGAAGUUGAACAUGGGUUUCCUAAACUAUAGUAUGUUUUCACAUUUUCGUAACUUAAAUUCUAAAUGAUAAGUUUUCUUAAAUCAAAUGCUUAAAACAAGGAUUUCGCAACUAAAAGGUGUGUUUAUUAAGAUUUCUUUUGUUUAAGAAGGGAUCUCAAUGAAAAUACGGUUUUCGCUAAAACACUUCAAUGUAAUACGUCAGAUUCGGCCAUAACGUCUGGGCUGAGUUUAGGGUAUUACAUUUAGUGGUAUCAGAGCCCAGGUUGCAAAACUCGAGCUGUGAAUUGGGCCUUAUUACUUGGUUUUUUUAUUGUGUCUUAAAAAAUAUAUUUUGAAUCACAAUGUUUUGGAAAAAGAGAAGUCUUGCUAAGCGGCACACCGAGUCUCCGACGUCGAACCAAGUAAGUAUUCUUGUUUUUAAGCCUGUUUAAAUUGUUAUAUAGUAGACAGUUAGAGGGCUACUUUAGAUGAUUUUGUUAGACUAGAACUAAAGCCCGUAGGAUCUUGGAACUGUAAAGGAUUUUCGAAAAGAAUCUUCUCUUUAAUUACUUUCAUAAGACAUCCGUGUAAUUAUGAAUCUAACUAAGACUUCAUAAAAUUUUUAAUUCAAAAAACUCGCAAAUCGAUGAUGAGCCCUAGAAGAGGUGCGAGAGACUGUGGUCGAGGCCACAGAGGUGUUAGGGCUGAAUCGUCAACAUCGGGCCAUAUGCCCAAUGUUGGAGUAGAAGAGGCUUCGGCCUCACCGGUGGCUGGGAAGGGAUAGUAUGACCGGGUUGCAGAAGAAGAUGCAUUGUCCCAGGCAAUGCUGAGAAUUUUAGAAAGGGUCGUUAGGCCCAAUAAUGGCAGCGAAAAUCAGGGGUCCAUUCUGUAGCAACUUCGAUCAAACGGGUCUGAGAUCUUUAAAGCCGUGGCUGGCGUGGCUCCUAACUUGGCUGAAUAUUAGUUGGAGGCCGCUAAAAGAAUAAUAGAGGAUUUGGACUGCUCACCGGAACAAAAACUGAAAGGAGCUCUGUCACUAUUAAGGGAAGAAGCCUACCAGUGGUGGUUGACAGUGAAAGAGGGCACCCAACCGGAGCGGGCCACUUAGGAGUUCUUUAAAGCUGCAUUCCAAGGGAAGUAUGUGGAUGCUAGAAGGAAGGAGUUCCUGAACCUAACCCAAGGAAACAAAUCGGUGGCGGAGCAUGAGGCGGAGUUUCUACGCCAUAAUAUGUAUGUAAGAGUAAUGGUUGCAACGGAGUAUGACCAUUGCGUGGGGUUUGAGGAUAGACUUAGAGAUAGCCUUAGAGUACUGGUAGCUCCACAAAGGGAGUGAGUUUUCUCGGAGUUGGUGGAGAAGGCAAAGAUAGCGGAGGAGGUAAAGCAUACUGAGCGCUUAAAUCGGGAGAAAGAAAGGGGUAGGAAUAAGAAGGAGUCUGAGACUCCUGGUGUAGGACAGAUGCCUAGGGCUAUCGCUAGAGUUAAUGGGCCAGAUAGAGCAAGGCCCCCUGCUAUUAAUCUAGGGGUGCCACUUUGUGCUAAUUGUGGGAAAGGUCAUCUAGGCGAGUGUUGGAAGAAGACGAGAGCUUGUCUAGCUUGUGGAUCUAUGGAGCAUAGGAUCAGGAAUUGCCCUAAAUUGUCAUCUCAGGUGCCAAUCGUGGACCGAGGUGGUGUACAGCCACCGAGGGGUGGUCAGCUAUUGCCGAGAGGCUGUGAUCAGGCUAGGGAUGGAAACGGUUUGGGUCAUGGAGCACCAGGCAGAGGUGCUGAUCAUGCUGAGGUGAGACAACCAGCUUUGGUCGAUGCAGCACGUUAUCAAGAGGAUGGAGACGCUCCAGAGGCGAAUAAUGGUACAUACUUACCCAUAGUGUGCCAUUUACCUAAGUUGGAAUUAGAGUGCGCAGCGGAAGUGUGGUGUGGUAGUCUGUGUUAGUAGUUGGAAAUUUCGAGGAUACAAUUUCUUUUAGGGGGUAGAGUUGUAACUCCCAAAAAUCUCGAAACCCCAAAAUUCUGAAAUCCCAAACUUUUUUUGUUUUCAUUUUUGAUAAAAAUUGUGUUUUAUGUUCCUAACGAUGUGAUAAUUAUAGUAGGUCUUAAUUAAGGUUUGAGUUCUAAUCUAGGAAUAAAUGAAAUUAUAGUUUAAUUAUUAAAAGAAUCAGGGUUGGCAAGUAGGUUGGCUUUUAAAUAAAAAUAGGGGAAAAAUAGCAUCAAAAAGCCUUGUGGAAGAGUGGCUAAGUGACGCCACUUAGAGUGCAGGGAGGUGGCGUUUGUAGCUAGCAAGGAGGUCCAAAGUUUGAAUCUUAGUUUUGUGUUUUAGAAGUUUAUUUUUGGCCUUCUAGAAGGAUGGAAGUGGCGUGAAGAUGGACUCUAAGGGGAGUGUUCAGAAGAGAAAAUUAAGGAAAGGAUCAAAGGGUUAUCCGGGAGAAAAAUGAGGAGAUGAGAAGGGAGAAGUGAUGGAGCCGAAUUGGGAAUUUGGCAUGGAAAAUUCAGCUAUAAGGGCUAUAAAUAGGGGCCGAAUAUAGGGUUGCCAGGCUACAGCCGAAAUUCUUCUUCACCUUGUUGCCAGAAACCCCUUUCUCCAAAAGCCGAAAACCCUUUUCUUUUUAAGAUCUAAAAAGCCGAAAACCCUUUUUUUUUUCUUUCUGUUCUUCCUACCGAUUUCUAUUCUUCUCUACACAAUUUUCUUUAUUUCACUUAUCGAUUUCUUCUUCUACUCUUGUUCUUUAAUUUGUACCAAAUAAACCUUAUUCACCAUACUAAGUUUGAAAAGCCGAAAAAUCGAAUCUCCUAAGGGCUGAAUACUCUUUGACUGAAUCUAGUGGAAUUAGUAUCGGAUCUCGAAUCUUAGCUCUCUGCCGAAUUUCUCUUUAUGUGUUUUCGGUUUUGAUCUAGGAGUUGAUCGUGUUUAGUGAUUUAAGAAAGAGCUGAUCGCGCAAGGUAAGGUUAAUGUGAGGUUUCAGUUUUAGUAAGGAUAUGUAUUAAGCAUGCGAUUAAUGGAAGGGUGAUAUCGUUUAUAGGUUUGGACUAAGGGAAUCGCAACACGCUUUCUUACCAGGUGUGUACAUACACUGCACACACAAGUAGAUCGGCAAAAGCCGAAAUGCUGAAAAGCUGAAAUGCCGAAAAGCUGAAAGUUUGGCUACGGUACUCUCGCGAGUGCGCGAACACUCGUAAGAGGGAAACCGAUAGGUUACCUGAGGCCCAUGGGCGAUUCCAUGGACUUGGGUUGUGAAUAGGCCAAAUUGGCCGGAAUGGGCUAAAUGGGCCCGAUGGGCUGAUGGGCCCAUAUUAGACCAAAAUUUGAUAAGCGAUGUUAUGUGAUAGAAAAUUUGUGUGUGAGCAUGAAUAUAAUUUGAUUUGGGUCAGCUGGGCCAUAUAAAUGAGAUUGGGCCUAAUGGGCCAUAUAAAGGUGAUUUGGGCCUAAUGGGUAAUAAGAAUAUGAACUGGGCCUGAUGGGCCAUUAUACUUUAUAUGGACAAAAAUUUGGACAUGGAUGGAAUUUUUAGAAAGUUUAGUAGUAACGGCAUUUUGGUUGUUUGCAUAAUAAAUGAAAUAAAAUGGGAAAAAUAACACAAAAAUGUGCUCAUCUUCAUUUAGCUUGGCCGAAACUUGCAUGUUCUCCAUAGCUAGGGUUUGUUUCAAGCUUUCAAGCUCAAUAGUAAGUGUAUUCGAGCCCCGUUUUUUUAUGUUCUUUACAUUUCUGAAAUCCUCGUAGCUCGGUUUACCUAUUUCUGCCAUUAUUUUGAGUUAGGGUUUAUGUUUAAAAAUUUACCCAUGAAUGAUAUGCAUGUAUUUUGAUGUUUGAUGGUAGAAUAUGAAUGUUUGAGGAUAGGAGAACGAUCUUUUCUAAGUGAUUUUUAGCGAAAACGAGCAAAACGGUAUAAUUGGUAAAAAUACCUAAUGCUCAUAAGUGCAUGUUAGAGUGAGAAUUUUAUGUUAUCAUAGAAGAGAAAAAUGAUCAACAUGUCAUAAAUCGUAAGAAUAAGGGCUGAAAUUAAAUUUCCGAGCCUAGGGGAAAAAUCAUAAUUUUGUAAAAGUUAGGGGGCAACAAUGUAAUUUUUCCAUAAUGUGAUUUUUGGAUUGAAAUAAAUAGUAUGAGUAUUAAAUGAGCUAAAUGUAUUGUUAUAGAUCAAGAAAGGUGUGGAAUCGACCUUGAACGGGGGAAGGAAAAGGUUUUGGACUAAAUUGCAAAAUUUCCAUAUUUUGCACCGAGGUAAGUUUGUAUGUAAAUAAUACAUUAACUUCAUUUACAUUUUUAUAUUUCAGCGUAUUAUAAAUAUUUUAGCUAAUUUUGAAGCAUGAAUCGACUAUUAGAAGAAUGGAAAUAAGUAAUAGAGAGAAAAAUCCCGGUUGAACAUUCGGAAAGAUUGAAUAAUAUAGAUGGAGCGUAGCUAGGUCACAUGUAUGGAGCUGAGUGCACAUCAUGUGUACAAGAGAGCUAUGAGAUACUAUGUAGUAGCUAGGUCACAUGUGUGAUACGGGAUGUAUCCCAUGUAGACAAGAGAGCUACGGGAGAGAUAAAUGUAGCUAGGUCGCAUGUGUGAUUCCAAGUGAAGGACACCAUGUAGACAAGAGAGCUACGAGAUAAAUUGGCUAGGUCACAUGGGUGGUACUAAGUGUUCACCAUGUGUACAAGAGAGCCAAAUUAUAUGAAAUAUGAUGGUGGGGCUGUGUGCUAAAACCAUCAAGUAUUGAGGAUUGAUCCGAAUUGUUCAACGGGAUGGUUUUAAGGUGACAUUGUAAUCAUGGGCCUAUACUUGUGAUGUAUGAAAUGUGGUGAGAAUGAAUUUUGAUAUGCAUGUUAAAAUGAGGUUAAUACAAAGAAAGUGUGAAAGAGUGAAUUAGCAAUAAUACUGUUGUGGACAGUCACAGUAACGUGAAUUUGAAAAAUCACCAAAAAUAGUAGGAAUUUAAUUAGAGGCUGUAUGAGAUAUAAAAUUAAAUCUUAAUGAGUCUAUUCCCACGUAAAAUAAACAGAGCAAGUAAAUGAACUCUAUAUUUUGAGAUAUUUAUAUUUGUGUGUGACUCGCUCAGAUGACUAUGUGAUCCCCUGUUCUAAUUUUGAAAAAUCAGUAAAAAUUGAAAAAAAUAAAUUAAGAAAUAUAGUUUAUAUUUCUAGAUUACUUAUUGAGUCUAGUUUUAAAUGAAAUAGAUUUCAUGGAUAUUUGAAUUGUGUAAUGGGAGAAAUUCAAUUCGUAGUGAAUAGAGGUUAGAUCAGUCGAGCUGUAUAGCAGGGGAAACUUUAACUAAUAAACUGUACUAAUUGGCUAGACCAAAAAUUCUAGGAAUAUUUUAUUAAGAAGUAAUAUGAGUCUAGUUUCAGUAAAAUUUUACAGAUUUGAAUUUUGAGUUUUGCAACUCGAGUUAUGAUUUAUUUAGUGAAUAUGACACAGGAGAGACAGCUUGACCAAAGUGGAGUAAAUAGUAAAAUUAAAAAGUAGAUACACUUGAGUCAUUUUGUAAACAUAUUAAAUUCUUUAUUCAUUAUUUAUAUACUUUCUUACUAAGCUAUAUGCUUACUUUCUUUUCUCUCUUUUGUCUUAUAGUGUCGUCCAGCUUGCACAGGAGUCAAGGAUCGUUGAAGAUCUGCCUACACUAUCAAUACUUUUGGGUAUUUGAACUGAACAUUUUGAAUUAUGGCAUGUAUAGUAGACUUAGUUAUUUUGUUACGUGUCAUAAUUGUCUAGGUUUAAAAUAUUAAUUAUAGUAUUUGACCGAUUAUUUUGUACGAAGCCUUUGAAAUUGGCUAGUUUUGUUAAAGGCAUAUGUUAUAAUGAUUCAUGAUCUAAUUGCACGCAAUAUUUUUGUCUCGGUUUUAUUUAAUAGUAUGUACUAUGAUUUGUUAAUGCCUCGUACCCUAUUCCAGUGACGUAUAUGGGUAAGGGGUGUUACAUUUAGUGGUAUCAGAGCUAUGGUUUGUCAGUUCUCGGACUAAUAAAGUGUGUAAAAGUAUAGCUAUACAUGUCAUAAAUAUACUGUGAUAGUGUGGUGACUCCUGAUUAUUCUAAACUAUGUUUUGUUUUAAUAUAGUAAUGGAUCCUGAAGGAACUGCGGCUGAUGAUGCUGCUAGUAAUACGCCGGCUCCAACACAAGGGACUGCGCCUGUAGAAAGUAGACCUGAGACAUUGAGACAGGGAGAUGAGACUCGGGAAGCCUUUCUCCAAAUGAUGAACAAUUGGUACACUGAGUUUAUUCGAGCAAACCCAAAUGCUCAACCUCCUCCACCCCCUCCCAUACCUCAGACGAUUCCUGUAGCUACUCAAGGCAUAGAUUUGGUAAGAAUGAACAAGCCCCCAGUUGACAAGAUUCGAAAACAAGGGGCCGAAGAGUUUAGAGCAAAGAUUGAUGAUGAUCCCGAGAAAGCGGAGUUCUGGCUUGAAAAUUCUACCCGUGUAUUUGAUGAGCUCUCAUGUACACCCGAGGAGUGCUUAAAGUGUGCUGUAUCACUUUUGAGAGACUCAGCCUACCAUUGAUGGAAGACUUUGGUAGCAGUGGUGCCAAAAGAAAGGGUUACUUGGGAUUUCUUCCAGGAAGAAUUCAGAAAGAAAUACAUAAGUCAGCGAUUUAUUGAUCAAAAACGGAAGGAGUUCCUUGAAUUGAAGCAGAAGAAUUCAAAAAGAAAUACAUAAGUCAGCGAUUUAUUGAUCAAAAAUGAAAGGAGUUCCUUGAAUUGAAGCAGGGCAAGAUGUCUGUGGCAGAGUAUGAACGCGGAUUUGUAAGACUCAGCAAGUAUGCCCAAGAAUGUGUGUCCACCGAGGCCAUUAUGUGCAAAAGGUUUGAGGAUGGGCUAAAUGAGGACAUUAAAGUGCUUGUGGGAAUUUUGGAGCUGAAAGAAUUUGAAGUAUUGGUUGACCGAGCUCUUAAAGUCGAAGAAUUGAACAAAGGAAGAAGAAAAGCUGCUAUUGAGGCUCGAGAUUCCAAAAAGAGGCUGAUAAGCAAGUUAUUUCAAUCUCAAUCAAAGAGGUUCAAAGAGACAAACCCUCAAAUGAUAGUUUUAGUUGGGGAUUCACACAAAGAUCGUGGUAGGGCAUAUUUGGGGUCUAAAGCUCAAGCUACUUCAGUGGCAAGUGUGGGUAAUGUGCGAUCUAGAAAGCCCGAAUGUCAGCAAUGUGGCAGGCAACAUUAUGGUGAGUGUUGGGGAAACGAGCGAGCUUGUUUCAGGUGCGGUUCUCGCGAGCAUUUUAUCAGAGACUGUCUGGAGAAAGCUAAAGAAGAAAAAUUUCAGAGUGCUAGAUAGAGUACUACCGCUAGCAGAGGUAGACCACUGAGAAAUACUGGAAGUGGAGCUAACAGUAAAACUGUAAUGAAAGAUUUAGCGGUGAGAUUAGAAGCUAGAGGCCUGUUAAAGCUUAUGCCAUACGUGCCCGAGAGGAUGCAUCAUCUCCCGAUGUGAUUACUGGUACAUUUUCUCUUUAUGAUGCUAUUGUUAUUGCAUUGAUUGAUCCCGGGUCUACUCAUUCCUAUAUUUGUAUGAAUUUAGUAUCUAAUAAGAAGUUGCCUGUUGAGUUUACUGAGUUUACUAUUAAAGUGUCGAACCCCUUAGGCCAAUAUAUGCUAGUUGAUAAUGUUUGCAAGAAUUGCCCAUUAAUGAUUCAAGGUCACUAUUUUCCGGGUAAUCUGAUGUUGUUACCAUUUGAUGAGUUUGACGUUAUUUUGGGAAUGGAUUGGUUGACAUUGUAUGAUGCCAAAGUAGAUUGUAAACAGAAAAUACUAGAGUUGAAAUGUGAAAAUUGUGAAAUUUUGUGGGUUGAAACAGAUGAAUCAAAUAAAUUGCCUAUGGCGAUUUCGCACAUGUUUGCACAGAAAUACAUGAGGAAAGGGUGUGAAGCUUAUCUGGCCUAUGUAAUAAAUACUGAGCUGUCCGAAUUGAAGCUUGAAUCAGUACCGAUAUUCUGUCAAUUUCCAGAUGUAUUUCCAAAGGAAUUGCCUGGAUUGCUUCCGAAAAGAGAGAUAGAGUUUGCCAUUGAUUUGUUGUCGGGGACUGCACCGAUCUCGAUUGUUCCAUAUAGAAUGGCUCCGACUGAAUUAAAAGAAUUGAAGGCUUAGUUGCAAGAGUUAACAGACAAGGGAUUUGUGAGACCGAGUUUCUCUCCCUGGGGUGCUCCUGUAUUGUUCGUAAAGAAGAAGGAUAGCUCAAUGAGGCUUUGCAUUGAUUACCGUUAGCUCAAUAAGGUGACUAUAAAGAACAAGUACUCAUUGCCGAGGAUUGAUGAUUUAUUCGAUCAGUUAAAGGGGGCCACAGUGUUUUCAAAGAUCGAUUUUAGGUUCGGUUACUACCAGUUGAGAGUUAUGGAGUCGGAUGUGCCGAAAACCGCCUUUAGGACAAAGUAUGGACAUUAUGAGUUCCUUGUGAUGCCUUUCGGCUUAACAAAUGCUCCAGCUAUAUUUAUGGACUUGAUGAACUGAAUCUUUCGGCCAUAUUUAGAUAAGUUUGUAGUAGUGUUUAUAGAUGACAUUCUAAUUUAUUCUCGGGAUGAGUCUGAGCACGCCAAACACUUGAGAAACAUAUUGCAGAUCUUGAGAGAAAAGAAACUAUUUGCUAAGUUUAGCAAAAGUGAGUUCUGGCUUCGUGAAGUCAGAUUUUUGGGACAUAUAGUCUCAGGUGAUGGUAUUCGGGUGGAUCCGAGCAAGAUUUCUGCGAUCGUUGAUUGGAAACCGCCAAAGAAUGUAUCCGAGGUUAGAAGCUUUUUAGGCUUGGCAGGGUAUUAUAGACGUUUUGUCGAGGGAUUUUCGAUGAUUGCCUCUCCUAUGAAUAAGUUGCUGCAAAAGAAUGUUAAGUUUGAAUGGACUGAUAAAUGUCAGCAAAGUUUUGAAAAGCUGAAAGCACGAUUGACUGAAGCACCAAUUUUAGUACAGCCCGAGUCGGGGAAAGAGUUCAUAAUUUAUAGUGAUGCAUCAUUGACUAGCCUUGGAUGUGUGCUAAUGCAAGAGGGUAAAGUGGUAGCUUAUGCCUCGAGACAGUUAAAACCGCAUGAGAAGAGCUAUCCUGCACAUGAUUUGGAAUUGGCCGCUAUUGUCUUUGCCUUGAAGAUCUGGUGACAAUAUUUGUAUAGUGAAAAAUGUUGAAUUUUGACUGAUCACAAAAGUUUGAAGUAUUUGAUGAAUCAAAAGGAUUUGAAUCUACAACAGCGGUGAUGGCUUGAAUUAUUGAAGGAUUAUGAGCUAAUGAUUGAUUAUCAUCUGGGAAAAGCGAAUGUAGUUACUGACGCCUUGAGCAGGAAAUCUCUUUUUACUUUGAGAGCCAUGAAUACGGGGUUAGCAUUGUCCGAUGAUGGGUCAAUCUUAGUAGAGAUGAGGGCUAAACCGUUAUUUCUCCAGCUGAUUUGUGAUGCUCAAAAGAACGAUAGUGAGUUGCGAACCAAGAGAACUCAGUGCGAAUCGGGUUAUGACUCAGAUUUUUGAGUUGGACCAGAUGACUGUUUGAUGUUUCGAGACAGGAUAUGUGUACCGAAAAAUGAUGAAUUGAUUCAGAAAAUAUUACAUGAGGCGCAUAGUGGCUGUUUGUCAGUCCACCCUGGUAGCACAAAAAUGUAUAAUGAUUUAAAGAAGUUAUAUUGGUGGCCAGGCAUGAAAAGGGACAUUUCUGAAUUUGUAACCAAGUGUUUGAUCUGUCAACAAGUAAAAGCUGAGCAUCAAGUGCCUUCAGGAUUACUCCAACCGGUAAUGGUGCCUGAGUGGAAAUGAGAUAGGAUUACCAUGGAUUUUGUAACCGGUUUGCUUCUGACUCCUAAAAAGAAGGAUGCUGUUUGGGUAGUGGUUGAUAGGUUAACAAAGUCGACUCACUUUAUAUCGGUACGUACCGAUUACUCACUUGAUAAAUUAGCUGAAUUAUAUAUUGCUGAAAUUGUAAGGUUGCAUGUGGUACCUAUGUCUAUAAUAUCAGAUAGAGAUCCGAGGUUUACCUCGAGAUUCUGGAAAAAGUUACAAGAAGUUUUGGGUACAAAAUUGAACUUUAGUACCGCGUUUCAUCCACAAACAAAUGGUCAGUCGGAAAGAGUAAUCCAAGUACUCGAAGAUAUGCUUAGAUGCUAUGUUUUAGAAUUUGAAGGUAGUUGGGAGAAAUAUCUACCUUUGGUCGAAUUUGCCUACAAUAACAGUUUUUAGUCAAGUAUAUAGAUGGCACCGUACAAAGCCUUGUAUGGUCGCAAGUUUCGGACUCCUUUAUAUUGGACCGAACUUAGUGAGAAACAGAUUCACGGAGUUGAUCUAGUUAAAGAAACCGAAGAGAAAGUAAAAGUAAUUCGUGAUUGCUUGAAAGCUACUUCAGAUCGACAAAAGUCAUAUGCAGAUUUAAAAAGAAAAGAGAUUGCAUUUCAAGUGGGUGAUAAAGUGUUCUUGAAGGUGUCACCAUGGAAGAAGAUUCUGAGAUUUAGCUGAAAAGGCAAGUUGGGUCCGCGUUUUAUUGGGUCGUACGAGAUUAUUAAGAGGAUUGGACCAAUGGCAUCUCGGUUGCAUUACCGGCAGAAUUAGAAAGGAUUCAUAACGUGUAUCAUGUAUCAAUGUUGCGACGUUAUCGUUCUGAUCCUUCACAUGUGAUUUCUCCAACAGAAAUUGAGAUUCGAUCGGACUUGACCUAUGAUGAGGAACCGAUUAAGGUUUUGGCUCGAGAAGUAAAACAGUUGAGAAAGAAAAGUAUAGCUUUAGUGAAAGUGUUAUGGCAAAGACAUGGAGUAGAAGAAGCUACGUGGGAACUGGAGGAAGCCAUGAGAAAACAGUACCCAAACCUUUUUACUGGUAAGAUUUUCAGGGACAAAAAUCCCUAAAGGGGGGAGAGUUGUAAUAGCCCGAUUUAGGGCCAAAACAAAAUAGUGGUUUCGAAACCAUGAAUUUGAGGUUGAAAAAAAUUAUUUUCAUUAAGUUUUAGUGUUUAUAUUAUGAUUCCAUAAUCGUGUGAAAAUUUCGUUGUGAAAUUUUAUUGAUUGUGUGUUUAAUUUGACGUUUCGAACUAAAUUGAAAUAGGUGAAAAAUGUGUGUUCUAGUUCAUAAAGUACUUGAUUGAAAUGGGGGUUUUAAGCAGAGGCCCUUAAAUGGAAAUUAGACCAUUAUACUUUAUAUGGACAAAAAUUUGGACAUGGAUGGAAUUUUUAGAAAGUUUAGUAGUAAGGGCAUUUUGGUUAUUUGCAUAAUAAAUGAAAUAAAAUGGGAAAAAUAACACAAAAAUGUGUUCAUCUUCAUUUAGCUUGGUCGAAACUUGCAUGUUCUCCAUAGCUAGGGUUUGUUUCAAGCUUUCAAGCUCAAUAGUAAGUGCAUUCAAGCCCCGAUUUUUUAUGUUCUUUACAUUUUUGAAAUUCUCGUAGCUCGGUUUACCUAUUUCUACCAUUAUUUUGAGUUAGGGUUUAUGUUUAAAAAUUUACCCAUGAAUGAUAUGCAUGUAUUUUGAUGUUUGAUGGUAGAAUAUGAAUGUUUGAGGUUAGGAGAACGAUCUUUUCUAAGCGAUUUUUAGCGAAAACGAGCAAAACGGUAUAAUUUGUAAAAAUACCUAAUGCUCAUAAGUGCAUGUUAGAGUGAGAAUUUGAUGUUGUCAUAUAAGAGAAAAAUGAUCAGCAUGUCAUAAAACAUAAGAAUAAGGGCUAAAAUUAAAUUCUGAGUCUAGGGGAAAAAUCAUAAUUUUGUAAAAGUUAGGGGGCAGAAAUGUAAUUUUUCCAUAAUGUGAUUUUUGGAUUGAAAUAAAUAGUAUGAGUAUUAAAUGAGCUAAAUGUGUUGUUAUAGAUCAAGAAAGGCGUGGAAUCGACCUCAAACGGGGGAAGGAAAAGGUUUUGGACUAAAUUGUAAAAUUUCCAUAUUUUACACUAAGGUAAGUUUGUAUGUAAAUAAUACAUUAACUUUAUUUACAUUUUUAUAUUUCAGCCUAUUAUAUAUAUUUUAGCUAAUUUUAAAGCAUAAAUCGACUAUUGGAGGAAUGGAAAUAAGUAAUAGAGAGAAAAAUCUCUGUUGAACAUUCGGAAAGAUUGAAUAAUAUAGAUGGAGCGUAGCUAGGUCACAUGUAUGGUGCUGAGUGCACAUCAUGUGUACAAGAGAGCUACGAGAUACUAUGUAGUAGCUAGGUCACAUGUGUGAUACGGGAUGUAUCCCAUGUAGACAAGAGAGCUACGGGAGAGAUAAAUGUAGCUAGGUCGCAUGUGUGAUUCCAAGUGAAGGACACCAUGUAGACAAGAGAGCUACGAGAUAAAUUGGCUAGGUCACAUGGGUGGUACUAAGUGUUCACCAUGUGUACAAGAGAGCCAAAUUAUAUGAAAUAUGAUGGUGGGGCUGUGUGCUAAAACCAUCAAGUAUUGAGGAUUGAUCCGAAUUGUUCAACGGGAUGGUUUUAAGGUGACAUUGUAAUCAUGGGCCUAUACUUGUGAUGUAUGAAAUGUAGUGAGAAUGAAUUUUGAUAUGCAUGUUAAAAUGAGGUUAAUACAAAGAAAGUGUGAAAGAGUGAAUUAGCAAUAAUACUGUUUUGGACAGUCACAGUGACGUGAAUUUGAAAAAUCACCAAAAAUAGUAGGAAUUUAAUUAGAGGCUAAAUAAGAUAUGAAAUUAAAUCUUAAUGAGUCUAUUCUCAUGUAAAAGAACAGAGCAAGUAAAUGAACUCUAUAUUUUGAGAUAUUUAUAUUUGUGUGUGACUCGCUCAGAAUGACUAAGUGAUCCCCUGUUCUAACUUUGAAAAAUCAGUAAAAAUUGAAAAAAAAAUAAAUUAAGAAAUAUAGUUUAUAUUUCUAGAUUCCUUAUUGAGUCUAGUUUUAAAUGAAACAGAUUUCAUGAUAUUUGAAUUGUGUAAUGGGAGAAAUAUAAUUCGUAGUGAAUAGAGGUCAGAUUAGUUGAGCUGUAUAACAGGGGAAACUUUUAGUAAGAAGAGAUAUGAGUCUAGUUUCAGGAAAAUUUUACGGAUUUGAAUUUUGAGUUUUGCAACUCAAGUUAUGAUUUAUUUAGUGAAUAUGACACAUGAGAGACAGCUUGACCAAAGUGGAGUAAAUAGUAAAAUUAAAAAGUAGAUACACUUGAGUCAUUGUGUAAACAUAUUAAAUUGUUUAUUCAUUAUUUAUAUACUUUCUUACUAAGCUAUAAGCUUACUUUCUUUUCUCUCUUUUGUCUUAUAGUGUCGUCCAGCUUGCACAGGAGUCAAGGAUCGUUGAAGAUCUGCCUACACUAUCAAUACUUUUGGGUAUUUGAACUGAACAUUUUGAAUUAUGGCAUGUUUAGUAGACUUAGUUAAUUUGUUACGUGUCAUAAUUGUCUAGGUUUAAAAUAUUAAUUAUAGUAUCUGACCGAUUAUUUUGUACAAAGCCUUUGAAAUUGGCUAGUAUUGUUAAAGGCAUAUGUUAUAAUGAUUCAUGAUCUAAUUGCACGCCAUAUUUUUGUCUCGGUUUUAUUUAAUAGUACUACUAUGAUUUGUUAAUACCUCGUACCCUAUUCCGGUGAUGGAUACGGGUAAGGGGUGUUACAUGAUAUGCAUACAUAUGACGUUCUGCUUAGGUUGCAUAUGGGGUGGGAAUUAUGGUACGGAGGAAGUAUAUGAGGAUCGCAUGGUUGCCUAACAAUCGUGGAUCCACUGACGGCUUUUAAAGCCUAAUAUGUAAAUGAAGGUAGUUCCGCAACCGGGCUACCAUUAGUGUGUGGGCUGGGUGGGUCGAUAUUUAUAUCCCCACAUGGUGUGAUGGGGGACGGAGCUGGUGCGUAGCGGAUGGAUAAUUUGAAUGGGAUUGCAUUGCAUGUUUGAUGUAUGAUGAUUUUUGAAUGCUUGUUUUCCGUCGAGGGUUGUACAGACUGAGUUUGCGAAAACUCACCCCCUCUUUUAUUUUAUUUUCAGGUGAUACUCAGUAGACGGUUCGAUAUUUGGAAGGACUCUGGGUGGCCAGCUAGCAAGACAAAUUUGGACUCUUUUUUGACCAAAUUUCCAACCUCAAAAUCCUAAGUUUAAUCUAUGGGAUAAGUAAAAUUUGAACUAAUCAUCUCAAUUAUGCAUAAAUUUUCAAGAAUUAUUCAAUACAUACCUCAUUCUAGCCAUCAUCUAAGCCAAAAAUCAAACAACAAAACUUUCUUCUCCCUCACUUUAAGCUACGGCAAUGGAGGACAAGGAUGAACCAACUUUGGUUUCUCCUCCCACGAACUAUUAUCUAAUAUCUCCUUUUUAUUUAUUAAUUCAUUUGUAAUAUAAAAUGUUAAAUCAAAAAUACAUAUUAUAUAUAAAACAAUAUCAUGACCGGCCACUAUCCCAAAAAUGGGUACUUUGACAUGCAAGUCCACAUUUUUUAAUACAUGCAUUAAUAGAUCACUUUAUAUUUACCUAACCUAUUUCACAAAUGUCUCACAUAAGCCCUUUGACUAAAAUUCACAUUCAACUAACAGAAUUUAAGCAUCAAAAUUUCACACAUGCACUAUCACACAUAGUAGAUAUGAAUUUUAAUAUUUAAUAAAUUUUAUAACUCGAUUUUGUGGUCCCGAAACCACAUCUCGACUAGGGUCAAAUUAGGGAUGUCACAAAUGUACAUCUUAAGUGUGAGGGGGUCUUUUAUAUCAGAAAAAUCCCUGAAUUUUGUUUAAUUAAUAUAUCUUGAAUUAAAACAUAGGCAUUUAUGCAUUGAUUAUUUAAAAUUUAAGACAUUAGGGAAUCAAGCAUGAUAAGUUGAUUUUUGAUGAAUUAAAAACUUUUAGUUUG
RNAcentral lists this long non-coding RNA (98843 nucleotides) under Gossypium barbadense (sea-island cotton). RNAcentral describes it as "long non-coding RNA (GBAR_LNC005467)". Lineage: Eukaryota; Viridiplantae; Streptophyta; Magnoliopsida; Malvales; Malvaceae. The record is from RNAcentral.